This 140722-nucleotide long non-coding RNA is filed under the name Physcomitrium patens. RNAcentral's name for it is "long non-coding RNA (PPAT_LNC006123)". The stretch from base 12738 to 12783 matches the Rfam family "Histone 3' UTR stem-loop". The record is from RNAcentral. Lineage: Eukaryota; Viridiplantae; Streptophyta; Bryopsida; Funariales; Funariaceae.
UGCUUGAAUCUUUUCAAGCACCAGAAGUCACAGUAGAGACGAGAUAUAAAACGGCAGAUAAGAAGGUAAAGCCUAUUGCCGGACCAUUACCAGAGGAUUCUAAAGAACAAAUGGGAGAAGCAUCAAAAGAAGCAAGUUUAAGAGAUCCAAUGAGUAUUGGACAUCAGUUUACUGAAGAGACUUUUGAAGAAUUGAAGAUUGGUUCUGAUGGUUCUUUAUUGCCGGAGGAAAUUACUUGCUUCAAAAAGAUGUUGGCUAAACAAGGUAGAUCGUUUGCCUUCGAAUCUCAUGAAAUUGGGUGUGUGGAUCCAAAUAUUAUAACACCUAUGGUUAUCUUCACUGUACUGCAUGUACCUUGGAAUCUAAGGCCGAUUCCAGUACCGAGGGUACAUUUACCUAAAUUGGUGGAACUAUUGAAAGAAAAGAUAAAGAUGAAAAUAUUAGAACCUUCAUUUGUGCCGUAUUCUAGUCGAUGGUUUACGGUACCUAAGAAGAAUGGGUCACUAUGGUUUAUAUAAGAUAUGCAACCAGUGAAUGCAGUAACUGUUAGGAAUGCAGGAAUUGGACCUAUUGUGGAUGAAUUUGCUGAGGCGUUUGCUGGAAGGGCGAUCUAUUCAAUGGGUGAUUUGUAUUCAGGUUAUGAUCAAUUUCAACUUGCCGAAGGAAGUAGAGAUAUGACAACGAUGAGGACACCGCUUGGAUUGGUAAGAAUGUGCACUCUUCCUCAAGGCGCGACCAACUCAGUUGCGUAUAUGAUGAAUGGGAUGAAUAAGGUAUUGAGAGAUUUUAUUCCAGAAAAGACCAUGCCUUUUCUGGAUGAUGUUCCUAUAAAAGGGUGCAGAGAAGGAGACAAGGAUGAAACUUUAGAUACGAGGGGAUGUCGCAGAUAUGUUGUUGAUCAUAUACAAGAUUGUGAAAAGAUUUUAACUCGGCUUGGAGAAGUUCAUCUUACAUUAUCGGGUAUGAAGUCCGUAUUUGGAGUGCGAGAGGUUGUAAUUGUUGGACAUUUAUGCGGAUCUUACGGAAGAAAACCAGAUCUGACUAAAGUUGAUGCAAUUAGAAGGAUGAAAGAGGAUUGUGGUUCUUUAACAGAGGUUCGCAGGUUUUUGGGUGCAUGUGUAUUUUAUCGAAUCUGGAUCCCUCAUUUUGCUCACAUAGCGGAUCCAUUAUAUGAACUGUUACGCAAGGGUUACCGAUUUGAAUGGAAAGAAAGGCAUAUUCAGGCAAUGCAAAGAUUGAAGAAAUUUUUGAUGUCACCUCCAAUAUUGAGGAAGGUUGAUUAUAAGUGCAAUAGACCAAUGAUUCUUACUGUAGACGCUAGUCCAAUUGCCGUUGGAUGGGCGGUGGGUCAAGAUGAUUCGAAUGGGAGUAGAUUUGCAGUUCGAUUUGGAGCUAAAAUUUUAAGUAUUCGUCAGCGUGCAUAUUCGCAAGUCAAAAGAGAACUUUGGGGAGUCGUUUCGGCUAUGAAAGCUGAAAAGGACUAUUUGAUUGGGGCAGUAGUAGUAAUUGAAACAGAUUGCUUGCCAUUGCUUGGAAUGAUUAUUAACUGUUCAAUGUCAGAUAUUGCAAUGUUGAGAUGGAUUGCUUAUAUUAAGUCACUAAAUCCAGAAUUUAAGCAUAUCACUGGGAAGGACAAUUUAGUAGCAGACAUGCUAUCUCGAGCAAGAUACGAGAUGGAGGACGAAAUGGUUGAAGACAUUGAUGAUGUCGGAUUGAAAUUCUAUUCAAUAUCAAAUCUCAACAGAGAAGACAAGCUAUUUCUUGAAGAAUCUUAUGAAGGAGAAUUAUUGGAUAUUGGUCAUUAUUUGAAUACCUUGUCUAAGCAGGGGAAUUGGUCUACAGAAAAAUUCAAACAAAUAAGAAAAAAAGCAUAUGGAUUUUUACUUCGAGAUGGAUUCUUAUGGAAGAGACCGAAGAAAGGAAUUGGGAUGCCACAACGAGUGAUAGGCAAAAGGGAAGAAAAACUAAAAUUAUUAAAGGAGUUUCAUGAUAGUUUAUGGGCAGGGCAUAGAGGAAUCUGGGCUACUUUUGCUAAACUCAAGGAACGAUAUUGGUGGAAAAAUAUGUAUCGAGAUGUGCUCUCAUUUGUAGAGUCAUGUGAAAUCUAUCAAUCGUAUUCUAAUAUCCGACAUCGAGAUGGUCUUCAUCCUACGUAUCCUCUAGCUAUUCAUUUUAAAUGGGUUGUUGAUUUGGUUAUUAUGCUGGUUGGGUUAUGGCAGAUGAGAUAUUUGGUUUUAGCUCGUGAAGAUUUAUCAAAUCAAGUAGAAGGAAGAGCAUUGAGGACAAAAUCUACAGAGGGGAUUUGUAGGUUUUUGCUUGAAGAUGUCAUUUGCCAUUACGGGUGCGUAGGAAUAAUCACUGCAGAUCGUGGAGAAUUAAAUGCACAAGAAGCUCGUAAGUUCUUUGAAAAAUGUGGAGUUAAACUAUCACUGACUACUGCUUAUAAUCCGGAAGGGAAUGCGAAAAGCGAACGCGAUCACCCGCCGAUUGUGAAAGCAUUGAUUAAAGCUUGUAAUGGGAAGGUUAAAGAGUGGCCACGGCUUUUGUCAUUUGCAUUAUGGGCUGAUCAAACAACACAUAGUUCGGUGACAGGAUAUAUGCCAGUAGAACUUAUGACAAGUCAAAAACCAAUUAUGCCGAUUGAAGAAAAGGUACUUACUUGGAGUAUGCUACCAUGGGAAGAUGGAUUGACAAGAGAAGAACUUCUGGCUAUUAGGAUUCGACAAUUGGAGCAAAGAACGGAAGAUGUGCAGAUAGCAUUGGAAAGGUUAAAAAGAGCAAGGUUACAAAACAAGGCGCGAUUCGAUAAGCAACAUCGAUUGAGACCAAAAGUAAUCGAGGAACGUGACUGGGUACUUGUUUAUGACAAUAGUCUGGAUAAUCAACAUAGUACUUUGCGGAAAUUUUCAAAACAUUGGUUUGGACCAUAUGUUGUAACAACUGUUCAUGAUAAUGCGACUUAUUCAUUACGGGAGUUAGAUGGUACAAAAUUGAAAAUACCAAUUGCAGGGAAGAGAGUAAAAAUAUUUAAAUGAAGACAUGCAGAGAUGAAUAUGGAAGACCUUAAUGAAGGUACAGAGAUUCCGCAGCAAGAAGAUGAAAGUGAUAUGGAUAAUGAAGGUGACGAAGACGAACUGGACAAAGACGUAGAGGAUAUAUUCUGAAUCAAACAGCAAUUGGGUAAAUUGGUGCAUACCGGAGGAUGCACAGGUUCAGAGGGGGUGGAUGUCGUGUUGUAACACGAGUAUACAGUGAAAAUAAAAAGAAAGGGGAAUUUUAUUAAUAUUCAGUUACCUCGAAUAUUGGGAGCAUCGACCAAUUCCAGUACAAAUAUUGAGUGGUCAGGUUCAGUCACUCCGUUACAGUCAGCUGGGGCAUACUGAAAUGCUCCAUUCGAUUCCAAUAACGGGAGUGAGUAGGAAGAGAAGGACCAAUUCACACGACGGGUUCGAAAAGGCAAUUGGAUCCAAUUUCGAUAAUCCAAUCCGGGUCCUCUUAUCCAAUACGAGACCUGAAUUGGCCGGUCAACCCAAUGUGGUCUAAUUACGGGAAAUUCAGGUCUUACUACGGGUCUUAGCCAAUCUGACGCGAGGACCAAUUUGACCCAAUUACGGGAACAUCCAGGUUAUUACGGGCAUCUUUCCCAAUAUAGGACCUGAAUUGGUCGGGCAACUCAAUGUGGACCCGAGUACGGGGUUUUGAUUCUGUUUUAGGCUGUCCUAUUCUCUGUGCUGUUUCAGGGAACGUUGUUUUCGGUAAAUGGAUUUCUUAAAGGUAAAAACGGAGGAUAAAGCUUGAUGACGAGAGCCAAUUUUGGAUCCAAGCUUGAGGUGGGAGCCAAUUCCGGAUCUAAGACGGAAGAUUGAAGAAAUUCAGAGGAUAAGGUUAGGUGGGGUAUAGUUUUGAGUGGGUUUUUUUUUUUUUUUUUUUCAGGGGAAUCAAGGGGGGGGGGGAGGGGGAGCGAGUUUUCAAGUUUUUGCAAGGUUACCAGUUCGGUUUUCAUUGGAGGUUUUUUUGAAGAUCAAGGGAAUUAGAGAGAGGAGCUUCAUGCUUCGGAUCGGGGAAGGAAAGACAUAGAAUUUGGAUUUUUCUUCUUCAUAGAGUUUUGGGAAGACUGAGGCAAUCGCUGCUGAAGUCAGUGUUGUAAUGGUGAAUCGGGAUUUUUAAAUGAAGUGGGUUUGAAUACUCUUGACUGUUUUGUAAAAUCGAGUUACGUCUGUGAUUGAAGGAUUAAAGGGGUAUCUAUAGGAUUGAGUAUGCGGAGUGAAUGAAAUUUAUUGGGUUAAUCUAACAAGACAGUCAGUGGAUACAAGAUCGUAAGUACAAAGGGGUAUUGAAGAUUAACAGUUUGGGUUGUUCAGGGUUCUCUGUAACGUCUAGAGACCUAUCGGCUGGGAAAAAAAAAAAAAAAAAAAAAAAAAAAGACUUCGACAAGCAGUCGAAGAGCAUCCGUAUAGAUUUACGGUACAUUGUUGCAGUCGUUUAUAUUCCAGCAGUCAAAAACUGAUAAACUGCUUGACUAUCGGCGAAUCUCCAUACUACCUUCUACAGCCAGAAGCCCGGCGCGUUCUCGAGCAGGAAAGCACGUAAUACGACAUCGUUGGGUUAAACCAAUGGAUAUUUUAUUGAGUGUUCAAACUAUAAUUAUCGAUAUUGCAUAUAAAAUUGACUAUAUUAUCUUUUAGUUACAACAUUCAACUUUGUUGUAUCUAAUUUUAUUGAGAUGACUCUAGCUUUAUGAAGCAAAGACUAAGAAUGAUUAGGGACGAGGUACUUUGAUAAUUGGCAAGGGUGGAGACAAAAUGGUGUUAUAAAUGUACCUAGUAUCUUAUCAGGGGGAGUCUUAAUUAUCAGCAUCUGAAUAGACGUCGGACGAUGAAGUUAGCUUUGAUGAUGAUACAAUAGCAUUGAUUACGGAGGCGUCCGUGGAGACAAUACAAUAUCCUGGAGUAGUAUAUGAAUGUGGAGGUCCGAGAGAAUACUUGAUAUACCUGACAGAUUCGGAAAACUCUGAUUAUGUUAGUGUUGAUUGGAUGACCAAGUAUAAUGUGUACCAUGUUAGUGCCUUGGACAGAAGAUUCAAUACUUUGCUUAUGUUAGACUUAUCGACUGAUUUUAAACUAGUGCGGGAGUUGAAAUAGAACAUCGUCGUUGCACCUUUAUGUGAAACUAUCAACUUGGUGACCACAGCAGAAUCUCAGAUAAUUAAGGUCUAUAAAGAUAUUAAGAAGCAAGAAUUGACUUGUUGGACAAAUUUUUUCUUAUAUUAUAAAUCUGCUUUUGCUUGGACGUAUGAUGAUUUAAAAGGUAUCUCCGCUGAAGUCUAAGAGUAUUGUAUCAUUUUAGAAGAGGUGACUUUGAAUAGACUUAGAAUAGACCUAAUUAUGAUAUAAGUGUAUUCGGGUGUAGAGGCAGCUAAAGGGAUAGUUAGUAAUUACUAAUGUGUUAAAUGGGACAGAGGUGAGAAACGGACAUUAUAGGUAAUAUGUUGUCAAUAUCACCAAGUAAUAAGAAAAUAGGAGUGGGAUCCAAUUAGAGGUCAUUCUAUGGUGUCGUUUUGGAUUGUUUUUUUUUUGAGAUUGCCAUUUUAUAUAUUCCUUGCGUAUAUGAGAGUAGUAGUUCCAGUUAAGAGCUUGGUAGAGAGAGCAUCAUGGCGAUUGAAAGUACAAAGUAAGCUACAGACAAAGAGGAUAGUGGUCAAAAUGUGAGAGCUAAACGUGCAUCAAAACCACCAUCUAAAAUAAUUGUUACCAAUAUAGAGCCGAUGAAGUUAGAUAUUUGUCGAACACCGAGAAGAAUAAGAGACUUUUGGAAUGGACAUUUGUUCGAGUUUUUACACCAGUUAGAUCGUUAAUCAAUAAUCAAUGUAGCAUUAGUGGAAAAAUACAUGACAAAUUAUGAUCCUAAGGAUGGAUUGAGUAUCAUACAAGGACAAAUUAUUGGAAUUGAUAAAACAAUCAUAGAAAAGGUGUUGUUUCUUUCCAUUGCAGAGAUUGCAGUAGGAGCACUUGAAGGAAUGGUGUUUAAUUGGAUAGCUUACAUAGCUACUUGUAUUCAUGUAGAGAUAGGAGCCAAUUGGAAAUUAGAAAAGUUCACAUAUUUGCUUUGUUUGAAUUAUGUGUAUACUAUGAUCACAUACACAUUGCAUCAAAUAUCACCAAUAGAGAAAAGACUUGUACCAGUGUCAAUGCCUCCAUAGAGAGAAUGAAAUUUUUUGACACAAAAUAUAAAUGCAGCACAUGUAAUAUACAAAGUUGAGGAGUCAAGUCAUAUGGCGGCACAAGGGGUCCUUCCAAUUAUUAAAUUGGAACGGAUUCCAAUUUGUUUUGUAGUAGAGGAGGAGAAUGAAGCUCCAAUUACAAUAGACAACAAUCAGUUAGCAUUUCCACAGGGUCGAUUGCCUGAAGGUUUAUCUCUUAAGAAUUCUUUAUUGAAGCAUAUUUUACAAAUACAUUGUAUGGUACAAGCAUUGGAUAUAGAAGGCAGUAGCAAAGAAGUUCUGGAGGAUAGCAAAAAGGUGAUAUUGGAUCAAAACCGAAGAAUUGAAGAGCAAGAACAGACUAUAUAAGAAAUUAUGGAAUCCAAGUUGGUAUUAGAGUAGAAAUUGGUUUAUCAAUAUGAGGCUUGAAUGAAAGAAAAAGAGUACAUCUUACGGAUUGUGGAAGGACAACGGGACGAAUUGAUCUAAAAUCACAAGACAUGGGAUUUGGAACGGAAAAAUUCAAAUGCUAGUUGCAAGUAAAAAUGGACAAAGUAGAGUUAUUAUUGAAAGAUAAAGUGGUAUUGAGUAUCCAAUCCAGAUGUAAAACAGAGAGGUUCAAGUCCAAAAUUGAAGUUCUACAAGUUGAGGUGGCAAAAUUGAUGGAAGAGUUAACCAAUAGGAGCCCAUCACAAGUGUUGAUUGAAGAUGUCCCAGAAUGGAUGAGUCAACAACAACAUUAGUUGAAACUCUGGAUGCCUAGAUCUUGAAAUUUGAGAUUCAAGUCCAUGAAUUGGGAGAGUAUAAUGAAGAUCUUUCAACCCAGUUGAAGAAGGAGUCGAUGGAAGGAUUGGAAGAAGAGGAAGAUUUGCAAUUGGAACCAGAAUCGGUAGAACCAAUAACAGAUAAUGUGGCAAUUAAUCAAUUAGAUGGGUUAGAGAUGAUAGUAAUUUUGUAGAGUUUUGUUAAGUAGUUUUUAGAUAAGUAUCAAUUGUGUGUUUGCAAAGACAUUGCAAAAAUAGGAAUAAGGCUAUGUAGAAUAGAUAUUAAUUUUUUUUUGAAAGAUAUUGAUAAAAUAUACUAAUAGUCUAUAGAAUAGAUAAUUCAAGAGGACAGAUGAUUGAGUUAGUUAUUAAAAGUAAUUAAUAACAAAAUUAAGAUUAGAAUCUAGAAAAUUAGGAGAAAGUAUAUAGGAGUUGUAGAAGUUAGUUUAAGGGCCAGACUAUAAUAGUCAUGAGCUGGGAUAAGCUUGGUGCUACCUCUUUAUUUCUUUGUUGUUGAAAAAUAAUGGAUAGUUUCUAAAUACUGAGAAGUGAGUUUGUAGAAUAAAUUAGAGAUUGAUUUAUGAGUUAUUGAUUAUGUAAUUAAAGUACUAAGUAAUUGAAUUAUAUGAGAAAUUAUUGAAAGAUUGAUUAUGGAUAGAAGAUUAUGAUUAUUGUUUAUUGAGAGUUGUAUGUGUUUUGACAGAGGAAGUUUGUGAUUACAAAAAUUGUGUGAAUAUAGAUUGGUUGGAGUGAAGUUUAUUAUUUCUGGUAUUCGAUAGUGAAUUUAUGUGAUUUCAGUGGUCUUUUAAGAGUGCAAGGUUACACUUUGUUAUUAUCAAUUGAUGAAGGAGUAGCAUUAUUGGAAAAAAAUAUUGUAGUAUUUCUUAGUCAUUUUAGUGGUUUGAAAUAUGAUUAAUUGUAUGAUCCUAACAAAUAGAACUCAUGUGCUUAGUCUUUCUCUGUUUUUGAAUCUCCUUCUAUAGGUUUAUUUUCAAAGAAAUUUAUAGAUUAAGUAAAAUAAUAAUUACAAUUGCCAUCAAACUUUUUGGGUAUGCUCAUUCUUGGUUCUUUUGUUGUUAUUGUUGACAAACUUCUACUCUAAAUAAAGACACUUUCCAUCUUUUUUAAAGUUUUCAUAAUUGCUUGAGAAAUUAGAACUCUUGGUAUCAUUUAUUAUAGUAGUACAUGCCUCUUUGUUCAUUCACUAUCGUGGUUGGUCAUAUAAGGCUCUUGGUUCUAUUUAGUCAAAGUCUUCAUCUUCAUUGUCAAUACUUUAAGAGCAUUGAAAAUCAAAUCCAACUUAAUCUCCUCAGAAUCUACUAUAUUAGCUUCCCCAUCUCCUAUCAUGCAUAAAAAAUACUCAAAGAAAAAAAAGAACAAUUUAGAAUGAAAUAUUGAAAGAAAAUUAUCGAAAGAACAAUAUCAAUCUAGAAAAGGGUAAUCUACAACUUUUAGAAUGCUAUAGUAUUUCCAAGAAGAGGGAUAAUCUAUUUUCUAGGAAAGAAGACCAAGCUGUCAUAUUAUUUUAUGAGUAGUCUUGACAAACUGUCAAGGACACUUUAACAUAUAGACAAAGAAGUCAAAACACAAAAAAGUUCUUAAGAGAAAAUUAACAAGAACUUAAUUAAAACAUAUAACUACAAGAAUAAUAUCAAGAGAGAUGAACUACAGCUCUAAGAAAUGAGUUGUUAAGCCACGAGAUCCCAUCAAUCUCAACUCCUAUACACACUUGGUAUAAGGAUGCUUAUUAAGAAGCUUGCAUGUUGCUUGCAUGCAAACCAACCCUUCUAGACAAGUACCCAUGUGGCUAGGAUGCCUUCUAGAAAGGUUUCCAUAUAGCUUGGAUAUAAAGCAACUAUAGGAUCCUUUUGAAAUAACUUCCUCAAAUGAUUGUGAUUACUAUAAAGUUAUAAUAUGAAGAAGGCUAUAUUUAAGAAAUUCAGUUAUAUAUAUUCAUUACAUAACAUAUACUUUAUAAUAUGCAAUGAAUAUAUAUAAUAUAUGUAAUAUAUAAUUUAUACACACAUAAAUAUAUAAUAUUUUAUAAUUUAUAAACACAUAAAUAUAUAAUUUAUAAACACAUAAAUAUAUAAUUUAUAAACACGUAAAUAUAUAAUGAUAUAAUAUACAUAAUCUGUAUUUAUAUUAUAUAUAAACUUAUAGGUGUACAUAUUAUAAACUAAAUUAUUAUAAAUAUAAAAAAAUAUAAUAUUAUUCAAAAAAUAUAUAAAUAAAAAUAAAAAUAUAUAAUUAUUUAUUAUACAUAAAAAUAAAUAUAAAAAUAUAUAUAUUUAUAUUUCAAUACAUAUCCUUAUGUGCUAUAUAUAUAUAUUUAUAAAAUAUAUAUGUAAUAUGUUUAUAUAAUAUACUACAAUAAAUUAAAAUACUUAUAAUACUAAAUCAUAUAUUUAUUAUCAUAAUAAAAUAGAUAUAUAUUAUAUUACUAUAUCACAUAUAAGUAUAUUAUAAAUAUUUACAUAUAAAGUAUAUUAAAUUAUACAUAAUUAUUAAAUAUUAAUAUUUAUAAAGUUAUAUGUAAAACUUUAUUACUUAUAUUUCAUGAUAUUGAUUUAAAAUAUAAAAAUAAUAUAUAAUAUAUAAAAAAUAUAUAAUGUAUAACAAAUAUACAACAUAUAAUAAAUAAAUAAUAUAUAAUAAAUAUAAUAUAUAUAUAUAUAUAUAUAUAUAUAUAUAUAUAUUUAUCAUUAUAAUAUAUAGUAUAACUAUGUAUAUUUUAUAUAAAAAUAUAUAUUAUAUUUAUAAUUAUAUUUUAUAUAAUAUAAUUAUACUAUAUUGUAUAUAUAUACUAUAUAUAUAUAUUAUAUUUAUAAAAUAUAUAUAAAAAAUAUUUAUAAAUUUAUAAAUAUAUAUAUAAUAUAAAUAUUUAUUAUAUAAUUUUAGAAAAUAUAUAUAUAUAUAUAUAUAUAUAUAUAUUUAUAUUAUAUAAAUUUAAUAUUUAUUAUAUUAUAUAUAAUAUAUAUUCAAUAUAAAUUUUAAUUCAUAAUUAUAUAUAUAUAUAUAUAUAUAUAUUUAUAACAAUAAUAAAUAUUAUAUGAAAAUUAUAUUAUAUGUAUAAAUUAAUUUUAUCUAAUAUAAUAUCAUAUAGUAUAUGUUAGUUUAUUUAAUAUUAUUAAUUAUAUAUUAUAUAUAAUAUUUAUUUUAUAUUUAAUAUUAUUUUAAAAUAUUAUUUAAUAUUUUUUAAUAUAAUUUUAUAUUUAUAUCAAUUAAUAUAUGAAUAUACAUAUUAGAUUAUAUUUAUAAAUAUUAUGUAUAUAAAUAUAAUUUAUAUAUUUAUAUUUAUAUGUAAUGUUUAUAAUAUAUCAUUAUUUUAAUUAUAUUUUAAAAUAUAUAUACUAUUUAGUAUAAAUAUUAUGUAUAAUUAUUAUUUUUCAUUUAUGAUUGAUCAAUUAUUUAAUUAUAUUUUUAUAAUUAAUAUUUUAUAUAAGUAAUAUUAUGUAAGUAAUAUAUAAUUACAUUAUAUAAUAAAUUUUAUGGUACAUAUAUUUAGAUAUAUAUUAUAUACAUUAUUUAUUAAAGUGAUAAAUAAAAUUUAAUUAUAUCAAUUAUUUACGUUAUAUUGAAACUUUGUAUGUUUUUAAAUUUUGUACAGUUAGAUUAUGAUGAUAUCUCAAGGAAGUUUUGAAUGUACAUAUUGAAGUCUAUUGGGGAGUAUUUGAAAAAGUUUAAGGAAUUGAAGGCCCCUGUAGAAACCAAUCGCAAUAUAAAAUUAAGGUGUUGUGGUUGUAUAAUAGGAGGGAGUUUAUACUAUUAUUUAUAGUCCUUUAGAAAACUUCACACAAAUCCUUGUUUAAUACCAAGGAUUAUUGUUGGACAAAAUUUCAUCUCACUUUUGAAAUGAUGAGAUUCUAAAUCCACAACCAUAGAAGGAAAAAAAGAAGAAAAAAAGAAAAAAAGUAAAAUUUACAAAAUUUAAAAAAAAAGAAUUGACUUAUCUUAGUAUAGUCCAAACUAUCCUAUUAAGUUGUAUGGGCCCAUGACUAUAUAAUUAGAAAGAUGAUGGAGAAUUCAUUUAAUGGUAAAAAACCUCAUUCUACUUCAAGUAGAGAUGAGGUUAUAAGUGUUAACUUCAUAGAUAGUUUUGUCACUAGAUAAAACAACUAAGUAGAAGUCGAUUUAGCAACCUUAGUGGAUGACAUAAAAAUUGAAGACAUCUUUGGAGUGAACUUUGAUGGCACUUAAGGCUAAGAAUUAGAAGAUGUAAUUGAAGAAUUCGACCUUAAUUCCCUUCUACAAUUUAAACAACCUUCUAGUGGUCUUAUGGUGUUGUUGUAUGAGUUUUUUUAUUUGAGAAUACAUUAGAUAUCUAGUUGUAGAGAGCUUAUUUUUUAUUUUACAAGUUCUUAUUCAAAAACCAAUUUAUCUACAACAGUCAAAAAUUACCAAAAUUCCAUGAAUAAAAUAAUUAUAGUAGUAGCAAUAACUAAUAGGAAUAAAAGUAAUCAAUAACCAAUAACAGUAAUUAGCUUUGAUAACAAUAAUUAGUAGCAAUAAUAAUAAUAAUUGAUAGUAAUAACAAUAAUCAAUAACCAAUAACGGUAAUUGGCUUUGGAAACAAUAACCAAUGGCAGUAACAGUAAUUGAUAGUAGUAAUGGUUAUCAAUAACCAAUUACAAUAAAAAAUAAUAGUAAUAGUAAUCAAUAAUUAAUAAUAAUAAAUAAUAAUAUUAAUAGUAACUAAUAACCAAUAGUAGUAAUAGUAACCAAUAAUUAGUAACAAUAGCCAAUAAUAGUAAUAAAAACCAAUAAUCAGUAACAAUAGUCAAUAGUAGUAACAGUAAUUAAUAACCAAUAAUAAUAUCCUCUUCAAAAUUAUAGAACUUUAGUACUCAAUUUUUUCUAAUUCAACUAUUGGAUUGAGUUCAAAUUUUUUGAGGAAUAAGAUAAUACUCUUAACUUCUACUACACAAAAAAAUCAAUCAUAAAUUCAUUACUGAACUUUAGAUUUUAUUUGUUCAACAAUAAGUCUAGUACAUAUCACCUUUACAGACAUCUAUAUAUUGAUUUCAUUGUAUCUCGCUAACUUAAAACUCAAAUGCUACAAUACUCAUAUAUAAAAUUUAACAACAUGAAAAUACACAUUUUUAAAAUUAUUUAGAAUAAAUCUUAUCAAAUUGCACAAGAUAUGGCUCAAAAUACAACCACUAGCAAUUUGAGUCACUUAAUACUCCUUAGAUUCCAAGUAUUGACUUCAACUUCGAAUAUCUCCUUUGUUCUGACUUAGAAUUCAUUAAAUAAUAUAUAUAAAGUGUAGUCAAGAAAGUGUUCUCUUCAAUUAUAGUUGCUGAUCUUUUGUUGCUUUCCGUGUCCAUGCAUUAUAUCUGAAAGAAUGACAAUAGAUAUCCAAUCGAUACCUCUACUUUGAGCACUUAUUUUUCCUUACUAAAAACUCCAAAAGAUUCCAAAAUUUUUACCAAAAUCUUAAUCAAAAACUAGAACUACUAAUUUUAGCCUCUAAUGUUUGAAUGCUUCUUGAAUUUUUUCCUAAGUAGUCAUUUUAGUGGCCAAAGGUCUGAUUUUGACCUUGUCUCACAAAUGAUCGAUCCCUAAGUACCAACCUAACCUAUCCUAAGGAUUUUUUUAGUCCAAUCCUACCCUCAACUUAAUCCUAAUAUCAAAUAUAUUAAUUAUUUAUCUCUUUUAACUUGAUUUUAUUAAUUUAUGGUCUUUGUAAGGUAAUAAAAUAGUUUCUAUAACUAAAAGGUAAAUUAUUAAUUAACCUUCAAUUUACUAACUAUUAAGAUAAGAAAAUAACCUAAGAGGCUUUUUUAAAAGCCAUAUUUAGAUGUCUUGAAUUCUUAUUAAAUUGAAAUAAUUAGAUAUUAAUUAGAAUUUUAAUUUUAAUUAUAAUUUCACUGUAUAGUUAUAUUAUAUUAUAACAUCAGCCCUCUCGUAACUUGUGCAUCCUGUGACAUGUACCAAAUGAAUCAGAUGUUAUAAUUAGCAUUACACCAUCUCUUCAUUUUUUUCAUCAAAUCCUUCAUUUUUAUUUUCUCCAUUCACUUCAAAACAAUUGUCUUCUUGAAAAAUAUUAAUAUCUUUAGUAUGAUCUUUCAUAUUGAUUUUUCUAUCUCAUCUUUUAAAAAUCUGUACUUACUUCUCAAAAAUAGGUAUUUUCAACCUCUUACCAUUUAACUCCCUUAAUGAAUGUGUGGUAUUAUCAUAAACUAUUACUACCACAUAUGGUCCAAAUCAACAUUUUAAAAACUUCUACAAAGAACUAUGUUGGUUAUCGAGACUACUAUUAUAAACAAGUAUCCAAUCACCUUCUUUAAUUGCUCUAGGCCUCAACCAAUGUUGCUUAUCAAAUUGAGUCUUAUUUUCUAACCUUGCCUUUUGUAACCUUUCUAAUGCUAAUUUGACAUCUUCCAAUCUUUGUUCAAGUUGCCAAAUUCUAAUAGCUAAUAAUUCUAUCCUUGUCAAUCCAUCUUCCCAUGAUAGCAUACUCUAAGUUGUCACAUGUUCUUCAAUUGGCUUAAUUGGUUUUUGACCUGUGAUAAGUUUCAGUGGCAUAUAUCUUGUUAUAGAAUUGUAUGUUGUUCGAUCAGUCCAUAAUGCAUAAGAUAGAAGUUGAGGCCAUUCUUUCAUUCUUCCAUUGCAAGCUUUAACUAAGGCUUUUACAAUCAAUGGAUGUCCACAUUCACUUUUUGCAUUCUCUUCUAGAUUAUAAGCAGUAGUCAAUGAUAAUUUAAUUCUAUAUGUCUUAAAAAAUUCAUGAGCUUUAUGUACGUCCAAUUCUCCAUGAUCUGCAGUAAUCUUUCUGAUACAUCCAUAGUGGCAAAUAACAUCCUCAAGUAAAAACCUGCAAAUUUCUUUUGUAGAAUUUGUUUGUAGUGCCUUGUCUUCUAAUUGGUUUGAUAAAUCUUCACAAGCCAAAACUAAAUAUCUCAUUUGCCAUAGUUCCAUUGCGAUAAUAACCAAAUCGACAACCCAUUUAAAAUGAAUAACCAAAGGAUAUGUUGGAUAUAAUCCAUCUCGAUAUUGUAUAUUUGAAUAUAUCUGACAAGUUACACAAGAUUCUAAAAAUGAAGUUAUAUCUCGAUAUGUAUUCUUCCACCAACAUCAUUCCUUCAAUUUAGCAAAAGUAGCCCAAAUUUCUAUAUGUCCCGUCUAUAGACUAUCAUGAAAUUCUUUGAGUAGUCUUUAUUGAUCUUUCUUAGUAUCUACUAUUUGUCUUGGCAUUCUAAUUCCUUUCUUUGGUCUCUUUUAUAAGAACCCUUCUUGAAGCAAAAAUCCAUAAGUUUUUUUUUUAUUUGAUUAAAUUUGUUUUUUGACCAAUUUUCUUAUUUAGACAAGGUAUUCAAAUAAAGACCAAUUUUUAAUAAUUCUCCUUCAUAAAGCUUUUCAAAAAAUAUCUUGUCUUCCUUAUUAAGAUUUGAUAUUCAAUAGAAUUUUUUUCCAAUAUCAUCAAUAUCUUUAAUCAACUUAUCUUCUCUUUCAUAUCAUACUCGAGAUAAUAUGUCCACUAUCAAAUUAUCUUUUUCUGCAACAUGUUUAAAUUUUAGAUUUAAUGACUUAAUUUAAGUAAUUGAUCUUAGCAUUGCAAUAUCUGAUGUUGAACAAUUAGUAAUCAUUCCAAGUAAUGACAAACAAUCUACUUCAAUUACUACUACAAUACCAAUCAAAUAAUCCUUUUUAGCUUUCAUAGCUAAAACAACUUUCUAUAAUUCUCUCUUAACUUGCAAAUAUGCACAUUGAUGAGUACUUAAAACUUUAGCUCCAAAUCAAACUGAAAAUCUGUUUCCACUUAAAUCAUCUUGAUUCACAAUCCAUCUAAUAGCAAUAGGACUUAUAUCCACAGUAAGUAUUACUUACUUAUUACUCUCAUAAUCAAUCCUUCUUAAUAUUGGAGGUGUCAAUAAUAAUACUUUUAGCUUUUAUAUUACUUCAGAAUGUUUUCUUUACCAUUUAAAUCAACAACCUUUACAUAAUAAUUCAUACAAUGGAUCUGUAAUAUUAGCAUAAUGAAGAAUCCAAAUAUGAUAAAAUACACAAGCUCCUAAAAACCUACAUACUUCUAUUAAAGAAUCACAUAUAUCCUUUAUCCUUCCAAUUGCAUCAAUUUUAUUUAAAUUUGGAUUUUUUCCAUAAAAUCUAUACAUAUGUCCAAUAAUUAUAACCUCUUGUACUCCAAAUGUAGAUUUUGUUCUUGAAAGUGUAAGAUAAACUUCUUCAAGUCGAGUUAAAAUCUUUUCACAAUCUUAUAUAUGAUCAACAAUAUACUUAUGAUACCCCCUCUCAUCUAAGGUCUCAUCUUUUUCUUCCUCUUUACAUCCUUUAAUAGAAAUAUCAUCUAAAAAAGACAUAGUUUUUUCAAGAAUGAAGUCCCUGAAUACUUUAUUCAUACUAUUCAUCAUAUAUGCAACUGAGUUAGUAGCAUCUUAUAGAAGAAUACACAUUUUAAGUAGUCCAAGAGGCGUUUUCAUCGUUGUUAAAUCUCUACUUUCAUGUGCAAGUUGAAAUUGAUCAUAACUUGAAUAUAAAUCACCCAUUGAAUAAAUUGUCCUUCCUGCAAACGCUUUUGUAAUCUCAUCUACUAAAGGUCCUAUACUUAUAUUUUUAAUAGUUAUUGCAUUUAUUAGUUGCAUAUCUUGAAUAAAGCAUAAUGAUUUAUUUUUUCUUAGGCAUUGUAAACCAAUGACUAGAAUAUGGACCAAAAAAAGGCUCCAAAAUCUUCAUUUAUAUUUUUUCUUUCAAUAGUUCUACUAAUUUAGAUAAAUGUGCCCUUGGCACAAGAAUUGGCUUUAAAUUUCAAGAUGCAUGCAGUACUAUGAAGAUAACCAUAGGAGUAAGAAUAUUAGGAUCUACACAUUCUAUUUCAUGAGGUCCAAAAGUAAAUGAUUUACCUUAUUUUUUCAGUAAUCAUCUUUUCAAGUUCCUAAUUUAUAUAAUUUUCUUUCAAUAUUAUAUAUAUAUAUUUUAAAUCUUCAAUUUUUUUAUAUAUAAUACUUCAAUUUUUAAAAAUACUAAUAAAUCUUCUAUCAAAGGCACCUACAUGUUGCGAGAGUACCUCUUCUUUUGUACCUCCAUAAUCUCGCUUUACAGUGGUACUUCUCCAAAAAUCCUUAUAUUCUUCAAUAACUCUUGGUAAUGGCUUCUCCUUCAACCUAUCUUGAUUUUGUUCAUAAUUAGGAGGCACUGUUAGAAAUUAUACAACUUUCUUUCUAUCUUUGCUCUGUAUUUGUGCAUAAGCUGAACCAUCAUCAAGAACUUUUGUUUCCAUUCGUGUUGCUAUAAUGUAAGGUUUUCAUAAAAUCAAUGGAUAUGAUGUUGUAACUUAAAAAAAGAAAUGUUGUUCUGUCAUAAUAUCUCCAAUCCAGAUUUCAACAUCUGAGCAAGCUCCUUAUUAUUCACCUCAUGUAUUAUUAACUGCUUGUAUUAUCCAUCUAUAUUCUAUAUCAAUUAGCUACCUCCACUUAUUAUAAAGAUUCCUAGACAUAAGAUUUAUUUCGGAACCAUAGUCAACUAAAGCAACAAUUGAUUCAUUUGUAUCACCUACCUUCACCAAUACUUCUAUAGUUGUCCUGGCUCAAUACUUUCGAGUAUAAUAUCUUGAAGCCUCUAUUUCCAUAUCACUAUACUCUUCAAAAUGCACUUAUUGAUUAUAACCAUUCUUUUCAUUUAUUGAUUGCUUGUAACCUUUAUCUCUUUUUUCUUCAUCCUUACAUAAUCUUGCAUCAAUAGCAUGAUUCAUCCCAGCUUCAUCCAUUAAUUAUCUCUUCUUUUUAAUACUAUCAAUAAUAACAUCAUGAAACUCCUUCUUUGCAACUCCCAAAAUCUCUUUCAAUGUAAAUUCCACCUUGGCAUUUAAUACAUAUUCUUCCAACAUCUCCUUUAAAUUUGUUGCUGCUUCAAUAUCAAAAAAUAGCUUAUAAGCUAUUGAUUUAUCUUUAACUUUUGUCUCUUUUAUUUUUUCUUCUAAUUUUAUUAAAGUAUCCUUUAUAGGAAAUUCUUGUGAAGAUGUGUUAUGAGCCUUGUCUCCUCAAGUUUGCCUCUUAAAAGAAUUUUCUUCUCUUAUAUCAUCAAAAUUCCCUCAUCUCUUUUCUUCCAUCAAAGCCUCAUGCUGACUUUUACCAAUAUAUGCAUGAAUUAAAAGAGCUUCUUCAAGAUCUUUUCAACAUGUUGUACCUUGUAUUGUAGUUGCAAUUUUCAACAAUACUUCUCAAGGUAUUUUUUCUUUUUGCAUUGUAGAAAUGGCAAAAGUCGAAAAUCCACUUGUCUCUAUACUUCCAUCAAAGUCAAAAUCUAUCUUGGCACCAUAACUUGUACUAUCUUAUGAUUUUACUUGAUAUUUUACUAAAUAAUCUUGAAUCAAUGCUCUCAUAUCUCUCUUGCCAAAAUUGGUUUGAAGAAGAUCCUCUGUAUCCUUUAAUGCUAUCUUUCCAUCUUUCCAAUAAAUAAUCCUUUGUUAUACCAUAUCAUUAAAUUUAUUGCAAUCCUUCCUAGUAUGAGAAGCAUUAUUACACCAAAUGCACCUUCGUACAUACCUUUGUUUAAAAACACUCUUUAAAUUAUUUGUAGAAGUUUUUUCUUCAAGUCUUACUAAUUUGAAUUGAAGAUCUUGCAUUUGACGUAUAAUUUCUUCAAUUUUCAUAUCUUCUUUUUUUAAUAAAGAUAUUGGAGAUUGAAUAGAAGGCAUUAUUGUUUGUGUUGUAUAUACUUGAAUUUUAGGUGCUUAUAUUAUUCUUGAAAUAUUAAUCUUAUCCUUCAUCUUUUCUUUUUUUGUAAGGAAUCCCAUCGUAUCUUCAACAUUUUUCUACUUUAUUGUCAAUCUUUCAUCUUCUUCUUUAUCUUCAAGAAGCAACUCCAAUUUUUCUUAUAAUUUUCCAUCAAUAGCUUGAAGAAAUAAUUCAACCUUCUUUAGCUCCAAUGUCAAUUUUUUCAUCUUUGAUAAUUAAAAAUACUACCUCUCAAAUUCUCUUAAUAGCUCCAUUGCUUAUAAAUUCUUGCUAUGCUGCUCAAUCUAUUCUAAAAAUAAUUUCUUAGUAACACGAUCAUUGUCCUCUAAGAAAUAUUUGUCUUUUAAUACAUGUAAAAAAGUUUUCGAUGAAUUUCCAUAAUGCUUCAUAAUUGAUGAAACAUGUUUCACUUAUUUUUGAUAUUGUGGCAAGUCCAAAUAGUUCAAUCAUUCUCUUUUCAAAAAUCCAAUUUAAUUCCAUUUUCCAUACAUAAUAUCUUAAAUACUUGGAAAUAUUUCUUCCAUCAAAUUGAUCAAUCUUGUUAACCACAAAUUAUAAUGCUUUGCUUGCCAAAACCUCUUUGCGAUCAUUGCCCUUUUGCUGUUGCAUAAAUAAUGUAAAUGCUUGAAACAUUUUUGUAAUAUUUGGAUCAAAGUACAUACCUUGUUCACUAGUAGAAAAUCCACUUGAAGCUAUACUUGAAGAUCUACUUGUAGCUCCAUUCAAAUCUCCAUCAAAGAUACCAAAUUCAAUCUUUUUGCCUUCUUAUGCCAUCAAUUCCAAAUAACCACAAAUAUGAUCCAAUACCUUCCACCCCAAAUGUUUCUCGUCAGGUUCAUUAGUUAUGCCGUAGUACAUGUUUUUAUAUCUGGGAAUAAACUAAGUAUUUAGCUAUGGAGAACUUAUUUAUGGUUCAAUGGCUUCUUAUUCAACAACCAAUUUAUCUAAAGCAAUCAAAAAUUACCAAAAUUCCAUGCAUACAAUAAUUGCAAUAGUAAUAGUAAUCAAUAGCAGUAAAAGUAAUCAAUAUCCAAUAAAAAUAAUUGGUUUUGGCAACAAUAACGAGUAGCAGUAACAGUAAUCAAUAAUCAAUGAUGAUAAUUGGCUUUAUUAAGAAUAACCAAUAGUAGUAACAGUAACCGAUAGUAGUAACAAUUAUCAAUAAUCAAUAACAGUUACCAAUAACCAGUUACAAUAACAAAUAACCAGUUACAAUAACCAAUAACCAGUUACAAUAACCAAUAGUAAUAACAACAACCAAUAACUAGUAACAAUAACCAAUAGUAGUAAUAGUAACUAAUAACUAGUAAUAAUAAUCAAUAGUAGUAAUAGUAACUAAUAAUUAGUAAUAAUAAUCAAUAAUAGUAAUAAUAACUAAUAACUAAUAAUAAUAAUCAAUAGUAGUAAUAGUAAUCAAUAACUAGUAAUAAUAGCCAAUAAUAGUAACAAUAACUAAUAACCAAUAAUAAUAUCCUCUUAAAAAUUAUAGAACUUUAGCACUCAAUAUUUUUCAAUACAACCGCUGGAUUGAAUUCAAAAUUUUUGAAGAGCAAGAUUAUACUCUUAACUUCUAUCAUACAAAAAAAUCAACUAUAAAUUUAUUACCGAACUCUAAAUAUUGUAUAUUCAGUAGCAAGUCUAGUACAUAUCAUCUUUACAAACAUCCAUAUUUUGCUAAUUCAAUAUUCAAAUGCCACAAAAUUCAUGUAUAAAGUUUAGCAACAUAAAAAUAUAUAUUCUUAAAAAAAAUUAGUGUAAAAUUUAUCAAAUUACACAAGAUAUAGCUCAAAAUACAACCACUAGCAAUUAGAGUCACUUACUACUCCUUAGAUUCCAAGUAUUAACUUCAACUUCUAAUAUCUCUUUGGUCUUCACUCAGAAUUCAUCAAGCAAUAUACAUAAAAUAUAGUUAAGAAAGUGUUCUCUUCAACUCUAAUUGUCAAUCUUUGGUUGCUUUCCAUGCCCAUGUGUUAUAUCAGAAAGAAUGACAAUAGAUAUCCAAUCGAUACCUCCACUUUGAGCACUUAUUUUUCCUUCAUAAAAAUUCCAAAAGAUCCCAAAAUUUUUACCAAAAUCCUAACCAAAAAUCUGAAUCUGCCAAUUCUAGCCUUUGAUGUUCGAAUGCUCCUUGAAUUUUGCCCUAGGCGGUCGUUUUAGUGGCCAAAGGUCUAAUUUUGCCCUUGUCUCACAAAUAGUCGACUCCCAAGUACCAACCUAACCUAUUUUAAGGAUUUUUUUAGUCCAAUCCUAUCCUUAACUUAAUCCUAAUAUCAAAUAUAUUAAUUAUUUAUCUCUUUUAAUUUGAUUUUAUCAAUUUAUAGUCUUUGUAAGGUAGUAAAAGAGUCUCUAUAACUAGAAGGUAAAUUAUUAAUUAACCUUCAAUUUACUAACUAUUAAGAUAAAAAAUAACCUAAGAGGCUUUUAUAAAAGCCAUGUUUAGAUAUCUUUAAUUAUUAUUAAACCAAGAUAAUUAGAUAUUAAUUAGAAUUUCAAUUUUGAUUUUAGUUUCACUAUAUAGUCGUAUUAUAUCAUGACAAUGGCGAGAAAUAAUAUAGCUAUCUAUCUACAAAUAUCAAAUAAUUAGUAUAGAGAAUCCAUAGAAAAAUCUCAUGUAGAGAACUUUAAUUACAAAUUAAUAGAUGUGACUUCAAAAAAUGAGGAUUCAAAACUCAUUAAGGUGAGAUUUUAAUUAAUCAAGGCUAUACAAAGAAGAAGAAAAAUUACCUUUGAUAAUUGGCAUAAAAUUUAAAUCCUUAAGCGUGGCAUAUUGGUUCUCCUACAAGAUGCUAAGAGAUUAGAUUUUUCAAGAAAAUUUGAUGCCAUAUAGUUAGGCCCUUACUUAGUUAAAGAAGUCUUUCCAUAUAAUUUAGUUUGACUACAAAUACUCAGCAAGGAAGAUUUUCCUAUCAUAAUAUUUAAAAAUAGAUAUAAAGAAUAUAGCGUGUGAUUUUUAUCAUAUACAAAGUCGAAUGGCUCAUCCUCAAAUUCAUCCUUAUUCAAUCCCUUAAGUAGAAAAUUAUCAAAAUCAAGUAGAAUUUCGAAGCUAAAACAUUGGAAUUUAAAAUAAGCUAUGGUCAUAUUCAUUUUUCUUGUAUUCCUUUUAAUUUAGUUCUUUCAUCAAAAAAUUAGAAAUAUUCUAACUAAAGAAGAGAAGUACUCCAUGAGACUUUCAUGAAAACUAUAUAUAUAAGAAUUAUAACAAUAUGUCUUAGUAAACAUCCAUAUGACAUAGAAGGGUUGGUCAAGUAAGAGGUUGUUAAGUGAGUGUCUCGAAUUCGAAUCCGGUCAAAAAAAAUGCACUAUCUCAAUGAGCUAGUAUUAGUGUAGGAAAAGAAAAACCUUGACACCCAACAAAUAUAUAGGCUUUAGAAGAUUGAUAGUAAAAUCCUCUCAUAUUAAAGAAGAAUCUAAAAAGAUCACUUUUUUAUUGUUUAGAUCUGAUUUUUUUUUUAUAUACAUAAUCAUUAAGUCUUAGAUUAGAUUAAUUUUUUUUUGUCUUUCUUAUUUAGAUCUAUAGAACAAAAUCUACUUUAGUUACUUUAGAUUAAAAAUAAAUCACUCAUUCUUAUCUUGGAUAGUUGUUAAAAUACUUUUGUAGACAAUUAUUUUUUUUAUUCAAUAUCAUUUUGGAAUGUUAGUUCUAGGUUCUUCUCUUUUUAAAGUUGUCCUAGAUGGUCACUAUGUAUGAAUCAUCAAAUUAACUUACUUGUUGUUUUAGGAUAAAAAUAUAUAUUUAGAAUGCUUUAAAUUAUAAUAUAUAGUGAGUAGUGUAGAAAUCCUUAGAGAAAUAGAAAAUUAGAAUUUUAGUGGUAGAAAUGGAGUCUUAGUAAGUAUUGGAGGUAAUUAUUUUUAUUGAUUUAGUAUUUUUAUUCAUUAUUAAAUAUUAAGGAUUAUUUAUUAAGACCAAUAUUUAUAUUGCUCUUCUAUCUGUAUGUACUACUUAUAAAAACUAUAAAUAUUAGUAGUUAGAAGAAGCAUGAGAAAGAACCUCAUGUCAUUUUAGUUAUUGAUAUAAAAAAAUAAGAUUUAUAGUAUAUUUAAAUUAAUUUUUAUUAUUAUCAAAAAUCAUGAAGGUAGGAAAAUAUAGCCUUAAAUGGAUAUUAAUAUUAUAAAAAUAUUAUAGGAUUUUUUAGAGUUUAUUUAAAAUUUAUAUAGUAUUUUUUAUGAAUAUUUAGAGUAAUUUUUAAGAUCUUGUUAAAAAUGAGUUUUUACCACUUUGGGAGCCUUUAUGAAGAAAUGAAGCAAGAUUUGAAGGCUACACAAGGUUUCCAGGCUAGUAGGAUGAUUUUAAAUACCAUAGUAAAGUUUAAAAUAUAAAAAAAUGAAUUUUACUAAUAGAAAAUAGGAGGACCAGCAACUAGUCUAGUCCUUGUAGGAAAGAAGGUAUACAAGUCCCAUGUGGGUUGUAGCAUUGUGGGUAUAGGUAGGAAGAUAAGACUAAGGCCUCGUGGCUUCUCUAAAUAUCCUUAUACACCACAUGUGAGCCUUGAUGAGGCUUGAACUCUUGAUCUAUAAACAAGUUACUUGUGACGUAAAAUAUUUUUACUUUACUUUUUAAUUAUUUACUUUCUAUCUUUAAUACCAUAAUUUAUUCAUAAUAAUUCAAAUUUAUAUGUUUCUUAUAUCAUUGAAAAGAUAAUAAAAUCAUCUAUUUAAAAAUAUACUUUCUAUUUUUAUUUUUACUUUUUACUAGAUAAAAUAUAGUAAACAGACUAUAACUUAAUUCUAGGUAUUAUAAUUAAUUGAUUUCAUUUCUUUCACUUGUAUUGUAGUUGUUCUUCUUUGGUUUCUUGCCAAUUACAUACUUCACUUCAUACCACCAAUUACAAGUAACUUUUAAUUGAGGCCAUCUUGUAAUUGGGAUUAAAGAGUAAAUUUUACAUUCACAUAGAGUAAAGAGUCUAACAUGUAUGUAAGCUAAUGGGUGACAAACCUCUUUGGUGCUUUGCACCUUAGGAGAUAAUUUAGUAGGAAUUUGAGGAAGAAAAGAAGGAAUUUACUAGUAAAAUUUUAAUCCUAUUAAUUUGAGAUUUAAAAGAUUGAAUUUGCCACUUAUAUUUCAAGCAAAUUAUACGCCGAAUUGGGUAUAAGAGGAUGUGCUUUCCACUGAUUGAAGGCUUAUAAGUUCAUUGGCAUCAUCAAAAAGAUCAAGAACGAUGUGUAUCAUGAAGAAAUAUUAGCAAGGUAUAAUUGGCUUACAGAAUUUACGACCAUUUUGAUAUUUUUCAAGAAAGAUAAGGAUUCUUCUUAGCUAAUUUGGGCUUUUUGAUCACAUUUGCAAAGUUAGUUUGUCAUUUUGACUCUCUAAUUAGUAGGAAUUUGGCGAUUAGCUGUAGCCAAUGAGAUUUGGACUUAUUGCAAGUUGAUGCUUUAUAAUUGGUUGAAGGUUGAGUAGUAGAGUAGGUGACCUUGUUUCCUUUGGACAUUCUCUCAUUUCUCUCUUAAGUGUUUUCUCUCUCUUUUCUCUUUUCUUUUAGAUUUCUCUCCUAAAGUUGUUGUUUUAGAUAAAAACAUUAAUAAAUCACAACCUAAAAUCCACUACAUAUUGCAUGACCAUUGAAUAGGCUUCAAUUUUAUAGUAAUAAUAAGUCUUCAAGGAAAAAUCUAGAUUUUGAUAUAAUAAUGUGCGUCCCAUUGAUUGCUCCAUAUACAGAUGAUAAGCCAUAGAAAUGCCAAAAAUCCAACAUCAUUUGCUGCAUCACUUCUCUUACUGGCCAACAUAUCACUUGUUUGCUCAUGAUAUUCAACGUUUUCACAAACUUUUGAAGUAUAAGACCAAUUGUUGAUCUGCUUAUAGCAAAAUUCUCUCUACAAUUAAGUAUAUUGAUUCAAUAAACUAAUUUAUACAAUACACAAUAAAUCCUAAUUUCAAUCAAUAUACCAUUAUGGUAUUUAGUAUCAUGCUUUGCUAUCAAAAAGCAGAAAUUAUCAAUCGAGUAUUCAUCAUUAUAAAUAUACAUGAUAAAUUCAUUGAACCAUGUUGUGCAAUGAGGCUUUAUCCAAAACCAAAUUCUAUCAUAAAGACAUCCCAUACACACAUGAAUCUACAUAAUAAGAUAGAAAUUUUAUUUUUCUUUUAAAAAAAAUGGUUUCAAGAAUUAUUUUUGUUGCUCGAUGAGUUGAAAAAAUUGCCUAAGACUAUUCUUUACUAUAUUUCUUAGUAUCCUUCAAAGGAUUUUUGUAAUUUUUUUUCUAUUUUUUUAUUUGCAAUUAAUUCAUCUUUAUUAUUAUUAAUUAUAAUAUAAAUUAUAAUAUCUUAUCAUAAUUCUACUAUUUGAUCUCUUGGACUUCUUUCUUUUAGUAACAAUGAUGAUUAAUUGAUUUCUUUAAGCUUAUUGCCAGUUCAUCACCAAUGCAACCUCUUUUUUUUCCCUACUUUAGCUUUCUAUGUUUCUCAGCAUAGUAUAUCAAUUAUUACUUACCAUCACCACAUCUUUAGCUUAAACUUUAUUUCUUUGACUUCUAGCAUUAAUUUAUAUUUCACAACCUAUAGUACUAUGCAAUAGUGUUGAUGUAGUUCAAAAAUUGAUAUAUUUUUGUUUCUAUUGCCCAUCAUAGCAAUUCAAUAAAAUAUCUUAUCUUUUAAUAAAUUACAGCAAUCUUUAGCUACUUCUUUACUUUAUCUACAAUGCCAUCUAGUUAUCUCUCUUUGCCAUACUUCAAACUAAAGCACAAAACUCUCCAAUGCUACUAAUAGUAAUUUGCACACUCAACUCUAAAUGCUCCAAAGUUUUAAAUCCAAAUCCAACUCCAAACUCAAAAUAUCUUCUUUUUCCCUUCCUCCAACCACAAUACAAAAUUCUGCAAUUUUGAUCAACAACAACCUACACACUCAACUCUAAAUGCUCUCAAGGUCUCAAUUCAAUCUUUGCUCCAAAUUCCAAACAUUUCUUCUUAUCCUUCUUCCAUCUAUGGCACAAAACUUUGCAAUCCUAACAAACACCAAUAUGCAAACAAAACUCUAGCUACUCCACUUGACACCUUUGGAUUGAUACUUACUUGACUUAAGUAUCUACAUAAAAAAAGAAGUAUUUAUAUAUAUAUAUAUAUAUAUAUAUAUAUACUCAGAUCCUCCUUCAACACUCAUAACUAGAUUUCUUAAUUAACUUUCAGCACAUCACAACCACCAAUGUUACCCUCAAUCCCUUGGCUCAAAGUUUCACCCCCAAGUCAUUAGAAUAUGAUAACCACUAGAUCUAUGAUACAAAACUUAUCUCUUUUUAUUUCAAAAAUUUAUUAUUCUUUAUUCUUUAAAUACUCCGUAUUCCUUUCUACCAUUCAUAAUAAUAUUGACUUCUAUGCCACAAUAUUUAUAUCCACUGGACACAAAAUUAUACUAUUAUAUAAAUAGUUAUUUUACUUAUAAUGGCUAAAGAGCUAUUGUUCUUUUUUCCAUGCUACAUCCUAUAAUAUCAUCAAAAUUAUUAUUAAUUCUUCAAACACCCACUCUUAACUACUUUCCAUGUCAAAAAAUAUACAAAAUAAUGUCACAAACCUUACAUCACUUAAAACAUUUCACAUCCAUUCUACCUCUAUACACUACAAGUGCAAUCAAUUAAUUUAUCUUAUUAUUUUCUAAAUUAGUUAGUAAGCAAUAUGACCAAAUCUUUUCUCUACUAAUCAAUAUUGACAUCUAAUGGAAGCAAUUCAUUAAUAAUUUAAAAUUAUAAUAUAUAUCAACCAAUACAAAUUAUUCUAAACAAGAUAGAUCUAAUUAUACACAUACUAGCCUAAUAGAUGGCUACUACAUAAAAUCACUGCAUAACCUUCAUUGAACAUCAAAAACUAUAACCAACUUCCAAUACAACUCCCACCAUAAUCUCUUUACUCUUCAAAAUUUCCAUCAAUGCUAUCCCACCAUGCCUCAACUCUUACAUAUACUAGGUCUUAGAAAGCUUCUUGAGAAGUUCCCAUGUUGCUUGGAUACAAAGCAAUCCUACGAUCCUUCAAAAAUCUAAUAGAAUAUUUGAAGAAUUUUUUAGAAUCUUCUAAAAUCUAUUGAAAUAUUUUAAGAAUCUUUUCAAAAUCUUAUUGUUGGAUAUCUGAAACAUAACCUCUACUUCUAAUUCCGAGUUUCAUAAGGAAUUAAAUGUAUUACAUACGUAGAAAAUCCAAAAUAUGCUGAAGUAGCAAAGUAACAUAUUCAACCCUUAGUUCUUGGAUUAUACAUUGAACAAGACCUCACAAAAAACGUCAAUGGCCUCUAGCUAAAAUGCAAAGAUUCGACAUGGCUAUUCUAUUCUACCUUGAAAAAGAUAACUAAAUACAGGUAAAAGUCUACUUAAGGCUUUCCCCUUUUAUGUGCAUUCUUGAGGUAGAAGCUUCAACAAGAAGUUAUCAUAAACAAACUUAGGUUUCAGAUGAUAGAGAUGAUGAAACUCUUGUACCCUUUGCCGUGCACUGAUUAGAUUUUCAGCUGGUUUCCAUGCACGUUCAUUGAUAUCAAAGCCACCCCAAUCGAUAGGGUACUCCAACUUGCCUCACCUACACUGCAAAUCAAGAACCUUUACAACCUCGUACUCCAUGUGGUUCUCAAAUUCAAUCCAAGGCGGCAGUAGAAUGAGAAAAUUGACUAUUGAGAAAUGGACUGAUUCCGUGGUCAUCCGCCCGGCGUUUAGGGGUUUAUAAUGAGAUGCAUAUCAUUUGUUCCAGGCUCGCGUUCUAUUGGUCUCCACCAUCUGCCAGAGAUAUCGGCAGCCUACAUCAAGUUGUGUGUGAGGUGGAGCAGGUUCCUUUCUCAUUUUUUAAUUCAUCUCCCUCAAUCCUAUUCAUAGGAUUUAAGGGACCCAAUCUUAAUAAAACCUCAAUGAUUUCAACGAGAGCCAUGCUUUGUAGAGUCCACGUCGGAGAAUGUGGACAUUACUGCCACCACUCUGUGCUCGGUCAAGUGACAAGAAGGAUUGCACGAUUUCGAUGCAAAUCGAAGCAGGAGGUGAAUCAGUGACCAAGGUAGCACCUUAACUCUCCAACCCCCAUUUUCUCCACGGCAGGGCGGCUGCCGUUCAAGGGUGAAACGCUACGCAUCGACCAUGUACACAUUUGAAAAGCACAAUACAGCCAAGUUCGUGAUGUAACUGUGAAAAUCAUUCUUGGAACAAAGACUUUUGGCAGGCACUGGAACAUGAUAUACAACUUGAGAUUUACCGUAAUCUGAUGCUGGGCCGCAAAUGGAGGAUAUAAAAAGUAAUAUUCUGAAAGCGACUGUAAACCACAUUGUAUCAAUCUGCAAUGCUCAUGCAACGCCAGCGUAGCGCAGAAUCCAACGACCAUCCCACACGAGCUGCGCAUGUGAUUAUUUAUAAUUUUUCAAGAUGCCGCCUAGGGAAGGCGGUGGCUCCCAAUCCAGUAUAAGGGUGUCGUUGAGAGGCACGGAGAUCCCAAGCUUGUGCUGCACUUGAUGCAUGGUACCUCAAUCCCCUCAUCCUUCCGUGCUGCUCUACGUGCUCCUGCCUUGCCGAUCUGCAUCCUUUGCAGCGCAGAUCUAAUUCACGAUGGCCAGCCAUGGCAAAGCGGUGGUGCUGGUGCUGGUGCUGGUGCUAGUGGCGGCGACGGUGGUGGUGCCGCGGGCGGAGGCGCGUGCUCUAGUGGACGAUGGCGGGGAGCGCCCGGCGGAGCGCAUGAGCCCCUUGAUCACUGACCUCCAGGCAGUUGUGUGCAAGCAUUUGGGCUUGGCCUGCGCAGGCAAUGGCGAUCCACACAAUUUACAGUGUCAAAAGUUAUUUUGGCAUUGUGGAAGGGAUUAUGCGCCAUGCUGCGGUAGUAUGCAGUGCAAGUGCAUUGGGGAUUUGUGUACGUGUGAACUGGUUUAAUGUAGAAGGCAGAUAUUGGAAACGUGUUUGAAUUGCCAUGACUGAAGCUUUUAUGAUGAGCAGUGCUGCAGUCGGGUUUGCAUUCCAUUCCUGGAUGUCAGCCCUCUUGCUUACAGAAUGUUGUGAGAGUGAGUCUAGACGGCAGAUAUUCGGGAUACGAUGCUUCCUUAUCGAGCUGUAAUCAAGCCAUGUAGUACUGUCUACAAUAAAGUUGCAAAACUACUAGGUCAACUGUGGCGCCAUUCUGUGGCAUUUGAACUAAUGUAAAGUUACAAGACUACUUGGUCAACUGUGGCGCCAUUCCGUGGCAUUUGAACUAAUAGAAAGAGCCAUUUUGUAUGCAAUAUUGCACCUUUCUGUCUGGAAUUUUGCGUCAAUUUUGUGUCAUAUUGUCGUGUAGUUGACAAACACCUCAAUUUAGUAGUGGGAGACUAUGGGAGCCAAAAUUGUAAUAAAAGUUGAUCAUCGUGCAGUGUACUUUGAUUUUUUUUUCCUCCUUUGGUGAAUACGUAAUUUAGUCGACCAAAAUGAUCUUUGUUGCAUUUGAGUUCAACUUUCAAAAUGAACCUCAUAAAGUCUUCUUCUUACUCCAUAUUGAAUUUUUUUGAAAAUUCUUAAAAUUGACUGUUUCAUAGUAAUUAUAAGUUCUGCAUCCAGGAUAACAUAAUUUGGUUCUUUUAGGGUGUCUGGUUGAACUGAGAGGCUGUACAUUACCUUCUGCCGACCUCUUCGCUAGUUUGAAUGCACGAGGCUGUGUUUGGGUUACUUCAGCCCCCCGAUGUACUGAACUUCUACUCUGCAUGGCUUGGGGCUCAUGCUGACGCCUUGUGUAAUUGGGAUACUAGUCUUAUAUUUGUUAACAGAUUAUACAAGUACUUUUAUUGUUAUACAUACAACAUUUUAUAAAUUAUGAUUUUAAAUAUUAUACCAUUUAUGAUGCACAAAUUAUUAUAUUUAUGUAAUAUAAUAUUAUAUAUAUAUAUAUAUAUAUAUACAUAUAUGUGUAAUUUAUAUUUAUACAUAUUAAUAUAAUUAUAUAUAGUAAUUAUAUAUUUAAUCUAUAUAAUGUUAUAUUUAUAUAUUUUAUAAUUUAUAUAAUUAUUAUAUAUAAUAUUAUAUUUUAUAAUAAUAUAUAUAAUUAAACAUACAUAAUAAUAUGUUUAUAUUCAUUUUAAAUAUUAUAAUGUAUAUACAUAAUAUAUUUAUUAAUAAAUAUUUAUACAUAUGAUAUUAUAUUAAUAUUAUAUAUAUUAUUAUAAUAUAUGUAUUAUAGUUUAAAUAUAAGGAAGCAAUAUAUAGUUCUGGCCACAAACUCAUCUCGGGACAACUUGGAUUUACACUACCAAAAAAUAAGGAAAAUGACCAUGGGAGUUGAUGUUACCAAAAGCGCUAUAAAAGUGUCAUAGAGGAUAAGGUUUCAUGGUCCAAGUUCAUUUUAAGUAGGUCAAGCACAAGACGUCGGUUAGCCGCAAAACCGAGAGACUGUGGGCUUAACUCCUAAAGGACAAUUGUCCCAAAUUGGGCUUUUUGCAUUUUUAGGCAGGCUUGUUUGAAGUCAAUUUGAGGUGUAAUAUUCUGAAAUCUUUUUUGGAGGUGCGGGAAUGUAAGAGCUUUGUGGUGACAUAAUCUUUUUUCAUGCCCAACCUUCUCAAAAAUAGAUAUUCUGUAAUAAGCUAUUUUUUUGAUCUUGGGGCAAUUUGACCUCAAAAAAAAUUGACCUCAAAAACAAUUUGCAUGUAUAUUAGUAAUGUUUUGGACCUUCUUUCAUUACAAGUUUUUUUUUUUUUUUUUUUUUUUUUUUUUUAAUAUGCUAUAAUCCUCUACUAGUUCUAAAGAAAUUGGUAUGUAGGUAAUUUGCAUGGUCUUCUUUAUGUUGGUCAAGUACAAUCAACUUUGUUAGUGCAAAAAUUUCAUUUUACAAGAAGUCAAGGUAGGCUGAACUUGUCGGCUGGGAUGCCAAAAAGAUUCUUAUUUUGAACUUCAAAUGUUGUAAUCUUCCAAUCCGUGUAGCCAAAUUAUAUGAAACAAAUAGCACACAUUUCUCUAGUGGUCUAAUUCAAGAUGCUAUGAUUAUAGAAUAGAAAAACUAUUUUUUGAAUAUUUUCACUUUUUGCACUAGAAAUGGCAGAUUUGGAGUAGUUUUUAGUGAAAUAUAAUCAAGGAACUUUAGGGGUUAAAAAGCAACAAAAAAAUUGCUAUGAACUGAAAAUUGUCAUUUUUUGAAGUGGUUUUUAAAUUCUUGGUAGGAUAAUUAGACCCUUCUAAAUUCAAUUUUGUAGUUAGUUUCUUUAUUUGAUGUCAUUUUUGACAUAUUUAGGCAUUGAAUAUAUAGAAAUAGCAUUGUUUUAGUAAAUUUUUGUGACCAUAUCUUACAAACUGUACCUUAGAUUACAAAGUAUUUUUAUAUAUUACAAAUCACAAUGGUCCAAUUAGUCUAGUUGAAUUGAUUUUAAUUUGUAUUUUGAUAUUUUUAUUAUUGAGCCUAUUAUCAGAAACUCUAUAUUUCUCAUUCAUCUUCAAUAGCCAUACAAGGAGCUAAAGAAGCAACUUUAUGUUAUAUUUCAAAAUUCAGAAUGUAUAAUUUUUGCAUCUUUAACAAGCUUGGAAUUGAAGGACUAAGAAUUACCUCGUAAAGCGCAAGGAUAAGAAGGAGAGUCAAGGUUGUAGCUCCUUAAGCAACAUCAUCUUUACUCAUUUGUCUACUUACUUAUGAAGUUGCCUUGGAAGUCUCACAAGUCUUUCAAUGAUCUCUAUAUCUAGAAACUCAAGAAAGUUAGAGAAGAACAUACCAUCUCCAACUAGCACAAAUUCUUCUAACCUAUUGUAACAUCAGAACCAAUACUUUGGAUACUUAAAUUGAUUAUGGUUACGAGCAUCAAAAGAAUUAUUAAAUCCAAAUGUAGAUCGAGAAUUAGAACUAAUCUCAAAUGUUUAUGUGCUUCUCUACACAAUUUUAUUCAUGUGGGGCUUUUAGGACCUCCUUUCUUCAUUUCAAUGAGAAGUACAAUUUUGGCUAGUAAAUAUGCAAAGUUGUAUUAAUUUAAAAGAAGAUAUUUCCCUCUUCAUACAAAUAACUAUAAUUCGUUAAAGUAAGGACAGAAACACAUGGAUAUAAAGGAUAAGCAAUAGAUUAAGAUCUCCAUGCUUAUGGCCUUAGACAUCAAUCUACUGGUAAGAAAUUGGAAGUGAAGGGCAUUGAAAUUUGGCUUUGAAGAUCUCAGCUUCGAAUUCCUUGAAGGACAAGGGAUAUAGGAGAUCUAUGCAAUGGCUAUCUUAUAUAAUCAGUGGCAUGCUUUGUGCUCCUUAUUGAAGUGACAAUAGUGAAAGGACAAGGCUCAAGGUCUGCAACAUCAAACCUAAUUCUUUGGCAAGCCACUUGCCACUUAUGACUAGUUUGGCAUCAAAGUCCAUCAUCACUUCUAAUGAUAUAGUAUGAAUGGCAUUGCCAUUGUGCGACUGAUAACAAAUACAUUGUUGUCAUUAAUCAACUGCACCAUGCGUAGUCAUAUGCUAUGAUGCUCACAAGAAGAUCUAGUUAUAAUGUCAACUAAAUAAACCACUAUCAUAGCCAAAGGUAUAUUAGAUAAAGGAUGUGGCAUUGUCUGUUGUGAAACAACCUUAUCAAAAACUGCAAUGGCUUCAACUGUAAGUCUUGUAUGUAAUUUAGCCAAAUCUUCUUCUAUAGAAGGCUUAGUGAUAUCCUAAGCUACUUCCAAAGAUGAAAUGGGCUCCUUAUUUUCUAACAUCUUACUAACUAGAUGAAAAACUCGAGCUAGUGUAAAAUCUAGAAUGAACAUGUCAAUGGAAAAAAUACAUAGGCAUUUGUAAUUUUUUGUAAGUCAAAAUAUAUGUUGAGUCUUUAAUAGUAGCUGUUGCAUCUGGUGCUAUAAUUGGAACAUGAGACCGACUUAAAAAAGUAGUAUUUGUAAGUCCAAAUGAUAAUAGCAAUUGAGCUUGGCCAAUGUAAUUCGAUGUACCACUAUUAUGAGUGCGUCCAAAAUUUCUAGAGUCAUCCACAGGUUAUAUCAUUAACUUGGCUAUUGUCUAGGCAUAGAUAGUAGCUACCAUUGUCAUAUUACGUGCUAUCUUGCUUGAGAACGUGUGAAGCAUCUGGCUGUAGGAGGUAGUAUGGUAUUUCGCUAGUAUUCAAGCAGUCUAUCGUGUUUUUGACUACCCAAAUACAAUCUACAUCGGAUUGCAAUGUAAAAGCUUAAUUCCAAUAUAAAAUGUCUAGAGACCCUAUAUAACUUUAAUCUUUUUUUUAUUUUUAUUUUAUUUUAUUUAUUUUAUGUUUUUUACUUUAUCUUUAUCAUUAAUUAUCUUAAUCCUAGACCGUGAACUUUGGCAAGCUGUGAUCCUCAAUCUAUCAUUCCGACUUGUUGUGAAACAUCUAUCUCUAGUGUCUCUGUAAGCCCUUUUAAAUGCUCAAGAAGUUCCAGUUCAACCCCGCUUACAGAUUGUGAGACUAUGUUGUAAUCCGCAACGAUGUCUCUUGGCCGCUCGCCGAUAUUCCUCUUAUCCCUAUCGAUAGGUCCCCAGUUUUCACAGAAACUCUAAACAACCCCCGAUUUGCCAACUUCCAAAACCUCUUUAAACUGUUGGCAGAUAUCCUCUAUCCGUACAGCCAGAUUAACACAACCACACAUGCAUUCAGCAUACUCAAUCUUCUAGACAACUCUGAAUUUCAACCACAGAAGUAUCUCCCAUUUCAUCAAUAAUCAAGAGUACAAGCCUUUUCUCUCUUUCGGAAAAAAAAUCCAGUUCACCAAUAUAACAUUGACUUUCAACAACGAUUGCCUCAGUCUUCUCAAAUGGUGCUAGAGUAGAUGAUGAAAUUGGUGGAAGUACGGAAAUUAGUGAGUUUUGGGCUUCUGCCGUUUCUACAAUGCAAGAAGGGAAAUUACCUCGAGAAGCGUUAUUGAGGACUUGUCAAGGACAAAGACUCGAUGAGGAAAAAUAUACACCAAAAGGCUAUCUCGAUAUAAUAAGUCAAAAUAUAAACAAGUAGGUAUAUUAAAAGGAAACUGGAAUGGCUAUUGCCACAAGACAAGAAACUAAAGACUCUUGAACCUGGACUAGAAGCAAGAAAGGAGUUGACAAGAGUGAAGAAGCCUUCACUCUUGUCUCUAUAUAUACUAUCUAACUAGGGGCUACAUGGCGACGUUCUAUAGGACCUCCAAUAUGUGUUGACUUUGUAGGACACAUGCCUUGACUUACAAGGCAAGUUUUUCUACGUGUGGGCCACAUAGUUAGCUUGAUCUUCAAGCUAACAACAUGUGUGGCACAUGGCCAACUUGUUGACCACGUUUCUAAUCCAAAAAGUCAAUUAAAGACACCUAUGAAGUCAAAGCAGCAUCUAGGAAGUUUCUAGGAAGCUUCUAUAUUAAAUAUUAUACAAUUAACUUACUUUUAUCUACUUUUACUUACUUCUACCUAUUUCUAUAUGUAAUUAUUAGCUUACAUGAUUAUGGCCGUGACAUUACCCCCCCUUCUAGAGACGAGUUCCACGAGGAGCGGUCAUCAUAUGUUGAGGAAAUCUAUGAUGCGACGAAUUAUAUUCGCCACAUACUCUGAUCUCUGUUCUCUUCGAAGAUGAUUGAUAGGGCCUCUCAACCAUCGGUAGUGUCCCAUACCAGGGCGGGAAGACCACCCAGUUAUUUGAUCAUUAUUGAAGCCUUCAUAACUUCCUUCGAAUAGAAUAUUCGAAACACCAUCAGGAGUUGUUCCUACCUCUAGCAAAAUCACCAAACAUCGGGAGUCCCUUCCCAAAUCGUGAUACCAAACGCGUUGUAUCUCACCAUCUGUUCGAGGAAGAACAUGUCGUUCUUGAAGAUCUUCAUCUCGAUUGCGUCGUCUUGAAGGUUGUGACAAUCGUAAUGUCUCGUCCGACAGGUCAGCAAACGAAGGUUCUUGAGUUGAAUCCGCUAGUUGUUGGCUCUCCAUCUAAUUAGCGUCACAAAUGUAAAGAAGUUACAAACAAGGAUAGGAAAUUGAAUGUUAUCUUGCCUCAAUCUUGUCUCUUUUAUAAGAGAGAUUUUCAUCUUGGUUUUGAUGGAUGUCGUUGAUGAAAAACUUUGACUUUAGCUGAUGCAUUUGCUAGAUUCCUAGAUGGCUCUCAUGUGCGUUCACUAAUAUCAUAUCCGCGCCAAUGAACAAGAUAUUUCAGCUUAUUUCGGCGCCACCUUGAGUCUAAUAUCUCUUCCACCUCAAAUUCUUCAUUAUUAUCUACUUCUAUAGGAGGCGGUGGCAUUUGUCUUCUUCCUUGUAUAUCCACUGUCUUAUAUGGUUCAAAAAGAGAUACGUGGAAUACAGGAUGGAUCUUCAUUGACUCCGGUAGAUGUAACCGAUAUGCAACUGGGUUGAUCUGUUCAGAAACAGAAAAGGGGCCAAGCCUACGAUAGUCCAACUUGUCACAAGGUCGAGUAGUCUUGAUAUUGCGACAAAGUAGCCAUACCUUAUCACCCACGUUGAUUUGUGGUUGCUCCUUACGAUAUAGAUCUGCGUUUAUCUUUUGUCGUUCUUGAGCUUCCUUCAAUUGUGUCUUCAUUAUUGCAUGUAACUCUGACAACCGAUUUGCCAUAUCUUCUGCUGCAGGAUUAUCAACUUUUGAAAAAUCAAAAGUAUCAAGUCGUGGAUGAUAGCCAUAAUUGGCAAAGAAAGGUGUUUGUUGCGUGGAAGAAUGUACCGUAUUAUUAUAAGCAAACUCUGCCAAUGGCAGAAGGGUUGUCCAAUUAUCUUGUUGGUAGUUGAUAGUACACCUUAAAUAUUGCUCCAAGACUUGGUUUACGCGCUCUGUUUGUCCAUCAGUUUGAGGAUGGAAAGCCGAAGAUAGCUUUAUGUCCACUUUUAAAAUCUUGAAAAGGGUCCUCCAAAAUCUUGACACAAAUUGAGUUCCCCUAUCCGAUAUGAUAUCUUUAGGUAAUCCAUGAUAGCGAUAGAUAUUAUCAAUAAAAAGCUUAGCUGUUUCUUCACCUGUGAUAGAUUUUGUACAUGGCACAAAAUGUGCCAUCUUGGUGAAACGAUCUACUAUCACAAAUAUAGAAUCAUAAGAUCUUGAACUUGGAAGAUCUGUGAUGAAAUCCAUAGAAAUAGAAGACCAUGGUUGUUCUGGUAUAGGUAAUGGCUGAAGAAGUCCGUAAGGUUGAUGACGAGGAAUUUUUGAUCUUGAACAAAUAUCACAUGAUUGUACAAAGUCUUUGACUGACUUCCACAUUUGUGGCCACCAAAAAUCUCUUGAUAUGAGUUCCAAAGUCUUAUUAUAUCCAAAGUGCCCUGCUGCUGGAAAGUCAUGACGUGCUUGAAGAACACGUAAACGUGAUUCUCCUUCUGGAACAUAUAGGCGUCCUUCAAAAUAUAAUAGAUUAUUCUUGAACUCAAAUUUAGAAGGAUCAUGAGACUUGGAAGAAUUAUUCUCGAUAUCAUAAACAAGAGGAUCUGAGGACAUACUAGAAUGGAUUUGCUUGAGAAAAGUUGAAUCAACAGUCAAUGUUGAUUUCAUUGCUCGGAGAUGAAAUUGCUCCGGUUUCAAGAGGACCGUUCUUUGUUGCUCAAAAGCUGCAUCUCCUUCUUUUGGUGCAAAAUAAGAACGUCUAGAUAGGGCAUCGGAUAAACCUUGUUGUUUUCCUGGCCGAUAAGUGAUAAUGAACUCGAAUCUUGACAAAGACAUACUCCAACGAGCUUGACGACGAUUCAACACGCGUGCUGACAUGAAAUACUCGAGGUUCUUGUGAUCUGUAUACACAGUGACUGGACUAAAAGCGCCUUCUAGAUAAUGAUGCCAUUCUUGAAAGGAAUCCACAAUCGCAAGAAGUUCUUUAUCGUGGAUUUCAUAAUUGAUCUCGGCUGCUGAGAAUUUUCUUGAAUGAAAAGCUAUCGGAUGGAGUUUGUCAUCUGUUCCCAUUUGUGAUAAAACUGCACCCAAGGCAAAAUCUGAUGCAUUUGUUUCCAUAAAAAAUGCCUUAGAAAAGUCAACACGAUAUAAGACUGGUGCAGAGACAAACGAUGUCUUCAAGGCUUCAAAUGCUGCUUCCGCUUCUUGAUUCCAUUGAAAUUUAUCUUUACUAGUCAAGCGUGUAAGUGGAGCUGCAACUCGUGAGAAAUCUUUGAUGAAGAUCCGAUAGUAAUUGGCAAAUCCCAAGAAACAUUGGACAUCUCUUACCGUCCUUGGAAUCUUCCAAUCCACGAUUGUUUGGACUUUCUUAGAAUCCAUCAUGAGACCAUCAUUUGAAAUGAUGUAUCCUAAAAAGUCAACUUGAGUAGUGUGAAAUACACACUUUUCCAUCUUGGCGUACAAUCCUGCAUCUCUAAGUUUUUGUAAUACUUGACGAACAUGUAUUUCAUGUUCUUCGACGUUCUUGGAAUAGAUCAGGAUAUCGUCUAGAUAGCAGACGACAAAAUUGUCUAAGAAUUCACGAAAUACAUCAUUCAUGAGAUGUUGAAAAGCAGCUGGUGCAUUCGUGAGUCCAAAGGGCAUGACAUUAUAUUCGAAAUGUCCAUACCUGGUUCGAAACGCAGUCUUCCAUUCAUCUCCUUCUUUGAUCCGUACUAGAUUAUAUGCUCCUCUUAGAUCUAUUUUUGUAUAGAUCUUAGCUUGAUUCAACUGGUCAAGGAGUCCUGAUAUCAAAGGUAAUGGAUACUUGUUCUUGAUUGUGAUCUUGUUGAGUCCUCGAUAAUCAACACACAUUCGUAAAGAUCCAUCUUUUUUCUUUAUGAAUAGAAUCGGAGCUCCUGCUGGAGAUUUUGAAUGGCGUAUGAAAUUCUUCGCUAAAUUCUCGUCAAUAUAUGUCUUGAGUUCAGCCAUCUCAUCUUGCGAUAAACUGUAAAUUGGUCCAAAUGGUGGCUGAGUUCCUUCCUUGAGGUCGAUUGAACAAUCAUAUGGACGAUGCUCAGGAAGAAUAUCUACAUUCUUUUUUUCAAAAACGUCUUGAUAUUCCUGAUAUUGACUUGGAAUGCCACUUGAAGUCUUUACGUUUUCAGAAAUAGGUGCAGCAUAAAUAGCAAAAGUUGAUCCUUCUUUUGCUGCGUGUAUAAAUGCUUUUGCACCUAUCAGUACGGGUUUUACUGUACUAGACUUAUAAUUUUUUACUUGGUUCGUAGAACUAUUAAUAAUGCUUUUGGAAAAGUCAAGUUUACGCGAAUUCCAAUCUAUUCGAGGAUUAUAUUUUUCUAGCCAGGAUAAACCUAAAAUAACUGGAUUGGACGGGGAUUUAAUUAUGUUAAAAGCUAUGUAGCUAUCAUGACCGUCUAUUGUUACUUUUAUAGGAUGAGUUUCAUGAGUGACAUCUCCAGAAGACAAGGGACGACCAUCUAUGACUUCUACAUGUACUGGUUUAGGUUUCUGUACAAAGGGUAUUUUACGACUUUUAACAAAUUGUUCAUCUAAAAAACAUGCUGAGGCUCCCGAAUCUAAUAAAGCAGAGGCUUUGUAAUUCUUAGGUUCUAAAUAUAAGUCUAUUAUAAAACAAGGAGAGGGUUCUGAGGAGAGGAUAGGACCUUCAUUAGGAAUUGUACAAGGUUCCAGCUGCACGGUCCCUAUUGUAGCUGGACGAAUCCGUUUUCCGACAUGUUGUCUUCUUUGACCGUCGUACCCCUCAUUUUAUAGUUGCGUCGUUUCUUUGGACAAUGUUGAGCAGUGUGCUUAGGUUCUCCACAAUAUAAACAUAAUCCUUCUUCACGACGACGAAUCUUUUCUUGCUCAGUUAGAGGUUUAAAACGUACCGCGUCAAUUUGCAUGUCUUCUACUUCUGAAUGUAUGUUUGGCAAAGAUGUUGAUGUUGCCAUUGAGUAAUAAUGUUGAGGUUCCCGUGAAUGAUUCUCAGAUCGAAAUUCAAAAAGUCGAUUAUCACAUUUUACCGCAAAAUCGAUUGCUUGACUCAAAGUUUGAGGAUCAGGUAAGUUGAGCAUCAAUUUCUUUACUUCGUAUUGCAAUCCAUAAAGAAAUUGACUGAUGAGUGCAGCAUCAUCCCACUUGAUGUCAAUUGCAAGUUGUCGAAAUUGUGAAGCAUAUACUGUUACUGAGCGAUUUCCUUGUCGCAGAAUUCGGAUCUUAUUUGUUGCAACACGAGUUGCAUCGUGUUCACCAUACAUAGAUCGAAACUCCGCCAAAAAAGCUUCCAAAUUAUCCAAUAUUGGAUUUCGUUGUUCAAGAAAAGACGAAAACCACGAUAAUGCAGAACCAGAAAGUAGAGUGCCAAUAAACCUGACUUGUGAUCCUGGAGUUGGAUAGCUUUGCGGUUGAAGUUCAAUUGCCAAUUGUACUUGAUUGAUGAACCCUCAAAACUUUGAUCUCGUACCAUCAAAUUUCUCAGGUAAGGCAAUUCUUGGUUCUCUAGUGCUUAUAGGGUGUUGUACAAUUGGAGAAGGAACGUGAUUUGUUGUAGAUGUUGAAGCAGCUCCGAUCAUCUCUAUAUCUCCACUUUCUGCUAUUCUUGUUCUUUCCUGUGUUGGUGAAUUGAGUUGAUGCAUCGCAAGCAUUAACUCCCUCAUUUGCUCUUGCAUUUGUGCCAUUGCACUCUUCAUUUUAACAAGCUCUGCCAUAAUGAUACUAAGAAGAAAAAUUUGUUUGAUAUUGCUCAAGACAAAAGAAAAGAAAGACUUGAUAACAAAGAAGAUACUAAGAACAAUAUCAGUUUAGAAGUGGGUAAUCCGCAAACUUCUAAUACGCUUAUGUCUUGUCAAGAGAAAGAGGUAAUCCACUCUUACUCAAGAAAAAACAAAGCUCUGAUAUUGUAAGUGUACUCUUGUCAAUCUGUCAAGGACAAAGACUCGAUGAGGAAAAAUAUACACCAAAAGGCUAUCUCGAUAUAAUAAGUCAAAAUAUAAACAAGUAGGUAUAUUAAAAGGAAACUGGAAUGGCUAUUGCCACAAGACAAGAAACUAAAGACUCUUGAACCUGGACUAGAAGCAAGAAAGGAGUUGACAAGAGUGAAGAAGCCUUCACUCUUGUCUCUAUAUAUACUAUCUAACUAGGGGCNNNNNNNNNNNNNNNNNNNNNNNNNNNNNNNNNNNNNNNNNNNNNNNNNNNNNNNNNNNNNNNNNNNNNNNNNNNNNNNNNNNNNNNNNNNNNNNNNNNNNNNNNNNNNNNNNNNNNNNNNNNNNNNNNNNNNNNNNNNNNNNNNNNNNNNNNNNNNNNNNNNNNNNNNNNNNNNNNNNNNNNNNNNNNNNNNNNNNNNNNNNNNNNNNNNNNNNNNNNNNNNNNNNNNNNNNNNNNNNNNNNNNNNNNNNNNNNNNNNNNNNNNNNNNNNNNNNNNNNNNNNNNNNNNNNNNNNNNNNNNNNNNNNNNNNNNNNNNNNNNNNNNNNNNNNNNNNNNNNNNNNNNNNNNNNNNNNNNNNNNNNNNNNNNNNNNNNNNNNNNNNNNNNNNNNNNNNNNNNNNNNNNNNNNNNNNNNNNNNNNNNNNNNNNNNNNNNNNNNNNNNNNNNNNNNNNNNNNNNNNNNNNNNNNNNNNNNNNNNNNNNNNNNNNNNNNNNNNNNNNNNNNNNNNNNNNNNNNNNNNNNNNNNNNNNNNNNNNNNNNNNNNNNNNNNNNNNNNNNNNNNNNNNNNNNNNNNNNNNNNNNNNNNNNNNNNNNNNNNNNNNNNNNNNNNNNNNNNNNNNNNNNNNNNNNNNNNNNNNNNNNNNNNNNNNNNNNNNNNNNNNNNNNNNNNNNNNNNNNNNNNNNNNNNNNNNNNNNNNNNNNNNNNNNNNNNNNNNNNNNNNNNNNNNNNNNNNNNNNNNNNNNNNNNNNNNNNNNNNNNNNNNNNNNNNNNNNNNNNNNNNNNNNNNNNNNNNNNNNNNNNNNNNNNNNNNNNNNNNNNNNNNNNNNNNNNNNNNNNNNNNNNNNNNNNNNNNNNNNNNNNNNNNNNNNNNNNNNNNNNNNNNNNNNNNNNNNNNNNNNNNNNNNNNNNNNNNNNNNNNNNNNNNNNNNNNNNNNNNNNNNNNNNNNNNNNNNNNNNNNNNNNNNNNNNNNNNNNNNNNNNNNNNNNNNNNNNNNNNNNNNNNNNNNNNNNNNNNNNNNNNNNNNNNNNNNNNNNNNNNNNNNNNNNNNNNNNNNNNNNNNNNNNNNNNNNNNNNNNNNNNNNNNNNNNNNNNNNNNNNNNNNNNNNNNNNNNNNNNNNNNNNNNNNNNNNNNNNNNNNNNNNNNNNNNNNNNNNNNNNNNNNNNNNNNNNNNNNNNNNNNNNNNNNNNNNNNNNNNNNNNNNNNNNNNNNNNNNNNNNNNNNNNNNNNNNNNNNNNNNNNNNNNNNNNNNNNNNNNNNNNNNNNNNNNNNNNNNNNNNNNNNNNNNNNNNNNNNNNNNNNNNNNNNNNNNNNNNNNNNNNNNNNNNNNNNNNNNNNNNNNNNNNNNNNNNNNNNNNNNNNNNNNNNNNNNNNNNNNNNNNNNNNNNNNNNNNNNNNNNNNNNNNNNNNNNNNNNNNNNNNNNNNNNNNNNNNNNNNNNNNNNNNNNNNNNNNNNNNNNNNNNNNNNNNNNNNNNNNNNNNNNNNNNNNNNNNNNNNNNNNNNNNNNNNNNNNNNNNNNNNNNNNNNNNNNNNNNNNNNNNNNNNNNNNNNNNNNNNNNNNNNNNNNNNNNNNNNNNNNNNNNNNNNNNNNNNNNNNNNNNNNNNNNNNNNNNNNNNNNNNNNNNNNNNNNNNNNNNNNNNNNNNNNNNNNNNNNNNNNNNNNNNNNNNNNNNNNNNNNNNNNNNNNNNNNNNNNNNNNNNNNNNNNNNNNNNNNNNNNNNNNNNNNNNNNNNNNNNNNNNNNNNNNNNNNNNNNNNNNNNNNNNNNNNNNNNNNNNNNNNNNNNNNNNNNNNNNNNNNNNNNNNNNNNNNNNNNNNNNNNNNNNNNNNNNNNNNNNNNNNNNNNNNNNNNNNNNNNNNNNNNNNNNNNNNNNNNNNNNNNNNNNNNNNNNNNNNNNNNNNNNNNNNNNNNNNNNNNNNNNNNNNNNNNNNNNNNNNNNNNNNNNNNNNNNNNNNNNNNNNNNNNNNNNNNNNNNNNNNNNNNNNNNNNNNNNNNNNNNNNNNNNNNNNNNNNNNNNNNNNNNNNNNNNNNNNNNNNNNNNNNNNNNNNNNNNNNNNNNNNNNNNNNNNNNNNNNNNNNNNNNNNNNNNNNNNNNNNNNNNNNNNNNNNNNNNNNNNNNNNNNNNNNNNNNNNNNNNNNNNNNNNNNNNNNNNNNNNNNNNNNNNNNNNNNNNNNNNNNNNNNNNNNNNNNNNNNNNNNNNNNNNNNNNNNNNNNNNNNNNNNNNNNNNNNNNNNNNNNNNNNNNNNNNNNNNNNNNNNNNNNNNNNNNNNNNNNNNNNNNNNNNNNNNNNNNNNNNNNNNNNNNNNNNNNNNNNNNNNNNNNNNNNNNNNNNNNNNNNNNNNNNNNNNNNNNNNNNNNNNNNNNNNNNNNNNNNNNNNNNNNNNNNNNNNNNNNNNNNNNNNNNNNNNNNNNNNNNNNNNNNNNNNNNNNNNNNNNNNNNNNNNNNNNNNNNNNNNNNNNNNNNNNNNNNNNNNNNNNNNNNNNNNNNNNNNNNNNNNNNNNNNNNNNNNNNNNNNNNNNNNNNNNNNNNNNNNNNNNNNNNNNNNNNNNNNNNNNNNNNNNNNNNNNNNNNNNNNNNNNNNNNNNNNNNNNNNNNNNNNNNNNNNNNNNNNNNNNNNNNNNNNNNNNNNNNNNNNNNNNNNNNNNNNNNNNNNNNNNNNNNNNNNNNNNNNNNNNNNNNNNNNNNNNNNNNNNNNNNNNNNNNNNNNNNNNNNNNNNNNNNNNNNNNNNNNNNNNNNNNNNNNNNNNNNNNNNNNNNNNNNNNNNNNNNNNNNNNNNNNNNNNNNNNNNNNNNNNNNNNNNNNNNNNNNNNNNNNNNNNNNNNNNNNNNNNNNNNNNNNNNNNNNNNNNNNNNNNNNNNNNNNNNNNNNNNNNNNNNNNNNNNNNNNNNNNACCAAACUUUUUUUCUUAAGAGGUAAUCCACUCUUACUCAAGAAAAAACAAAGCUCUGAUAUUGUAAGUGUACUCUUGUCAAUCUGUCAAGGACAAAGACUCGAUGAGGAAAAAUAUACACCAAAAGGCUAUCUCGAUAUAAUAAGUCAAAAUAUAAACAAGUAGGUAUAUUAAAAGGAAACUGGAAUGGCUAUUGCCACAAGACAAGAAACUAAAGACUCUUGAACCUGGACUAGAAGCAAGAAAGGAGUUGACAAGAGUGAAGAAGCCUUCACUCUUGUCUCUAUAUAUACUAUCUAACUAGGGGCUACAUGGCGACGUUCUAUAGGACCUCCAAUAUGUGUUGACUUUGUAGGACACAUGCCUUGACUUACAAGGCAAGUUUUUCUACGUGUGGGCCACAUAGUUAGCUUGAUCUUCAAGCUAACAACAUGUGUGGCACAUGGCCAACUUGUUGACCACGUUUCUAAUCCAAAAAGUCAAUUAAAGACACCUAUGAAGUCAAAGCAGCGUCUAGGAAGUUUCUAGGAAGCUUCUAUAUUAAAUAUUAUACAAUUAACUUACUUUUAUCUACUUUUACUUACUUCUACCUAUUUCUAUAUGUAAUUAUUAGCUUACAUGAUUAUGGCCGUGACAGGACUGCAGCUAGAAUACGAGGUAGAACGGGUUGUGAGGAUCCUGUUGACUCUCUUUCAGUUCAUGCAUAUAUUGCUAAGAGCCAACAUGAAGCUUUGAUAGAAGAAAAGAGACGAGGAAAUUUUGAUGAUACGAGAGAAGGAAAUUCUUCUAAGAGGCAAACUCGAGGAGACAAGGUUCAUGAGGCAGCUUCACAAGAAUUGCCUGUAAAGGAUACUUCAGCAUCAUUGGGAGAAAAAACAAAGGAGACAAAAGAUAAGGGCAAAUCAAUUGCUUAUAUGCUACUUUCUGACAUUGAAGCGGCAACAAAUUUGAAAGGGGUGUUGGAAGAACGUAUAUUAAAUGCUAAGGUGGAAUUCACAUUGAAAGAAGUCUUGAGAAUUAUAAAGUAGGAGUUUCAUGAUGUCAUCAUUGACAGCAUUAAGCGAAAGAAGCAAUUGAUGGACGAAAUUGGAAUGAGUCAUGCUAUUGAUGUAAGAAUAUAUAAAGAUGAAGAAGAGGUUGAUAUUGGUUACAAGCAACCAACAAAUGAAAAGAAUGGGUAUAAUCAACGAGUACAUUUCGAAGAUUCUAGUGACAAGGAAAUGAAAACUUUGAGCCAUUAUACUCGAAAGCAUUGGGCAAGGGCAACUACUGAGGUAUUAGUGAAAGUAGGAGACAUAGAAGAACCAAUUGUUACUUUAGUUGACCAUGGUUCUGAAAUAAAUCUUGUGUCUAAAGAUCUUUAUAAGAAGCAAAAAUGGCAAAUUGAUAUGGAACAUGGAUGGGCAAUUCGAGCAGCUAAUAACACACAGGGUGAAUUAUAUAGAGCUUGUCCAGAUGUCAAAAUUCGGAUUGGGGAUGUUGCGACGGAGCAACAUUUCUUUGUUCAAGAUACAACGUCUUAUCCGUUGAUUUUAGGACAACCUUAUAUUAUGACAACACGGAUGGAAGCAAAAGUACUGGACGAUGGUUCUGCUUAUGCAAGGGUACGGAGCGAGGAUGGGAGGAAAGCUGUACAAUUUCUAACAAUACCUCCUAACCAUGAACGGAAUCGAGAUAGGUUGAGGGAGAAAGAAUUGCCAAAGAUUGUUGAAGGAUUUAAGGAUUUUGGGGAGGUACCACUAUAAAGCAAGAUUAUGGAGGUACAAAUGAGGAGGUACUCUCGCGAGAUGAAGGUGCCUUUGAUGCGAGUUUUAUUGGUAUAUUGGAGAAUGGAAAUAUUAUGUAUAAGAAAGUUGAUGAUUUUUAAAGAAAAGAAAAAAAAAGAUUAUAUGAUAUUGAAGGAGAAUUACGCAAGUUAGGUACAUUACAAGAUAAUGAGAGGAUUUUAGGUAUUUAUGAAGAAAAUGGACUGAAAGAUUCAUUGGAAUUGAUUACAUCUAUUGGGUUAGGAAUAAUGAUAAGAUUGUUGAGAUUCAUUCAAGAGAGGUUUAUACCAUAUUUGAAUCUUUUCAAGCACCAGAAGUCACUGUAGAGACGAGAUACAAAAUGGUAGAUAAGAAGGUAAAGCCUAUUGCCGGACCAUUACUAGAAGAUUCUAAAGAACAAAUGGGAGAAGUAUCAAAAGAAGCAAGUUUAAGAGAUCCAAUGAGUAUUGGACAUCAGUUUACUAAAGAGACUUUUGAAGAAUUGAAGAUUGGUUCUGAUGGUUCUUUAUUGCCAGAGGAAAUUACUUGCUUCAAAAAGAUGUUGGCUAAACAAGGUAGAUCGUUUGCCUUCGAAUCUCAUGAAAUUAGAUGUGUGGAUCCAAAUAUUAUAACACCUAUGGUUAUCUUCACUGUACCGCAUGUACCUUAGAAUCUAAGACCGAUUCCAGUACCGAGGGUACAUUUACCUAAAUUGGUGGAACUAUUAAAAGAAAAGAUAAAGAUAAAAAUAUUGGAACCUUCAUUUGUGCCAUAUUCUAGUCGAUGAUGUACGAUACCUAAGAAGAAUGAGUCACUACGGUUUAUUCAAGAUAUGCAACCGGUGAAUGCAGUAACUAGUAGGAAUGCAAGAAUUGGAGCUAUUGUGGAUGAAUUUGCUGAGGCGUUUGCUGGAAGGGCGAUCUAUUCAAUGGAUGAUUUGUAUUCAGGUUAUGAUCAAUUUCAACUUGUCGAAGGAAGUAGUGAUAUGAAAACGAUGAGGACACCACUUGGAUUGGUUAGAAUGUGCACUCUUCCUCAAGGGGCGACCAACUCAGUUGCGCAUAUGAUGAAUGGGAUGAAUAAGGUAUUGAGAGAUUUUAUUCCAGAAAAGACUAUGCCUUUUUUGGAUGAUGUUCUUAUAAAGGGGUGCUGAGAAAGAGACGAGGAUGAAACUUUAAAUACGAGGGGGUGUCGCAAAUAUGUUGUUGAUCAUAUACAAGAUUCUGAAAAGAUUUUAACUCGGCUUGGAGAAGUUUAUCUUACAUUAUUAGGUAUGAAGUCUGUAUUUGGAGUACGAGAGGUUGUAAUUGUUGGACAUUUAUGUGGAUCUUAUGGAAGAAAACUAGAUCCGACUAAAGUUGAUGCAAUUAGAAGGAUGAAAGAGGAUUGUGAUUCUUUAACAGAGGUUCGCAGGUUUUUUGGUGCAUGUGUAUUUUAUCGAAUCUGGAUCCCUCAUUUUGUUCACAUAGCGGAUCCAUUAUAUGAACUGUUACGCAAGGAUUAUGGAUUUAAAUGGGAAGAAAGGCAUAUUCAGGCAAUGCAAAGAUUGAAGAAAUUAUUGAUAUCACCUCCAAUAUUGAGGAAGGUUGAUUAUAAGUGCAAUAGACCAGUGGUUCUUACUGUGGACGCUAGUCCAAUUGCCAUUGGAUGGGCUGUGGGUCAAGAUGAUUCGAAUGGGAAUAGAUUUGCAGUUCGAUUUGAGGCUAAAGUUUUAAGUAUUCGUCAGCAUGCAUAUUCGCAAGUCAAAAGAAAACUUUGGAGAGUCGUUUCGGCUAUGAAAGCUGAAAAGGACUAUUUGAUUUGGGUAGUAGUAGUAAUUGAAACAGAUUGCUUGCCAUUGCUUGGAAUGAUUAUUAACUGUUCAACGCCAGAUAUUGCAAUGUUGAGAUGGAUUGCUUAUAUUAAGUCACUAAAUCCAGAAUUUAAGCAUAUUACUAAGAAGGACUAUUUAGUAGUAGACAUGCUAUCUCGAGCAAGAUACGAGAGGGAGGACGAAAUGGUUGAAGACAUUGAUGACAUCGGAUUGAAAUUCUAUUCAAUAUCAAAUCUCAACAGAGAAGACAAGCUAUUUCUUGAAGAAUCUUAUGAAGGAGAAUUAUUGGAUAUUGGUCAUUACUUGAAUACCUUGACUAAGCAGGGGAAUCGGUCUACAGAAAAAUUCAAACAAAUAAGAAAAAAAGCAUAUGGAUUUUUAUUUCGAGAUGGAUUCUUAUAGAAGAGACCAAAGAAAGGAAUUGGAAUGCCACGACGAGUGAUAGGCAAAGAAGAAGAAAAACUAAAAUUAUUGAAGGAGUUUUAUGAUAGUUUAUGGGCAGGGCAUAGAGAAAUCUGGGCUACUUUUGCUAAACUCAAGGAACGAUAUUGGUGGAAAAAUAUGUAUUGAGAUGAGCUCUCAUUUGUAGAGUCAUGUAAAAUCUGUCAAUCGUAUUCUAAUAUCCGACAUCGAGAUGGUCUUCAUCCUACGUAUCCUUUGGCUAUUCAUUUUAAAUGGGUUGUUGAUUUGGUUAUUAUGCUGGUUGGGUUAUGGUAGAUGAGAUAUUUGGUUUUAGCUCGUGAAGAUUUAUCAAAUCAAGUAGAAGGAAGAGCAUUGAGGACAAAAUCUACAGAGGGGAUUUAUAGGUUUUUGCUUGAAGAUGUCAUUUGCCGCUACGGAUGCAUAGGAAAAAUCACUGCAGAUCGUGGAGAAUUAAAUGCACAAGAAGCUCGUAAGUUCUUUGAAAGAUGUGGAGUUAAACUAUCACUGACUAUUGCUUAUAAUCCGGAAGGGAAUGCAAAAAGCGGACGCGGUCACCCACCGAUUGUGAAAGCAUUAGUUAAAGCUUGUAAUGGGAAAGUUAAAGAGUGGCCACGGCUUUUGUCAUUUGCAUUAUGGGCUCAUCGAACAACACAUAGUUCGGUGACAGGAUAUAUGCCAGUAGAACUUAUGACAGGUCAAAAACCAAUUAUGCCGAUUGAAGAAAAGGUACUUACUUGGAGUAUGCUACCAUGGGAAGAUGGAUUGACAAGAGAAGAACUUCUGGCUAUUAGGAUUCGACAAUUGGAGCAAAGAACGGAAGAUGUCCAGAUAGCAUUGGGAAGGUUAAAAAGAGCAAGGUUACAAAACAAGGCGCGAUUUGAUAAGCAACAUCGAUUGAGACCAAAAGCAAUCGAGGAAGGUGACUGGGUACUUGUUUAUGACAAUAGUCUGGAUAAUCAACAUAGUACUUUGCGGAAAUUUUCAAAACGUUGGUUUGGACCAUAUGUUGUAACAACUGUUCAUGAUAAUGCGACUUACUCAUUACGGGAGUUAGAUGGUACAAAAUUGAAAAUACCAAUUGCAGGGAAGCGAGUAAAAAUAUUUAAACGAAGACACGCAGAGAUGAAUAUGGAAGAUCUUAAUGAAGGUAUAGAGAUUCCGCAGCAAGAGAUUGAAAGUGAUUUGGAUAAUGAAGGUGACGAAGACGAACUGGACAAAGACGUAGAGGAUAUAUUCUGAAUCAAACACUAAUUGGAUAAAUUGGUGCAUACCGGAAGAUGCACAGGUUCAAAGGGGGUGGAUGUCGUGUUGUAACACGAGUAUACCGUGAAAAUAUAAAAAAAAGGGACUUUUAUUAAUAUUCAGUUACCUCGAAUAUUGGGAGCAACGACCAACUCCAGUGCAAAUACUGAGUGGUCAGGUUCAGUCACUCCGUUACAGUCAGCUGGGGCAUAUUGAAAUGCUCCAUUCGAUUCUAAUAACGGGAGUCAACAGGAAGGGAAAGGACCAAUUCACGCGACUGGUGAGCCUGGUUCGAAGAGCCAAUUGGAUCCAAUUUUGAGAAUCCAAUCUGGGUCCUCUUACCUAAUAUGAGACCUGAAUUGGUCGGGUAAUCCAAUGCAGUCUAAUUACGGGAAAAUCCGGGUCUUACUACUCGACUCUUAUCCAGUAUGAGACCUGAAUUGGUCGGGCGACCCAAUGCAAUCUAAUUAGGGGAAAAUCCGGGUCUUACUACUGGACUCUUAUCCAAUAUGAGACCUGAAUUGGCCGGGCAACCCAAUGCAGUCUAAUUACGGGAAAAUCCAGGUCUUACUACGGGCCUCUUAGUCAAUCUGACACGAGGACCAAUUUGACCCAAUUAUGGGAACAUCUAGGUUAUUACGGGCAUCUUAUCCAAUAUGUGACCUGAAUUGGUCGGGCGACUCAAUGUGGACCCGAGUACGGGGUUUGGAUUCUGUUUCAGGCUGUCCUAUUCUCUGUGCUGUUUCAGGGAACGUUGUUUUCGGUAAAUAGAUCUCUUAAAGGUAAAAAUGAAGGAGGAAGCUCUGACAACGGGAGUCAAUUUUGGAUCUAAGCUCUGACGAUGGGAGCCAAUGCCGGAUCCAAGACAGAAGAUUGAAGAAAUUCAGAGGAUAAGAUUAGGGGGAGAAUAAGUUUUGGGGGGGUUUUUUUUUCAGUGGGAAGAUCAAAGGGGGAUUGGAGAGGAGCUUCAUGCUUCGGGUCGGGGAAGAAAAGAUGGAGAAUUGGAUUUUUCUUCUUCAUAGAGUUUUGGGAAGAUUGAGGCAAUCGUUGCUGAAAUCAGUGUGGUAAUGCUGAAUCUGGAUUUUUUCAUGAAUUGGGUUUGAUUACUCUUGACUGUUUUGUGAAAUCGAGUUACGUCUGUGAUUGAAGAAUUAAAAGGGUGUCUAUAGGAUUGAGUAUGCGAAGUGAAUGAAAUUUAUUGGAUUAAUCUAACAAGACAGUCAGUGGAUACAAGAUCGUAAGUACAAAGCAAUAUCAGAGAUUAGCAGAUUGGGUUGUUCGGGGUUCUCUGUAACGUCUAGAGACCUACCGGCUGUGGCAAAUAGGAAUUCGAUAAGCAGUCGAAGGGCAUUCGUAUAGAUUUAUGAUGUAUUCUUGCAGUCGUUUAUAUUCCAGCAGUCAAGAACUGAUAGACUGUUUGACUAUUGACGAAUCUCCAUACUACCUUCUACAGCCAGACGCCCGGCGCGUUCUCGAGCAGGAAAGCAUGUAAUACGACAACGGGAUGACUGAACGUGGCCUCUUAGUAUUUGCACUAGAAUUGGCCACCGCUUCUAAUACCCAAGGUGACUAAAUAUUAAUAAAUCUUCUUCAUUUAUAUUUUCAUCAUAUAGAUGUGUUACAACACGACAUCCACCCCCUCUGAACCUGUGCAUCCUCCGGUAUGCACCAAUUAACCUAGUUGUCGUUUAAUUCAAAAUAUGUUCUUCAAAUCUUUGUCUAGUCCAUCUCUACUGUCUCUACUAUCCAAAUCAAUUUCAUCUUCCCACUGCGGAAUAUCUAUGUCUUCAUUUAGAUCUUCUAUAUUUAUUUCUACAUAUCUUUGUUUAAACAAUUUCACUCUCUUCCUUACACCCUUUUAUAGGAACAUCAUCCAGAAAAGACAUAGUCUUCUCUAGAAUAAAAUCUCUCAAUAUCUUAUUCAUCCCAUUCAUCAUAUGUGCAACUGAGUUGGUCGCGCCUUGAGGAAGAGUGCACAUUCUAACCAAUCUAAGUCGUGUCCUCAUCGUUGUCAUAUCUCUACUUCCUUUGGCAGGUUGAAAUUGAUCAUAACCUGAAUACAAAUCACCCAUUGAAUAGAUCGCCCUUCCAGCAAACGCCUCAGCAAAUUCAUCCACAAUAGGUCCAAUUCCUGCAUUCCUAACAGUUACUGCAUUCACCGAUUGCAUAUCUUGAAUAAACCGUAGUGACUCAUUCUUCUUAGGUACCGUAAAUCAUCGACUAGAAUGGGACGCAAAUGAAGGUUCCAAUAUUUUCAUCUUUAUCUUUUCUUUUAAUAGUUCCACCAAUUUAGGUAAAUGUACCCUCGGUACUGGAAUCGGUCUUAGAUUCCAAGGUACAUGUGGUACAGUGAAGAUAACCAUAGGUGUUAUAAUAUUUGGAUCCACACACCCAAUUUCAUGAGAUUCGAAGGCAAAUGAUCUACCUUGUUUAGCCAACAUCUUUUUGAAGCAAGUAAUUUCCUCCGGCAAUAAAGAACCAUCAGAACCAAUCUUCAAUUCUUCAAAAGUCUCUUCAGUAAACUGAUGUCCAAUACUCAUUGGAUCUCUUAAACUUGCUUCUUUUGAUGCUUCUCCCAUUUGUUCUUUAGAAUCCUCUGGUAAUGGUCCGGCAACAGGCUUUACCUUCUUAUCUGCCGUUUUAUAUCUCGUCUCUACUGUGACUUCUGGUGCUUGAAAAGAUUCAAGCAUGGUAUAAACCUCUCUCGAAUGAAUCUCAACAAUCUUAUCAUUAUCCCCUAACCCAAUAGAUGUAAUCAAUUCCAAUGAAUCUUCCAGCCCAUUUUCUUCAUAAACACCCAAAAUCCUCUCAUCAUCUUGCAAUGUACCUAUCUUGCGUAACUGUCCUUCAAUAUCAUAUAAUCUUUUUCUUUCUUUUCUUUUAAAAUCAUCAACUUUCUGAUACAUAAUAUUUUUAUUCUCCAAUAUACCAAUAAAACUCGCAUCAAAGGCACCUUCAUCUCGCGAGAGUACCUCCUCUUUUGUACCUCCAUAAUCUCGCUUUACAGUGGUACCUCCCCAAAAUCCUUAAAUCCUUCAACAAUCUUUGGCAAUGGUUUUUCCCUCAACCUAUCUCGAUUCCGUUCAUGGUUAGGAGGUAUUGUUAGAAAUUGUACAGCUUUCCUCCCAUCCUCGCUCCGUACCCUUGCAUAAGCAGAACCAUCGUCCAGUACUUUUGCUUCCAUCCGUGUUGUCAUAAUAUAAGGUUGUCCUAAAAUCAACGGAUAAGACGUUGUAUCUUGAACAAAGAAAUGUUGCUCCGUCGCAACAUCCCCAAUCCGAAUUUUGACAUCUGGACAAGCUCUAUAUAAUUCACCCUGUGUGUUAUUAGCUGCUCGAAUUGCCCAUCCAUGUUCCAUAUCAAUUUGCCAUUUUUGCUUCUUAUAAAGAUCUUUAGACACAAGAUUUAUUUCAGAACCAUGGUCAACUAAAGUAACAAUUAGUUCUUCUAUGUCUCCUACUUUCACUAAUACCUCAGUAGUUGCCCUUGCCCAAUGCUUUCGAGUAUAAUGGCUCAAAGUUUUCAUUUCCUUGUCACUAGAAUCUUCGAAACGUACUCGUUGAUUAUACCCAUUCUUUUCAUUUGUUGGUUGCUUGUAACCAAUAUCAACCUCUUCUUCAUCUUUAUAUAUUCUUGCAUCAAUAGCAUGACUCAUUCCAGUUUCGCCCAUCAAUUGCUUCUUUCGCUUAAUGCUGUCAAUGAUGACAUCAUGAAACUCCUUCUUUACAAUUCCCAAGACUUCUUUCAAUGUGAAUUCCACCUUAGCAUUUAAUAUACAUUCUUCCAACACCCCUUUCAAAUUUGUUGCCGCUUCAAUGUCAGAAAGUAGCUUAUAAGCAAUUGAUUUGUCCUUAUCUUUUGUCUCCCUUGUUUUUUCUUCCAAUGAUGUUGAGGUAUCCUUUACAGGCAAUUCUUGUGAAGCUGCCUCCUGAGCCUUGUCUCCUCGAGUUUGCCUCUUAGAAGAAUUUCCUUCUCUCGUAUCAUCAAAAUUUCCUCGUCUCUUUUCUUCCAUCAAAGCUUCAUGUUGGCUCUUAGUAAUAUAUGCAUGAACUGAAAGAGACUCAACAGGANNNNNNNNNNNNNNNNNNNNNNNNNNNNNNNNNNNNNNNNNNNNNNNNNNNNNNNNNNNNNNNNNNNNNNNNNNNNNNNNNNNNNNNNNNNNNNNNNNNNAAGAGCAGGUUACAAAAAAGGCGCGAUUUGAUAAGCAACAUCGAUUGAGACCAAAAGCAAUCGAGGAAGGUGACUGGGUACUUGUUUAUGACAAUAGUCUGGCUAAUCAACAUAGUACUUUGCGGAAAUUUUCAAAACGUUGGUUUGGACCAUAUGUUGUAACAACUGUUCAUGAUAAUGCGACUUACUCAUUACGGGAGUUAGAUGGUACAAAAUUGAAAAUACCAAUUGCAGAGAAGAGAGUAAAAAUAUUUAAACGAAGACACGCGGAGAUGAAUAUGGAAGACCUUAAUGAAGGUACAGAGAUUCCGCAGCAAGAAGAUGAAAGUGAUAUGGAUAAUGAAGGUGACGAAGAAAAACUAGACAAAGACGUAGAGGAUAUAUUCUGAAUCAAACAGCAAUUGGGUAAAUUGGUGCAUACCGGAGGAUGCACAGGUUCAGAGGGGGUGGAUGUCAUGUUGUAACACGAUUAUACAGUGAAAAUAAAAAGAAAGGGGAAUUUUAUUAAUAUUCAGUUACCUCGAAUAUUGGAAGCAUCGACCACCUCCAGUACAAAUACUGAGUGGUCAGGUUCAGUCACUACGUUACAGUCAGCUGGGGCAUACUGAAAUGCUCCAUUCGAUUCCAAUAACGGGAGUCAGCAGGAAGAGAAGGACCAAUUCACAAGACGGGUUCGAGGAGCCAAUUGGAUCUAAUUUCGAUAAUCCAAUCCGGGUCCUCUUAUCCAAUAUGAGACCUGAAUUGGCCGGUCACCCAGUGCACUCUAAUUACGAGAAAUCCAGGUCUUACUACGGGUCUUAGCCAAUCUGACGCGAGGAGCAAUUUGACCCAAUUACGGGAACAUCCAGGUUACUACGGGCAUCUUUCCCAAUAUAGGACCUGAAUUGGUCGGGCGACUCAAUGUGGUCCCGAUUAUGGGGUUCGAUUCUGUUUCAGGCUGUCCUGUUCUCUGUGCCGUCUCAAGGAACGUUGUUUUUGGUAAAUGGAUUUCUUAAAGGCAAAAACGGAGGAGAAAGCUUGACGACGAGAGCCAAUUUCGGAUCCAAGCUUGAGGUGGGAGCCAAUUCCGGAUCUAAGACGGAAGAUUGAAGAAAUUCAGAGGAUAAGGUUAGGAGGGAUAUAGUUUUAGGGAGGGUUUUUUUUUGAGGGGAAAUCAGGGGGGAAGGAUUUUUCAAGCUUCUGCAAGGUUACCAGUUCGGUUUUUUUUAUUGGAGGUUUUUGAAGAUCAAGGGAAUUAGAGAGAGGAGCUUCAUGCUUCGGGUCGGGGAAGGAAAGACAUAGAAUUUGGAUUUUUCUUCUUCGUAGAGUUUUGGGGAAGACUGAGGCAAUCGCUGCUGAAGUCAGUGUUGUAAUGGUGAAUCGGGAUUUUUAAAUGAAGUGGGUUUGAAUACUCUUGACUAUUUUGUGAAAUCGAGUUACGUCUGUGAUUGAAGGAUUAAAAGGGUGUCUAUAGGAUUGAGUAUGCGGAGUGAAUGAAAUUUAUUGGGUUAAUCUAACAAGAUAAUCAGUGGAUACAAGAUCGUGAGUACAAAGCAGUAUUGAAGGUUAACAGUUUGGGUUGUACGGGGUUCUCUGUAACGUCUAGAGACCUACCGGCUGGGGCAAAAAAGACUUCGACAAGCAGUCAAAGAGCACCCGUAUAGAUUUACGGUACAUUCUUGCAGUCGUUUAUAUUCCAGCAGUCAAAAACUGAUAGACUGCUUGACUAUCGACGAAUCUCCAUACUACCUUCUACAGUCAGACGCCCGACGCGUUCUCGAGCAGGAAAGCACGUAAUACGACAUGAGUGGUGAACCAGACGUGAAAGCUUGAGGUAGAAGGUAUUGGAUUUCGGUUGAUUUUAUCUUUAUUUUUAUGGAAAACGAAAAUAAAAAUUUUGAAGGAUUUUUGGGAGAAGUUUCUGGUGGGGAGUCUUCUAAAGGACAAGGUAUGCACAUGGAUCCGUCUAUUGCUAGUUUGUUUCAAGCCUUCUCAUUGUCAAUGCAGCAAAAGCAAAGCAAUGAUCGAAAGGAAGCUUUGGCAACCAAAGCAUUGCAAGCAGUGGUCAAUAAAAUUGAUCAAUUUGAUGGGAGGAAUAUUUCAAGGUAUUUAAGAUGUUAUAUUCGUGAAAUGGAAUUAAAUUGGGUUUCUGAGAAGAAAAUGGUUGCACUAUUUGGACUUGCUACGAUACCGGAGAUAAGGGACCACAUUACAUCGAUUACGGAUCGUUGUGGGAAUUCAUGGGAGGAUUUUUUACAUGCAUUGAAAGACGAAUAUUUCUUGGAAGAUGCUGAUCGCGUUACUAAGAAGCUGUUUUUGGGAUGGAUUGAACGGCCCAAUAAGACUUUACAAGCAACAGAGCUACUAAGGGAAUUUGAGAGGCAGUACUCUCAAUUAUCGAAGGUAGAAAAAUUGACAUUGGAGCCGAACAAAGUUGAUCUAUUUCUUCAAGCUGCUGAUGGAGAAUUGCAAGAGAAAUUAGAACCCCUUCUUGAAGACAAAGAAGAAGAUGAAGGAUUGACAACGAAGUGGAAGAACAUUGAAGAUGCGGUGGGAUUGCUUACAAAAAAAGAAAGGAGGAAGGAUAGGAGUAAUAUUCCGAAACCAGUACAAGCACCCAAAGCUCCAGUACGUACUACAUCACCGACAAUGCCUACAGUUCAACCUUCGACAUCCUUGUCAAAGAAAGCAGAUAUGGGUAUGGAAGAAAUUAUACGAGGAAUGCGAGAUCUUCAAAUCAAAUUGGCAAGACUUGAAGAGAAUACUUCUAUAAACAAUUCGAAGAAUGUUUCCAAACAAGGAUAUGUACAAAGAUGCAUUUAGUGUGAUGAUGCUUCACACACUAGAAAAGAUUGCAAUGAAUUUAAUAAUAUGAUACGGCAGGGAAUUAUUUGCUGGAAAGAUGGGAAGAUAGCAUUGAAAGAUAGGGAGGAUCUUCUUCAAACCAAUUUUGGCAAGGGAGGAAUGAGAGCAUUGGUUCAAGAUUACUUAAAAGGGCAUGAAACAGUAGCACGUGAAAGUGCAAGUUAUGGUGCUAGAGUAGAUGAUGAAAUUGGUGGAAGUACGGAAACUAGUGAGUUUUGGGCUUCUGCCGUUUCUACAAUGCAAGAAGGGAAAUUACCUCGAGAAGCGUUAUUGAGAACUGCAGCUACAAUACGAGGAAGAACAGGUUGGGAGGAUCCCGUUGAGUCUCUUUCAGUUCAUGCAUAUAUUGCUAAGAGCCAACAUGAAGCUUUGAUGGAAGAAAAAAGACGAGGAAAUUUUGAUGAUACUAGAGAAGGAAAUUCUUUUAAGAGGCAAACUCGAGGAGACGAGGCUCGGGAGGCAGCUUCACAAGAAUUGCCUGUAAAGGAUACCUCAGCAUCAUUGGGAGAAAAAACAACGGAGACAAAAGAUAAGGGCAAAUCAAUUGCUUAUAAGCUACUUUCUGACAUUGAAGCGGCAACAAAUUUGAAAGGGGUGUUGGAAGAACGUAUAUUAAACGCUAAGGUGGAAUUCACAUUGAAAGAAGUCUUGGGAAUUGCAAAGAAGGAGUUUCAUGAUGUUAUCAUUGACAGCAUUAAGCGAACGAGGCAAUUAAUGAGCGAAACUGGAAUGAGUCAUGCUAUUGACGCAAGAAUAUGUAGAGAUGAAGAAGAGGUUGAUAUUGGUUACAAGCAACCAACAAAUGAAAAGAAUGGGUAUAAUCAGCGAGUACGUUUAGAAGAUUCUAGUGACAAGGAAAUGAAAACUUUGAGCCAUUAUACUCGAAAGCAUUAGGCAAGGGCAACUACUGAGGUAUUGGUGAAGGUAGGAGAUAUAGAAGAACCAAUAGUUGCUUUGGUGGACCAUGGUUCUGAAAUAAAUCUCAUGUCUAAAGAUCUUUAUAAGAAGCAAAAAUGGCCAAUUGAUAUGGAAUAUAGAUGGGCAAUACGAGCAGCUAAUAACACACAAGGCGAAUUAUAUGGAGCUUGUCUAGAUGUCAAAAUUCGGAUUGGGGAUGUUGCUACGGAGCAACAUUUCUUCGUUCAAGAUACAACGCUCGUUAUCCGUGGAUUUUAGGACAACCUUAUAUCACGGCACACGGAUGGAAACAAAAGUACUUGACGAUGGUUCUGCUUAUGCAAGGGUACGGAGCGAAGAUGGGAGGAAAGCUGUACAAUUUCUAACAGUACCUCCUAACCAUGAACGGAAUCGAGAUAGGUUGAGGGAAAAACCAUUGCCAAAGAUUGUUGAAGGAUUUAAGGAUUUUGGGGAGGUACCACUGUAAAGCGAGAUUAUGGAGGUACAAAAGAGGAGGUACUCUCGCGAGAUGAAGGUGCCUUUGAUGCGAGUUUUAUUGGUAUAUUGGAGAAUAAAAAUAUUAUGUAUCAGAAAGUUGAUGAUUUUAAAAGAAAAGAAAGAAAAAGAUUAUAUGAUAUUGAAGGACAGUUACGCAAGAUAGGUACAUUGCAAGAUGAUGAGAGGAUUUUGGAUGUUUAUGAAGAAAAUGGGCUGGAAGAUUCAUUGGAAUUGAUUACAUCUAUUAGGUUAGGGGAUAAUGAUAAGAUUGUUGAGAUUCAUUCGAGAGAGGUUUAUACCAUGCUUGAAUCUUUUCAAGCACCAGAAGUCACAGUAGAGACGAGAUAUAAAACGGCAGAUAAGAAGGUAAAGCCUGUUGCCGGACCAUUACCAGAGGAUUCUAAAGAACAAAUGGGAGAAGCAUCAAAAGAAGCAAGUUUAAGAGAUCCAAUGAGUAUUGGACAUCAGUUUACUGAAGAGACUUUUGAAGAAUUGAAGAUUGGUUCUGAUGGUUCUUUAUUGCCAGAGGAAAUUACUUGCUUCAAAAAGAUGUUGGCUAAACAAGGUAGAUCGUUUGCCUUCGAAUCUCAUGAAAUUGGGUGUGUAGAUCCAAAUAUUAUAACACCUAUGGUUAUCUUCACUAUACCACAUGUACCUUAGAAUCUAAGACCGAUUCCAGUACCGAGGGCACAUUUACCUAAAUUGGUGGAACUAUUGAAAGAAAAGAUAAAGAUGAAAAUAUUAGAACCUUCAUUUGCGCCGUAUUUUAGUCGAUGGUUUACGGUACCUAAGAAGAAUGGAUCACUACGGUUUAUUCAAGAUAUGCAGCCGGUGAAUGCUUUAACUGUCAAGAAUGCAGGGAUAGGACCUAUUAUGGAUGAAUUUGCUGAGGCGUUUGCUGGAAGGGCGAUCUAUUCAAUGAGUGAUUUGUAUUCAGGUUAUGAUCAAUUUCAACUUGCCGAAGGAAGUAUAGAUAUGACAACGAUGAGGACACCGCUUGGAUUGGUUAGAAUGUGCACUCUUCCUCAAGGCGCGACCAACUCAGUUGCGCAUAUGAUGAAUGGGAUGAAUAAGGUAUUGAGAGAUUUUAUCCCGGAAAAGACUAUGCCUUUUCUGGAUGAUGUUUCUAUAAAAGGGUGCAGAGAAGGAGACAAGGAUGAAACUUUAGAUACGAGGAGGUGUGGCAGAUAUGUUAUUGAUCAUAUACAAGAUUGUGAAAAGAUUUUAACUCGGCUUGGAGAAGUUCAUCUUACAUUAUCGGGUAUGAAGUCCGUAUUUGGAGUGCGAGAGGUUGUAAUUAUUGGACAUUUAUGCGGAUCCUAUGGAAGAAAACUAGAUCUGACUAAAGUUGAUGCAAUUGGAAGGAUGAAAGAGGAUUGUGGUUCUUUAACUGAGGUUCGCAGGUUUUUGGAUGCAUGUGUAUUUUAUUGAAUCUGGAUCCCUCAUUUUGUUCACAUAGCGGAUCCAUUAUAUGAACUGUUACGCAAGGAUUAUGGAUUUAAAUGGGAAGAAAGGCAUAUUCAGGCAAUGCAAAGAUUGAAGAAAUUAUUGAUGUCACCUCAAAUAUUGAGGAAGGUUGAUUAUAAGUACAAUAGACCAGUGAUUCUUACUGUAGACGCUAGUCCAAUUGCCGUUGGAUGGGCGGUGGGUCAAGAUGAUUCGAAUGGGAGUAGAUUUGCAGUUCGAUUUGGAGCUAAAGUUUUAAGUAUUCGUCAGCGUACAUAUUCGCAAGUCAAAAGAGAACUUUGGGGAGUCGUUUCGGCUAUGAAAGCUGAAAAGGACUAUUUGAUUGGGGCAGUAGUAGUAAUUGAAACAGAUUGCUUGCCAUUGCUUGAAAUGAUUAUUAACUGUUCAACGCCAGAUAUUGCAAUGUUGAGAUGGAUUGCUUAUAUUAAGUCACUAAAUCCAGAAUUUAAGCAUAUCACUGGGAAGGACAAUUUAGUAGCAGACAUGCUAUCUCGAGCAAGAUACGAGAUGGAGGACGAAAUGGUUGAAGACAUUGAUGAUAUCGGAUUGAAAUUCUAUUCAAUAUCAAAUCUCAACAGAGAAGACAAACUAUUUCUUGAAGAAUCUUAUGAAGGAGAAUUAUUGGAUAUUGGUCAUUAUUUGAAUCCCUUGUCUAAGCAGGGAAUUGGUCUACAGAAAAAUCAAACAAAUAAGAAAAAAAGCAUAUGGAUUUUUACUUCGAGAUGGAUUCUUAUAGAAGAGACCAAAGAAAGGAAUUGGGAUGCCACAACGAGUGAUAGGCAAAAGGGAAGAAAAACUAAAAUUAUUAAAAGAGUUUCAUGAUAGUUUAUGGGCAGGGCAUAGAGGAAUCUGGGCUACUUUUGCUAAACUCAAGGAACGAUAUUGGUGGAAAAAUAUGUAUCGAGAUGUGCUCUCAUUUGUAGAGUCAUGUGAAAUCUGUCAAUCGUAUUCUAAUAUCCGACAUCGAGAUGGUUUUCAUCCUACGUAUCCUUUGGCUAUUCAUUUUAAAUGGGUUGUUGAUUUGGUUAUUAUGCUGGUUGGGUUAUGGUAGAUGAGAUAUUUGGUUUUAGCUCGUGAAGAUUUAUCAAAUCAAGUAGAAGGAAGAGCAUUGAAGACAAAAUCUACAGAGGGGAUUUAUAGGUUUUUGCUUGAAGAUGUCAUUUGCCGCUACGGAUGCAUAGGAAAAAUCACUGCAGAUCGUGGAGAAUUAAAUGCACAAGAAGCUCGUAAGUUCUUUGAAAGAUGUGGAGUUAAACUAUCACUGACUAUUGCUUAUAAUCCGGAAGGGAAUGCAAAAAGCGAACGCGGUCACCCACCGAUUGUGAAAGCAUUAGUUAAAGCUUGUAAUGGGAAAGUUAAAGAGUGGCCACGGCUUUUGUCAUUUGCAUUAUGGGCUCAUCGAACAACACAUAGUUCGGUGACAGGAUAUAUGCCAGUAGAACUUAUGACAGGUCAAAAACCAAUUAUGCCGAUUGAAGAAAAGGUACUUACUUGGAGUAUGCUACCAUGGGAAGAUGGAUUGACAAGAGAAGAACUUUUGGCUAUUAGGAUUCGACAAUUGGAGCAAAGAACGGAAGAUGUCCAGAUAGCAUUGGGAAGGUUAAAAAGAGCAAGGUUACAAAACAAGGCGCGAUUUGAUAAGCAACAUCGAUUGAGACCAAAAGCAAUCGAGGAAGGUGACUGGGUACUUGUUUAUGACAAUAGUCUGGCUAAUCAACAUAGUACUUUGCGGAAAUUUUCAAAACGUUGGUUUGGACCAUAUGUUGUAACAACUGUUCAUGAUAAUGCGACUUACUCAUUACGGGAGUUAGAUGGUACAAAAUUGAAAAUACCAAUUGCAGAGAAGAGAGUAAAAAUAUUUAAACGAAGACACGCGGAGAUGAAUAUGGAAGACCUUAAUGAAGGUACAGAGAUUCCGCAGCAAGAAGAUGAAAGUGAUAUGGAUAAUGAAGGUGACGAAGAAAAACUAGACAAAGACGUAGAGGAUAUAUUCUGAAUCAAACAGCAAUUGGGUAAAUUGGUGCAUACCGGAGGAUGCACAGGUUCAGAGGGGGUGGAUGUCAUGUUGUAACACGAUUAUACAGUGAAAAUAAAAAGAAAGGGGAAUUUUAUUAAUAUUCAGUUACCUCGAAUAUUGGAAGCAUCGACCACCUCCAGUACAAAUACUGAGUGGUCAGGUUCAGUCACUACGUUACAGUCAGCUGGGGCAUACUGAAAUGCUCCAUUCGAUUCCAAUAACGGGAGUCAGCAGGAAGAGAAGGACCAAUUCACAAGACGGGUUCGAGGAGCCAAUUGGAUCUAAUUUCGAUAAUCCAAUCCGGGUCCUCUUAUCCAAUAUGAGACCUGAAUUGGCCGGUCAACCCAGUGCAGUCUAAUUACGGGAAAUCCAGGUCUUACUACGGGUCUUAGCCAAUCUGACGCGACGAGCAAUUUGACCCAAUUACGGGAACAUCCAGGUUACUACGGGCAUCUUCCCAAUAUAGGACCUGAAUUGGUCGGGCGACUCAAUGUGGUCCCGAUUAUGGGGUUCGAUUCUGUUUCAGGCUGUCCUGUUCUCUGUGCCGUCUCAGGGAACGUUGUUUUUGGUAAAUGGAUUUCUUAAAGGCAAAAACGGAGGAGAAAGCUUGACGACGAGAGCCAAUUUCGGAUCCAAGCUUGAGGUGGGAGCCAAUUCCGGAUCUAAGACGGAAGAUUGAAGAAAUUCAGAGGAUAAGGUUAGGAGGGAUAUAGUUUUGGAGUGGUGUAAGUUUUUUUUUUUUUUAAGGGAAAAUCGGGGGGGGAAGCAAGUUUUUCAAGCUUCUGCAAGGUUACCAGUUCGGUUUUUUUUAUUGGAGGUUUUUGAAGAUCAAGGGAAUUAGAGAGAGGAGCUUCAUGCUUUGGAUCGGGGAAGGAAAGACAUAGAAUUUGGAUUUUUCUUCUUCGUAGAGUUUUGGAGAAGACUGAGGCAAUCGCUGCUGAAGUCAGUGUUGUAAUGGUGAAUCGGGAUUUUUAAAUGAAGUGGGUUUGAAUACUCUUGACUAUUUUGUGAAAUCGAGUUACGUCUGUGAUUGAAGGAUUAAAAGGGUGUCUAUAGGAUUGAGUAUGCGGAGUGAAUGAAAUUUAUUGGGUUAAUCUAACAAGACAGCCAGUGGAUACAAGAUCGUAAGUACAAAGCAGUAUUGAAGGUUAACAGUUUGGGUUGUACGGGGUUCUCUGUAACGUCUAGAGACCUACCGGCUGGGGCAAAAAGGACUUCGACAAGUAGUCGAAGAGCACCUGUAUAGAUUUACGGUACAUUGUUGCAGUCGUUUAUAUUCCAGCAGUCAAAAACUGAUAGACUGCUUGACUAUCGGCGAAUCUCCAUACUACCUUCUACAGUCAGACGCCCGGCGCGUUCUCGAGCAGGAAAGCACGUAAUACGACAACGUUUUCUCUCUUUCGGAUAAAAAAUCCAGUUCACCAAUAUAACAUUGACUUUCAGCAACGAUUGCCUCAGUCUUCUUAAAACCCUAUGAAGAAAAAAAAAUCCCAAUUCUCUGUCUUUCCUUCCCUCCUAAGCAUGAAGCUAGCUCUCCGACCUAAAAUCCUUGAUUCUCCUCUUUUUUUUCAUUUCUUAACCUAUCUUCUCCUUUAACCCUGAGAAGAUCCUAUUCUCCCGCCUUGGACUUUCCGAAUUGAAACAGUCGACGGAGCUUUCUCCCCCAUUUUUACCUUUAAGAGAUCCUAUUAUCAAAAGGACGUUCCUAGAAUGGCACAAAGAACGGAACAGCCUGAAACAGAAUCGGAGCCCCAUAAUUGGACAGCAUUGGGUUGCCCGACCAACUUAGGUCUCAUAUUGGAUAAGAGGCCUGUAAUAGGAUCUUGAUUGGAGGUCUUUCGAAAUUGGAUCCAAUUGGCUCUUCGAACCAGACUCACCCCUCGUUGAAUUAGUCCUUUUCCUUUCUGCUGACUUCCGUUAUUGGAAUCGAAUAGAGCAUUUUGUUACUAGUGAGUAUGCCCCGGCUGAUUGUAACGGGAUGACUGAACGUGGCCUCUCAAUAUUUGUACUGGAAUUGGCCACCGCUUCUAACAUCCAAGGUGACUAAAUAUUAAUAAAUCUUCUUCAUUUAUAUUUUCAUCAUAUAGAUGUGUUACAACAUGACACCGUUGCCAUCUCUCUUAAGGUAUCAAACAUAUAAAUAUCUAUGGUAGAACCACUAACUCAAAUCCAAAAAGUCAACUUGGCUUUAGUAACUUGAUCAUGUGAAGCCAUUGUAUUAAAUCUCUUCUCAAGCUCUAUAAUCUUAGUCUCUAAAGCCUUUUUCUUCUUUAAGGUAUGGCGCUUCUUUCGAUGAAUAAUGAAGUAAUUCUCUAUAUUGCGGUUGAGCCUACCACAAUGAAUGCAAUUCAACUGUUUCUUCUUAGAUUUUUCUCUUGCUUUAGCCACCUCUAUCUUUUCUUUAGGCUUUUCUAUAGAUUAAGCCAUCUUCUUUAAGUUCUUAAGAUAGUUGGGAUCAUUCUUGGUAUGGCCAGAUUCUCCACACCUCCAAUAGUGAAGAAUCUUCUUAAGUUGAGUCUCUACCAAGUUACUUGUGGCGGCAAGAGUCUUCUUACAUUAGAAUUUAUAUUAUAUAUAUACAACAUUCUUCCGGUAGUAUAUUUUAUAAUAUCUUUAAAUAUAAUUAUAUCAAAAUCUUGAUAGUAUGUUAUAUAUAAUUAUUAUAUAUUAUAUUAUAUAAUUAAUUUAAAUAUAAAUAUAUAAAUUUAAUAUGUAUAUAAAUUUUUAUAAGAUAUAUAAUAUAAUUAUUAUUUAUAUUAAACUUAUAAGUAUAUAUAUAUAUAUAUAUAUAUAUAUAUAUAUGUUUCUUGAAAUUUUGAGCCAAAACCAUGUCAAAUUGUUCAAGAUAUAGCUCUAGUCACGACCACUAGUAAAUCGGGUCACUUACUACCCUUAGAUUGCAUGCGCUGACUUCAAAAUCCAAUCACUCCUUCAUUAUAACUUGGAAUCUAGCAAGCAGUAUGUGAAAAGUGUAUCCGCAAAAGUGGUCUCUAUAGUCGCAAUCACUUAUAUUCAUUUGCUGUCUGUACCCAUGCGUUAUGCCAAAAAGAGUGACAAUAGCUUCCAAAUCAACACCUUAACUUUGAGCGCUUGUAUCUCCUUCAUAUAAACUCUAAACCAUACAAAACUUACAUCAAAAUCAUAGCCAAAAACCUAAACUUGCUGACACUAGUCUUCAAAGCUCGAAUGGGUCCCAAAAAUUAACCCUAAUCUCUAAUAUGACUUCGGGCAACCUCCUCAAAGCCCAUUGGUCAUGAUUUUUGACCAAUAGGAAUGGAGAUUUUCAUCAUUCAUCUCCAUUCAUCUAUAUUGGUACCCUAAUUACUCCCUUUGCUAUCUAAAUCCUUCUUCAUUCCUUUUUCUUAUAAGAUUUACAUAAUUUAUGCUCCAAACACCAAAUAAAAGAAUCAAAAUAAGUUUUCAAAGAUCACCAAUGUCUAACAAAGGUGACUCUAAAUAUUUAGAAGUUACUAUCAACGAAAACCAAUCUUAAAAGCCACUAUCAAAAUGAAAUUAAAGUUAUACAAAUUCUAUAGUAAUCUUUUUAAACAACCUCUUUUUAAGGUAAUAAUCAAAUUAUAUUCUACAAUCAAUUAAAAUCUAUUAACAUGGUUGUCACCAUGUUACUUAAUUAAUUAUAUAUUAAAUAUAUAAUUACAUUAUUUUCAUAUAGUAGCCAAAGCACAACACGACAACGUGUGGGUGAUAGAUGUGUUUGAUCGAUACUAUUGUACUUGGUUUCUUUUUCUUGUAUGUGUAUCAUGAAUUGAUUUCACUCUUUUUUUCUAAUUUUUAUUUCUUGGGCUUUAGUAAUAUUAUGAAAACCCUUUCCUUAAGGUUUUUGUCAAACUUGGAGCAGCCAAAAUUCAAAUGUACGCAUUUGAUAUAUUAUGUUGGUUCUUAAGGAGGUCCAAGUGCCUUGCUUGGAUGUUUGAUUGCCUGCAUGCUACACCUCCUUUCAUAGAUAACACCCUCAACAUAGCUCCUCUAGAUUUAGCCAUAGUAAUAUUUAACAUUUUUUUUUUUUUUUUUGUAAGCAAGCACUAUUCAGUAUGUAAUGAUAGUAAUCUAUUUAAAAAUUUGAGUUACUUUUUGUUGUAAUGAGGAAUAUAGGGCCAAUAUUACUAUUGUGUGGCAGAUAGUGACUCGAGCUAUAUCUAAUUAUUGCUUGUCAAUAGUCAGAUUUUGAACACUAUAGUCAAGAAUUAAGAUUGUUUAAUUCAAAAAGGGUUUUGAAUUGCUGCUUGAUACAUUUUUUGGACUUAGCCACAAAUAAUCAAAUAUAAUGCAUGCUUUGAAUGAUGAUAACAAGUGUUUAAUGCUCUCGUAGAGUCGACCAUGGUACAAUAUUUUAGAUCUUACAAAUAUUAUUCUUUGAUUACUAAGUUCUGCUAUACAUAGUUGGUGGCUUCUAGUAUUUUCAAGAGAAUUAUAAUUUAAGAUGGAAUAAUGUUGAGUACUUAAAUAGAAGCAUAUCAUGGCAGACAUUAUAAAAUGUGCACAAAUAGAUGGACUGCAUAUAUAUACAUCAUUUCAUACCAAGACAGAUAAAAUGCCUACAAAAUGAGUCAUUUGCCUUAUAAGAUUUCAGCUCGCCAAAUAAUUUGUAUAAAAAAGAUAAGAAAGCACAUAGCACGCAACUCUCAAUUUCUUGAAUUUGAAAAUAAGCGAUGCAAAUUUAUAUCAUAAAUUCAAUGAUAUUAUAAACUUAUAUGAAAAUAAUCUAAUAGUCACGUGUAUAAACAUGUAUUAUAUAUAUUAUAAUAUAUAUAUAUAUAUAUAUAUAUAUAUAUAAUCCAUCAACAACAAGCGUUAACCAUAGCAGAGUUACUUAUAAUACUAGCCUCAAAAGAUUCUAGUGAAACCUUGUUAUUAAACUUAAUAAAGAAAAUGGAAGAAAUAGCUAUUAAUAUAGUCAAGGAUAAGGAGAAGAGGCAAAAGCCUACCAAUACUAGGACCAAUGUAUGAUGUAGUAAUUGUAAGGGCCACAGUCAUUUAGUAAUAGAAUGUCCUUUACCCUCACAAAUGAUGGGUCAAUGUAAAUUUUGCGGAAGAAAGCACUUAACAGCUAAUUGUUUGAAUUGGAAAAGGCACCAAUAAUUCAAUAAUUAGACCAUGAUUGCAACUCUGUGAGUUUAAACAAGAAAUACGUUUGGAUAGAAUAGAAAUCGAUUUAAUUGAUAAAAUCGAACAUUUAAUAACUUUCAAAGUUCCAAUUUUAAUUAGAGGCCUUCAUCGAACUCCCAAAACUAGAGUAAGGAGUAGCAGAGGUAUCAGCAAUAUGCUCCAUCGGUGCCAUCAAACCAAGUUUUCUCCAUACCAGUGGGACAAUCAAGAUCAUUUUCUAACCCUACAUGGAACAAGCCUAGUAGGUAUAUAUCGAUGGAAAUACCCAAUAUGCUUGAUGGUGGUGUAAAAUGACUACUUCGUUGUUUCUGUUGCAAACAGAUUGGUGAUUAUGGGAGUGAAUGUUCCAAUCCCAGAGACAGUGAUGAUUAUGCACCAUUUUGUAGAAAUUGCAAGCAAUCGAGGCAUAUGUAUCAAAAAUGUAAUGCUUUGUUUAAUUUCAAUAAUUGAGAUCAACACAUUCAAAGCCAAGAAAAAAUCGAGGAAAUAAAUCAAGGUCCUUAAGAUUCUCCAAUAAAUCAGGUAAAAUGUGUCCAAGCCGUCCUUACAAAGAGUUAACAAAAAAAAAAAGGAUCAAUUCAAUAUUUAGGUGAUCUUGAAGCAAUGGGCCAAUUGAACCAAAUUACAAGGCCAUCCAAUCCAGGUCCUGAUGUAGGCUCCUUACUCAAUAUGGGACCUGAAUCAAUUGUGCAACUUAAUAAGGUGUCGAUUAUAGAUGCUAUAGUUCCGUUCUAAGCCAUUUCGUUCUCUAUGCAAUUUUGGAAAACUUCUUAUCCAUUGAAAAAUCCUCUCAAAGAUGGAGAUUCUAAGGAUACUUUAGUUGUUGUUUCAAUUUUGAGUCCAAGGUGGAAGAAUAUCUUACCUCUAGGAGUUAAGCUCAAAUCAAUGAAAAGAAAGAGGGCAUUGGAAAUUAUCCUAAACAUGAAAUCCUAUGAUAUUUUGAAAGAUUUGGAUGCUAUUUGGCCUUCUAUUUCUAUGAAACAACUUCUAGUGGUCGCAUUAGAGUGCCAUUCUAUAUUGAAUUCAUUGUUAACAUGACAUAGGCAAUGUAAUAAAGAAGUUUGUAAAGUCAAUUUGAACCCUGACCCAGGUGCAUCAACCAUCGAUGUUUCGAUUGAGGGUGUUAUGAUCUCCAAUGUUCAAGUAGAUAGUGGUUCUAGCGUCAAUUUAAUAAAUGCUAAUAUAAUAGAUACUUUAGAUUUGGAACACUUAGUAUCCACAAUAUUGAUAUUACGAAUGGCAGAUCAUAGCCGAAUUAAACCAAUGGAUAUUUUACGGAGUGUUCAAACUAUAAUUAUUGGUAUUACAUAUGAAAUCGACUAUAUCAUAUUUUGAUUACAACGUUCAACUUUAUUGUAUCCAAUUUUAUUGGAACGACCUUGAUUAUAUUAAGCAAAGGCCAAGAAUGAUUGGAGUUAGGAUACUUUGAUAAUAGACAAGGAUGGAGAUAAAAUGGCAUUACAAAUGUACGUAGUAUAUUAUCACGGAAAAUCUUAAUUGCCAGGAUCUGAAUUGACGUCAUUUAAUGAGCUUAGCUCCGAUGAUGAUAUCAUAGCACCAAUUACGGAGGCAGCCACGGAGGCAACACAACAUCCUGGAAUGGUUUAUCAAUGUAGAGGUCCAAGAGAGUAUUUGAUAUACCCAACGGAUUUAAAAAACUUUGAUUAUGUUAGUAUUGAUUGGAUGAUUAAGUAUGAUGUAUACCAUGUUAGUGCCAUGGACACAAGAUUCUGAACUUUGCACAUGUCGAACUUACCAAUUGAUUUUAAACUAGCACGGGAGUUGAACCAAAAUAUUGCUGCUGCACCUUUAUGUGAAACUAUCAACUUGGCGACCAUAGCAAAACCUUGGACAAUUAAGAUCUAUGAAGGUAUUAAGGAGCAGAAAUUGACCUGUUAGAUAGAAUUUUUCUUGCAUCAUAAAUUCACUUUUGCUUGGACUUAUAAUGAUUUAAAAGGUAUCCUCGCUGAAGUCUAUGAGGAUCAUAUCAUUUUAGAAGAAAAUAUUAAAUCGGUAAGAUAAAGGAAAUAUUGCCUUAAUCUUAAAUAUUCUCUCAUAGUAAAGGAAGAAUUGGAUAAGCUUCUUGCGGUUGGUUUUAUUUAUCUGAUAUUGAAUAGUGAAUGGAUUUCUCCAAUCGUGAUAUUGCCAAAAAAAAAUAGAAAAUCUGUAUUUGUCAAGAUUUUUGGAAACUUAAUGUAGCCACUAAAAAAGAUUACUUUCCAUUGCCUUCCACAGAUAGUAUAUUGGAUGUCGUAGCAGGUCACAAAUGUUAUUUGUUCCUUGAUGGAUUUUUUGGGUAUAAUCAAGUUCAAAUUGCAACGGAAGAUUAGCUCAAGACGACUUUUACUACAAAUUGGGGCACAUUUGCUUAUCGCAUGAUGCUUUUUGGGUUGUUUAAUUUCCCAGCCACAUUUCACAGAGUGAUGACUCAUGCCUUCCAAGACUAUCUCCAAAUAUUUAUGGAGAACUUUUUAGAUGACUUCUGUACAUUCAAUACAAAAUAAGAUCAUCUUACUUGUCUAGGCAAAUGUUUGGCUCAGUGUCCUAAGUUUGGGAUAUCAUUGAACUCGAAUAAGUGUCAAUUCGAUGUUCCAUCAAGAAAAUUAUUGGACCAUAUCGUCUCUAGCCAUUGUAUUGCUAUGAAUACUGAAAAAGUGAAGCAUAUAAUGAACUUGCUCAGACCAAAGACAAUCUCCCGAAUUUAAAGGUUUGUCGGCCUUGUUAGUUAUUAUUGUCAAUUUAUUCAUUCGUUUGUUAUUAUUUAUCAACUUUUAACAAACUUACUGAAGAAACCUCCAUUAGAUGGAACUAGUCCCAUUUAGACCAUAGAGUGUACUGUGGCCUUUGAGGCAUUGAAGUCAAAAUUGGUCUCUGCUCCAAUAUUGGUGUCCCCUUAUUAGUCAGAGCUCUUUCAUGUAUACGUUGAUACAUCCAAUGUGGCUAUUGGAUCAGUGCCAAGUCAGAAAGAUGAUAAGGAUCUGAAUCAUCCUAUCUAUUAUGCUAGUCAAAAAUUCGUGGCGGCUGAACGUAAUUACACUACUAUUGAACGAGAAGCAUUGAGUAUAAUUUACUCAGUUCAAAAAUUUUAGCACUAUUUGCUUGGAUAUUCAUUUGUCUUUUAUGUAGAUCAUGAUGUCCUCAAAUAUAUGAUUAAUAAGCCUCAAUUGAGUAGGCACAUUGCUUGAUGGAUAUUAUUCCUACAAGAGUUCAAUUUUAUAAUUACCGUACAACCAAAGAAGAAACAUGCAAAUGCUAAUCAUUUAUUCCAUUUGUCUAAUAUUUUUGGCAAUGAACUUAUCUUUGAUAUUCUUUCGGAUAUUAAAUUAUUUAUAGUAGAUGUGAUUUCUCUCAAAUAUAAUGAAAUCAUUCAGUUUUUGACCUUCCAUACCUUUCUACAGAUUUUCAUUGAUAUGCUUAAGAAGCGCCUCAUUUUGAAGAGUACUUUGUACAUGAUGAUUUGCGGUACUUUGUAUAAACAAGGUAAAGAUGGCAUUUUAAGAUAUUGUAUCUUUCCAAGUGAAGUACAGUUGAUACUAGAGGGUUGCUAUUUAAAUAGUUGUGGUGAUUAUUUUGGGGAAGAUAGUACUGUUCGCAAGGCUUUAAUGGCUAGAUAUUGGUGGCCCACAAUGUUUUAUGGUGCACACCAAUUUCUUCAUCGUUGUGAUCCAUGUUAACAAAUUGGUCGAUCUAUGGGUACUUCAGCCAUGCCAUUAGUACCAAUCUUGGCACAAGCACCGUUUGAAAAAUGAGAUAUUGAUUCUAUUGGUUCCAUCACCCCAACGUCAAAAUCUGGCCAAAAGCGGUAUAUUUUAAAUGCCACAAAUUAUGUAACAAAAUGGAUAGAGGCUCUUGCUAUCCGCAACGAUAAUGCCAGUAUGGUGGCUGCUUUUUUAAUUGAGAAUAUUAUAACUUGAUUUGAAUGUUCAAAGGAAUUGGUUAGUGAUCACGAUACAUAUUUCAUAAAUGCUACCAUAGCAGCCUUGACAAACACGUAUGAGAUCAAUCAUCAAAAAAUCACAUUAUAACAUUCUGGCGCUAAUGGGCAAACAAAAAAGACCAACGGAAUUUUAUGCAAGGUCUUGAUUAAAACAAUUUCAAGAGUGGGUACCGAUUAGGAGACCAAACUCUUUGUAGCUUUGUGGGCGUAUUACACUGCAUAUAAAGUAACUACCAACUCUAUUCCAUUUCAACUCGUUUAUGGGCAAGAAGCCAUUUUACGCAUCAAAUUAGAGGUUCAAAGUUUAUGGAUUGCCUUGGAUGAAAGACUCAGUGACAAAGAAUCAUUAUAAUUUUGGUUGGUGAAAUUAGAAGAAUUGGAUGAAAUACAAGCUAUAGCUCUGUUCAACAUGGAAGCAACUCAGAAACGGAAGAGAAGUUAUUAUGAUAGUAAACUAUGUUCGAAAAAUUUUAUGCCAAUGAUUUGGUAUUACUAUAAGAUAGCCAGUUUAAUCAUUUUUUGGGCAAACUUCAAGUGCGUUGGCAUAGGCCAUAUCAAGUGAUUGAAGGAUUCUCUAAUAGAUCUGUUUAAUUGGAAGAUUUCAUGGGCCAUCGAUUCAACACCUACAUUAAUGGGAACCGAUUACAAUUAUAUAAUAUAUAAAAUCUAAGAUGUGUUUUCAUUUUUUUUUGCGGAAGGUGACUUUGAAUGAACUUAGGAUAGAUCUAAUUAUGAUAUAAGUACAUUAGGAUGUAGAGGCGACUGAAAGAAUAGUUAGUAAUUAUUAAUGUGUCAAAUGAGAUGGACGUUAAAAAUAGACAAUAUGGGUAACAUAUUGUCAUGAUCAUUGGUAGUAAGAAAAUAGGAGUAGUGCAUGAGUUAGAGGUCAUUUAUGUUGACGUUUUUGGUUGUUUUUUUGAGAUUGCCAUUUCUUGUCUUGCUUGCAUAUUUGAAAGUAACAGUUCCAAUUAAGAGGUUAAGAGCUUGAGAAGGAACAUCAUAGCAAUUGAAAGUACAAAGCGAUGUCGUAUUGUUGUUUGGUUAUUGUAUGAAAAUAAUGUAAUUAUGUACUUGAUAUAUAAUUUAUUAAAGAACAUGGUGACAGCCAUGUUAAUAUAUUUUAGUUGGUUGUAGAAUAUAAUUUGAUUAUUACCUUGAGAAGAGGUUGUUUAAAAAGAUUACUAUAGAAUUUGUAUAACUUUAAUUUUCUUUUGAUAAUGGCUUUUAAGAUUGGUUUUUGUUGAUAGUAACUUCUAAAUAAUUAGAGUCACAUUUGUUAGACAUUGGUGACUUUUGAAAACUUAUUUUGGUUCUUUUAUUUGGUAUUUAGAGCAUAAAUUAUGUAAAUCUUAUAAGAAAAAGGACUGAAGAAGGAUUUUGGUAGCAAAGGGAGUAAUUAGGGCACCAAUAUAGAUGAAUGGAGAUGGAUGAUGAAAAUCUCUAUUCCUAUUAGUCAAAAUCAUGACCAAUGGGCUUAGAGGAGGCUGCCUAAGGCCAUAUUAGAGAUUAGGGUUAGUUUUUGGGGCCCAUUCGAGCUUUGAAGACUAGUGUUAGCAAGUUUAGGUUUUUGGCUAUGGUUUUGGUGUAAUUUUUGUAUGGUUUGGAGUUUAUAUGAAGGAGAUAGAAGUGCUCAAAGUUAAGGUGUUGAUUUAGAAGCUACUAUCACUCUUUUUAGGAUAACGCAUGGGUACGGAUAGCAAAUGAAUAUUGGUGACCGUGACUAUAGAGGAUACUUUUGCGGCUAUAAUUUUUAGAUACUACUUGCUGGAUUCCAAGUUAAAGUGAAGGAGUUAUUGGAUUUUGAAAUCAGCACAUGCAAUCUAAAGGUAGUAAAAGACCUGAUUUACUAGUGGUUGUGUCUUGAGCUAUAUCUUGAGCAAUUUGAUAAGGUUUUGGAUCAAAAUUUCAAGAAAUGGAUAAUUUGAUGUAAGUAAACUUUGUGCAUAAGUUUGAUGACAUUUAAGUAUUGGAUUCUUGAAAUAUUAUGAAAAUAGUGCUCGGGUGCUUGUAAAUUACGAUUUAGAGCAUCUGCUAGGGUUUCUUGGAUGCCACAAGAUUGAGAGUGAAUUUGCGGUUGGUUUUAUUGUGAUAAAAGUUAAGGGUGAAUUCUACCAACCCUGUAAAUUUGAGACAAACUGAACAACUAGACUAAGAGAUAUGAAUUUCUAAAUUUUAGGAGAAGAACACCCUUCGCGAGAAAAAUAUGUUUUGAAAGGAUUUUGUUAUAUUUUGAGUUUUAUGCAAAAUAAUAGAGUUUUGGAAACUAAGAAAAGAUUUAUAUAAAGGUUUAAUCUGAACUCUCUACAGUUAAAUACCUAGUGUAUUCCUAGAUAGCAAACUACGCCAUACGACAGCAAGCUGCAGACAAAGAGGAUAGUGGCCGAAAUGUGAGAGCUAAAUGUAUGUCAAAACCACCAUCUAUAAUAAUUGUUACAAAUAUGGAACCGAUGAAGUUUGAUAUCUAUUGGACGUCGAGAAGAAUAAGAAACUUUUGAAAUUCAUAGUUGUUCCAAUUUUUACACCUGUCCAAUCGCUUACUAUCAAUCAAUGUGGCAUAAGUAGAGGAAUACAUCACGAAUUACGACUCCAAGGAUGGAUCGAGUGUCGUACAAUGUAAAAUUAUCAAAAUUGAUGAAACAAUCCUUAAAAAAGUGUUGUUUCUGCCCAUUAGAGAGAUUGCGGUAAGGACUGAUAAAUCAAGCAAUUUUAGCCUCGAUAGAUUUUUUAAUGAAGGUAUGUCAUCUUUUGAGAGGAACCAAGGUUAGUAGACUGCUAAAGCACUUUCACCAGAACUCGCAAAAUGGUUCUGCUUUGUGGUGAGGUAGUUAGGAUUAUACCAAUAUUCCACGUAUAUAUCCAAACGGUUAUUAUAUGCAGUAGUAGGAGCGCUGGAAGGGAUGGUGUUCAAUUGGGCACCUUAAGUAGCUACUUGUAUUCAUGCGGAGAUAAGAACUAAGUGAAAUUUGGAGAAGUUCACAUAUUUGCUUUGUUCCAACAAUGUGUCUAUUAUGAUUAUAUACAUAUUAUGUCAAACAUCGCAAAUCCAAGAAAGUCCUAUAUCAGUGCCAGUGCCUCCAUAGAGAGAACGGAAUUCGGUGGCACAGAAUAUCAAUGCAGCAGAUAUAAUAUACAAAAUUGGAGAGUCAAAUCGUAUAGUGGCACUGGAGAUCUUUCCAACUAUUAAAUCAGAGCGGAUUCCAAUUCUUUUUGCGGUGGAAGAGGACAAUGAAGCCCUAGUUACAAUGGAUAUCAAUUAGUUGGCAUUUCCACAUGGUCGAUUGUCCAAAGGAUUACUGCUUAAGAAUGUUCUAUAGAAGCAUAUUUCACAAAUACAUUGUAUGGUGCGAGCAUUGGACGUAGAUGACAAUAGCAAAUGAGAACUAGAGGCUAGAAAGAAGGUGAUAUCAAAGCAAAACCAAAAAAUCACAGAGAAAGAACGGAUCCUCCAAGAGAAAGCUAAAUCCAAGUUGACAUUAGAAAGGGGAUUUUUAUAAAAAUAAGAAGCUUGGACGCAAGAAAAAGAACACAUAUUACGAAUUGAUGAAGAAAAAUGAGAUGAAUUGAUUCAUACUCACAAGAUAUGGGAUUUGAAAUGAGAAACUCAAAUGCCAGUUGCAAGUGGAACAAGAAAAGACCGAGUUAUUGGCAAAAGAGAAAGCGGCAUUCAAUUACUAAUCCAGAUGCGAACGGAGAAGUUGAGGUCCAAAAUCAAAGUUAUACAAGAUGAGGUGGCAAAAUUGAAGGAAGAGUUAACCAUCAAGAGCCGAUCACAAUCAUCAAUUAAAGAUGUUCCAGAUUGGAUGAAUCAGCAGCAAUAUCAGUUGGAACUCCGUGAUGCCCAGAUCUUGAAACUGGAGGCUUAAGUCCGUAAAUUGGAAGAGUAUAAUGAAAAUCUCUCAACCCAAUUGAGGAAGUAGAGGAUGGACGGAUUGGAAGAAGAGAAAGAUUUGCAAUUAGAACAAAAUCGAUGGAAUCAAUAGUGGUUAAUGUGGCAAGUGAUCAAUCAAGUGGGCCAUAAGAAAUAGUAAUUUUAUAGCCUUCUGUUAAGUAGUUUUUAGAAAGGUAACAAUUGUGUGUUUGCGAGCAUGCUCUACAGAUAGGAGUAGGGUUGUGUAGAAUAGAUAUUAGUUUGUUUUUAUAAGAUAUUGAUAAAAUAGGCUCAUAGUCCAUAGAAUAGUCAGUUCAAGAGGACAGAUGAUUAACUUAGUUAUUAAAAGUGAUUAAUUAAAGAAUUAUAAUUAGAAUCUAGGAAUAAAAAGUAAGUAUAUAGGAGUUGUAGAAGUUAGUAUGAAUGACACACUAUGAAAGUCAUGAGUCGGGAUAAGCUUGGUACUACUUCUUUGUUUCUUUGUUGUUGAAGAGUAAUAGAUAGUUACUGAAUACUAUGAAGUGAAUCUCUGGAAUAAAUCAGAGAUUGAUUUAUAAGAUAAUGAGUAUGUAAUUGGAGUACCGUGUGGUUGAAUUAUUGUGAGAAGAUAUUGGGAGUCGGUUAUCAUAUUCUGUGGGAGAUUAUUAAUGGAUGGAAGAUUAUGAUUAUUGGUUAUUGAGAGCUAUGUGUUUAAAGAGAAGAAGUCUGUGAUUACAGAAAUUGUGCGAAGACAAAUUGUUUGGAGUGGAAGUCUGUUAUUUCUGGUGUUGGAUGGAAUUUAUGUACUCGGAGCAAUCUUAUAAAGACAGUGCAAGAGUUACAAUGGUUCCUUUCUAAUUUUUUAAUUCAUCUCCCUCAAUCCUAUUCAUAGGAUUUAAGGGACCCAAUCUUAAUAAAACCUCAAUGAUUUCAACGAGAGCCAUGCUUUGUAGAGUCCACGUCGGAGAAUGUGGACAUUACUGCCACCACUCUGUGCUCGGUCAAGUGACAAGAAGGAUUGCACGAUUUCGAUGCAAAUCGAAGCAGGAGGUGAAUCAGUGACCAAGGUAGCACCUUAACUCUCCAACCCCCAUUUUCUCCACGGCAGGGCGGCUGCCGUUCAAGGGUGAAACGCUACGCAUCGACCAUGUACACAUUUGAAAAGCACAAUACAGCCAAGUUCGUGAUGUAACUGUGAAAAUCAUUCUUGGAACAAAGACUUUUGGCAGGCACUGGAACAUGAUAUACAACUUGUGAUUUACCGUAAUCUGACGCUGGGCCGCAAAUGGAGGAUAUAAAAAGUAAUAUUCUGAAAGCGACUGUAAACCACAUUGUAUCAAUCUGCAAUGCUCAUGCAACGCCAGCGUAGCGCAGAAUCCAACGACCAUCCCACACGAGCUGCGCAUGUGAUUAUUUAUAAUUUUUCAAGAUGCCGCCUAGGGAAGGCGGUGGCUCCCAAUCCAGUAUAAGGGUGUCGUUGAGAGGCACGGAGAUCCCAAGCUUGUGCUGCACUUGAUGCAUGGUACCUCAAUCCCCUCAUCCUUCCGUGCUGCUCUACGUGCUCCUGCCUUGCCGAUCUGCAUCCUUUGCAGCGCAGAUCUAAUUCACGAUGGCCAGCCAUGGCAAAGCGGUGGUGCUGGUGCUGGUGCUGGUGCUAGUGGCGGCGACGGUGGUGGUGCCGCGGGCGGAGGCGCGUGCUCUAGUGGACGAUGGCGGGGAGCGCCCGGCGGAGCGCAUGAGCCCCUUGAUCACUGACCUCCAGGCAGUUGUGUGCAAGCAUUUGGGCUUGGCCUGCGCAGGCAAUGGCGAUCCACACAAUUUACAGUGUCAAAAGUUAUUUUGGCAUUGUGGAAGGGAUUAUGCGCCAUGCUGCGGUAGUAUGCAGUGCAAGUGCAUUGGGGAUUUGUGUACGUGUGAACUGGUUUAAUGUAGAAGGCAGAUAUUGGAAACGUGUUUGAAUUGCCAUGACUGAAGCUUUUAUGAUGAGCAGUGCUGCAGUCGGGUUUGCAUUCCAUUCCUGGAUGUCAGCCCUCUUGCUUACAGAAUGUUGUGAGAGUGAGUCUAGACGGCAGAUAUUCGGGAUACGAUGCUUCCUUAUCGAGCUGUAAUCAAGCCAUGCAGUACUGUCUACAAUAAAGUUGCAAAACUACUAGGUCAACUGUGGCGCCAUUCUGUGGCAUUUGAACUAAUGUAAAGUUACAAGACUACUUGGUCAACUGUGGCGCCAUUCCGUGGCAUUUGAACUAAUAGAAAGAGCCAUUUUGUAUGCAAUAUUGCACCUUUCUGUCUGGAAUUUUGCGUCAAUUUUGUGUCAUAUUGUCGUGUAGUUGACAAACACCUCAAUUUAGUAGUGGGAGACUAUGGGAGCCAAAAUUGUAAUAAAAGUUGAUCAUCGUGCAGUGUACUUUGAUUUUUUUUUCCUCCUUUGGUGAAUACGUAAUUUAGUCGACCAAAAUGAUCUUUGUUGCAUUUGAGUUCAACUAUCAAAAUGAACCUCAUAGUCUUCUUCUUACUCCAUAUUGAAUUUUUUUGAAAAUUCUUAAAAUUGACUGUUUCAUAGUAAUUAUAAGUUCUGCAUCCAGGAUAACAUAAUUUGGUUCUUUUAGGGUGUCUGGUUGAACUGAGAGGCUGUACAUUACCUUCUGCCGACCUCUUCGCUAGUUUGAAUGCACGAGGCUGUGUUUGGGUUACUUCAGCCCCCCGAUGUACUGAACUUCUACUCUGCAUGGCUUGGGGCUCAUGCUGACGCCUUGUGUAAUUGGGAUACUAGUCUUAUAUUUGUUAACAGAUUAUACAAGUACUUUUAUUGUUAUAUAUACAACAUUUUAUAAAUUAUGAUUUUAAAUAUUAUACCAUUUAUGAUGCACAAAUUAUUAUAUUUAUGUAAUAUAGUAUUUUAUAUAUAUAAAUAUAUAUACAUAUAUGUGUAAUAUAUAUUUAUACAUGUUAAUAUAAUUAUAUAUAAUAAUUAUAUAUUUAAUCUAUAUAAUGUUAUAUUUAUAUAUUUUAUAAUUUAUAUAAUUAUUAUAUAUAAUAUUAUAUUUUAUAAUAAUAUAUAUAAUUAAACAUACAUAAUAAUAUGUUUAUAUUCAUUUUAAAUAUUAUUAUGUAUAUACAUAAUAUAUUUAUUAAUAAAUAUUUAUACAUAUGAUAUUAUAUUAAUAUUAUAUAUAUUAUUAUAAUAAAUGUGUUAUAGUUUAAAUAUAAGGAAGCAAUAUAAAGUUCUGGCCACAAACUCAUCUUGGGACAACUUGGAUUUACACUACCAAAAAAUAAGGAAACUGACCAUGGGAGUUGAUGUUACCAAAAGCGCUAUAAAAGUGUCAUAGAGGAUAAGGUUUCAUGGUCCAAGUUCAUUUUAAGUAGGUCAAGCACAAGACGUCGGUUAGCCGCAAAACCAAGAGAUUGUGGGCUUAACUCCUAAAAGACAAUUGUCCCAAAUUGGGCUUUUUGCAUUUUUAGGCAGGGUUGUUUGAAGUCAAUUUGAGGUGUAAUAUUCUGAAAUCUUUUUUUGGAGAUGUGGUGUCAUAUGGCAUGAUUUGCUAUCUUGAAAUCCACUAGAUAUCUAGCUGUAGAGAGUUUAACUUAAACCUUUAUAUGAAUCUUUUCUUAGCCUCACAAAACUCCAUUAUUUUACUAAAACUCAAAAUAUAACAAAAUCCCUUCAAAACAUAUUUUUCCCGCAAAAGGUUUUCUUCUCCUAAAAUAUAGAAAUUCAUAUCUCUUAGUGUAGUUGUUUCGUUUGUCUCAAAUUUACAGGAUUGGUAGAAUUCACCCUUAACUUUUAUGACAAUAAAACCAAUUGCAAAUUCACUCUCAAUCUUGUGGCAUCUAAGAAACCCUAGUAGAUGCUCUAAACUCUAUUUAAUAAGCAUCUGAGCACUAUUUUCUUAAUAUCUUAAGAAUCCAAUUCUUAAAUAUCAUAAAACUUAUGUAUAAAGUUUAUUAACAUAAAUUUACACAUCUCCUAAAAUUUUGUGCCAAAACCUUAGCAAAUUGCUUAAGAUAUAGCUCAAGAUACAACCACUAGUAAAUCGAGUCACUUACUACCUUUAGAUUGCAUGUGCUGAUUUCAAAAUCCAAUAACUCCUUCACUUUAACUUGGAAUCCAGCAAGUAGUAUCUAAAAAUUAUAGCCGCAAAAGUAGUCUCUCCAAUAGCGGUUGCCGAUCCUCAAUUGCUGUCCAUACUCGUGUAUUAUGCCAAAAAGAGUGACAGAAGCUCCCAAAUCAACACCUUAACUUUGAGCACUUGUAUCUCCUUCAUAUAAACUCCAAACCAUACAAAACUUGUACCAAAACCAUAUCCAAAAACCUAAAUUUGCUGAUCCUAGCCUUUAAAGCUCGAAUGGCCUCCAAAAACUAACCCUAAUCUCUAAUAUGGCCUUAGGCAGCCUCCUCUAAGCCCAUUGGUCAUGAUUUUUGACUAAUAGGAAUGGAGAUUUUCAUCAUCCAUCUCCAUUCAUCUAUAUUAGUGCCCUAAUUACUCCCUUUGUUACCAAAAUCCUUCUUCAGUCCUUUUUCUUAUAAUAUUUAUAUAAUUUAUGCUCUAAACACCAAAUAAAAGAACCAAAAUAAGUUUUCAAAGGUCACCAAUGUCUAAUAAAGGUGACUCUAAAUAUUUUGAAGUUACUAUCAACAAAAACCAAUCUUAAAAGACACUAUCAAAAAAGAAAUUAAUGUUAUACAAAUUCUAUAGUAAUCUUUUUAAAUAACCUUUUCUCAAGGUAAUAAUCAAAUUAUAUUCUACAACCAACUAAAAUCUACUAACACGACUCUCACCAUGUUAUUAAUAAAUUAUAUAUUAAGUAUAUAAUUAUAUUAUUUUCAUAUAAUAGCCGAACCUCAUCACGACAUCCAUCCCCUCUAAACCUGUGCAUCCUCUGGUAUGCACCAAAAAGAACCAAAGUUGUGGUCGGCAUCAUAUCUCCUUCCUAAUAAUGUCUUCUUCAAAAUCUAAUUCUUCUUCCUCAUACCUAGAUAGAUCAAAUUCUUCUUCAACAUCUUCGAGGAUUAGUUGUUGAUCCCGUUUUUUGAAAAGUUUUAUAUGUUUUCUAGCAAUUGGAAUUUUGAAUCUUGUUCCAUCUAAUUCUCUAAAUACAUAUUUAGCAUUAUCCAAAACAUGUACAACUACAUAAGGUUCAAACCAAUGCUUAGAGGACUUUUUAAGAGCACUAUGGUGGUCAUCCAAGCUAUUGUUAUAUACUUAAAUCCAAUAGCCUUCUUGAAUAUCUUUUGGCUUCAACAUGUGUCGCUUAUCAAAUCUAUCUUUAUUCUUCAAGCGCAACUCCCUCAGCCUUAUAAUUGCUUUUUCCACAUCUUCAAGUAUUUUUUCUAGUUGACGAAUUCAAAGUAAAAGAAGUUCUUCUUAAGAUAUAUUUUCUUGCCAAGGCAAGAUAUUCAAAGUAGGUAUUUGUUCUUCAAAUAACAUAAUAGGCUUCUAUCCUUGCAUUAACUCUGCCGGCAUAUAUCCUGUCAUUGAACUGUGAAUAGUACAAUCAGCCCAAAGAGCAAAUGGUAAUAGCCUUGGCCAUUCUCUUACUCUUCCUUUGCAAGCUUUAAUAAUGGCCCUUACAAUAGGAGGAUGAUCUCGCUCACUCUUAGCAUUGCCUUCCAGAUUAUAAGAUGUAGUAAGUACUAGCUUGACUCCACAUCUCUCAAAGAACUGUCUAGCCUCAUGUGCAUCCAAUUCUCCAUGAUCAAUAGUAAUUUUUCUAAUACAUCCAUAUCUACAAAUCACAUCUUCCAGUAAAAAUCUACAAACUCCUUCAGUGGAUUUUGUUCGUAGAGUUCUUCCUUCUACUAGGUUAGAUAAAUCUUCUCAUCCUAGAGCCAAGUACUACAUUUGCCAUAUCCCCAUAGGCAUAAUAACUAGGUCCAUAAUCCAUUUAUAAUGUAUUGUAAGUGGAUAUGUAGGAUACAAUCCAUCUCUAUGUUGAAUCUCUGAGUAUAUCUGAUAAGUUUGGCAUGAUUCUACAAACUUCACCACAUCUCUAUAUAUGUUACGUUACCAAUAUUUUUCUUUGAGCUUGUUAAAGGUAGUAUAAAUACCUCUAUGUCCAGUCCACAAACUAUUAUGGAAUUUAUGGAUUAAUUAUUCUUGCAUCUCUUUCUUGCAAACUACUCUUUGUGGCAUUCCACUAUCCCGUUUGCAUUGCUUUCAUACGUAACCACCUUGUAAGAGGUAGUUGUAAGCCUUCCGUCUAAUUUGUUUGAAAUGAAUAUCCCUCCUUCCUGAUUGUCUUGAUAAUGUGCUUAAAUAGCGUCCAAUAUCAAUCCAAUCUCCUUCAUAUAAUUCUUCUGUAAAUGGUCUUAGAUAUUCAUUCUCUCCUUGUUAUAUCCUAGAAUAAAAGGUAGUACCUAUAUCUUCAGUAUCUUCAAUCAAAUCUUCUUUUUGUUCAUAUCUAGCUGAAGAUAGCAUAUCUGCUACAAGAUUAUCCUUGCCUGCUAUAUGCUUAAAUUCAGGAUUCAAAGAUUUAAUAUAUGCAAUCCAUCUUAGCAUAGCAAUAUUAGAGGUAUUACAAUUAAUAAUCAUUCUCAAUAGUGGCAAACAAUCUAUUUCCACUAUCAUUGGUGUCUCAAUUAAAUAAUCUCUUUCAUUUUUCAUAGCUGUAACUAUUCCCCAUAGCUCCCGUUUCACCUGUGGAUAGUUCCUUUGUCGUUCACUUAAUACUUUAGGUCCAAAUCUAAUAGCAAACCUGUUACCUUCUUCAUCAUUUUGUCCAAAAGUCCAACCAACAGCUAUUGAACUAGUAUCAAUUGUAAGUAUCAUCGAUUUGCCAGCUUCAUAACUUAUUCUUCGCAAUAUAAGUGGAGAAGAUAAUAAUUGCUUUAGCUUUUGAAUUUUUUCUAUGUGCUUCUUCUUCCAUUUAAAUCUCUUCCCUUUUCAUAGCAAACUAUAAAGAAGAUUAGCUACAUAUGCAUAAUGAAGAAUCCAUACACAAUAAAAUAUGCAAGCUCCUAAAAUCCUCCGUACUUCAAUUUGUGAGCUAUAAAUAUCCUUCAUUUAUUGUAUGGCAUGCAUCUUAUUAGGAUCAGGUUUGCAACCAAACCAUCCACACAAAUGCUCCACAAUAAAAACUUCUCGAACUCCAAAGGUAGAUUUAGCUCUUGAUAGUGUCAAGUGAACCUCUUCAAGUCAAGAUAAAAUUUUGUUAUAGUCUGAAAUAUGAUUAGAUACAAAUUUAUGGCACCCCUUUUGAUCCAUUGUUUCAUUUUUUUCUUCUUCCAUAUACCUUUUUAUUGGAAUAUUAUCCAAGAAGGGCAUAGUCUUUUUUGGAAUGAAAUCAUGAAGAACCUUAUUCAUCCCAUUCAUCAUGUGAACUAUUGAGUUUGUUGCUCCUUGUAGCAAUGUACACAUCUUAACCAAUCCCAAAGGUGUCCUCAUAAUAAUAAUAUCUUUGCUUCCUUCAGCUAGUUGAAAUUGAUUAUAUGUAGAAUAGAGAUCUCCAAUAGAGUAAAUAGCUCUACCAGCAAAUGCCUCAGCAAAUUCUCUAACAAUUGAUCCAACGCCAAUAUUUCUAAUAGUUAUUUGAUUCACUAGUUGCAUAUCUUGAAUGAACCGUAGUGUUCCAUUUUUCUUUGGUAUUGUAUACCAAUGACUAAAAUAUCGUACAAAUGAUGGCUCCAUAAGUUUAGGUAGAUGUGCUUUAGGCAUCAAUAUUAGUCUUAAAUUCCAAAGAACAUGCAGAACUGUAAAUAUAAUCAUUGGUGCCACAACACUUGGAUCGAUACAUCCAAUUUUUGAAGGUUCAAAAGCAAAAGCCUUUCCAUGCAUACUUAACAUAUUUCUAAAUUCUAUUUCUUCAAUAAGUAAUAAAAAAUUUGUAGAUCCUAUUUUUAACUCAUUGAGUGUAUUCUUGAUAAACUUAUGGCCUAUUUGUUUAAGAUCCCAUAAGCCCUUUUCUUUCAAAGCUUGUUGAACUUGUUGAUUGGAAUUACUAGCUAAUGGUAUAAGUACUGGUUUUAUUUUCUUCUCCACAGUCUUGUAUCUAGUUUCAACUUUGACUUCAUAAUCUUGAAAUGCUUGAAAAGCUUAGUAGAGCUCUCUUGAAUGUACUUGCACUACUUGAUCUUCAUUUCUUUAUUCAACCUCUAAAAGUUCUUCCAUAAAAUCUUCUAAACCAGUCUCUAUAUAUACACCUACUAUCUUAUCAUCUCCAUCAAGUAUACCCUCUCUUUUUAGGUCUUUUUCAGAUUUUUGCACAACUUUUUUCUCUCACUUUGGUAGAUCAUUAAGUUAUGUAUAGAUAGUAAAUCCAUUCUUAGAUAAUUCUAUAACACUUAUACAAAAGGCAUUUUUUUUUUUCAUGCGAGAGUACCUUCUUUGAUGUACCACUACAUUCCUACUCUAUAGUGGUACCCUGCAAAACUCCGUAAACUCUUCACUAACCCUUGGUAAUAAAUCACUUCAUAAAUAAUCUUGAAAGCACUCAUAAUUUGUAGGUAUAAAUAGAAACUAUACUACUCUUUUUUCAUCUUGACUUCUAAUACAGGUAUAUGCUAAUCCGUCAUCCAAAAUCUUGGUCUCCAUCUUCACAGCUAUAAAAUAUGGUUGACCAAAAAUCAUUGGGUAUGAAGUAGUGUCUUGAAUAAAAAAAAUUUGUUGUGUGGUUACAUCUCUAAUUUUUACCUUCACAUUGGAACAAAUAUCAUAAAGAUCUCCUCAUGUAUUAUUUGCUACCCGAAUCAUUCAUCCAUGGUUAAUAUCAAUGGGCCAUCUUCUACAUUUAUAGACUUCUUUUGAUAUAAUAUUAAUUUUAGAUCCAUGGUCAAUAAGAGCAAUUACUGGUUCUAUCAAGUCUUCUAUUUUUACUAAAGUUUCUGUAGUGGCUCUUGUCCAAUGUCUCUUGGUAUAGUGUCUAAGGCCCUUGUCAUCAUCCUUGUAUUCAUCCAAAUUAAAUUGUCCCUUUUUAUUGCUAUAACAUUCUACCAAUUCAUGUUCUACUUCUUCAGUCAAGAUUAUAUUCAAAGCACUAGAUACAGCAGAUUCUCUUGUCAACUGCCUCUUUUGCUAAAUGGUGUCGAUGAUGACUUCAUGAAACUCUCUCUUAACAGUGCCUAAUAUUUCUCAUAGAGUAAAUUCAAUUUUGGUAUUCAAUACUCUUUCUUCCAAUACUCCUUUGAAAUCUAAGGCUGCCUCAAUAUCUGAUUGAAGCUUAUAAGUAAUAUGCUUACUCUUUCUUUUGUCAUUAUCAACUUCCAUCUUUUCUUUCUAUUUUUUUUUUGGCAAUGGUGCUUUUUUAGGGUGCAAUGUCGAUGGCCUAGCCCUGGAUGGUCUAUUAGCCUAUGAUAUAGGUAUUUCUUUAUUUUGUAUUAUUUCUACAUGUCUUUAAGAUCUCCUCUUGUUGGUUGGCUCUUCAAAAUUUUCUUCUAUUUCAUUUUUUCUCUUUUUUUACCUCCAUUAGAGCUUUAUGUUGGGACUUUGACAAAUAAGCAUGUACAGACAUAGUAUCUACAAGAUCAUCACAUUUUGUGGCAUUCCUAAUUAUUAUGGCUGUAUUAAGUAAUUCCUGCCUUGUUGUUUUUCAUUUAUUCAUGCUGAUAAUAGCAUGAUUCUAUAGAUCCCCUGUAUUUACAUGCUUGUCAAAAACAUCCUCCUUCUCACUUAUAGCCUCAAUGCUAUAAGUAAUAGCCUCUCUUGAUGCCAUAGCCUAUUAAGAUAAAUACUCUUUUAAAACAUUCUUCAUCCCUCCCUUUCCAAAAUUAGUUUUGAGAAACUCACCUGUAUCUCACAACACAAUGUUUCCAUCUUUCCAUAAAAUUACUUCUUGUUGCAAAAUAUCAAUAAAAUCUCCACAUUCCUUGCGAGGAUGCUCAAUACUAUCGCACCAAAUAUAUCUUUGUAUAUAUCCUUGUUUUGAUGCAAGAUUGAUUUCAAGUAAUCUUUCUUUCUCCUCUAGCUUUGCCAAUUUGAUUUGUAAGUCUUUCAUUUCUUUUAUCAACUUAUCAAUUACAUCUAUAUGUGGUGCAAUUGUAGACAUAAGAAUUGGAAUAGUACUUACUGGCAUAGAAGGUUUUGGCAAUUACCUACGAGGUAUUGUAGUUGGUGGAGGUCUUGUUGCUUGCCUUACUACCACCUUACCCCUCAAGUACUCUCUUUUAGUGGGUAUGUCCACAACUUCAGAGACUUUCUUCCAAUCACUAGUAAAUCCAUUGUCCUCUGUAUUAUCCUCCAAUAGUAAUUCCAACUCCCUUUGUAAAUCAUUAUUAGCUGAUUGAAGAAAUAACUCCACCUUAUCAUUUUCAAGUGUAAGCUUUUUCACUCGAGACCAUUGGAAAAAACGUCUUUCAAAUUCUCGGAAUAACUAUGUUACAACCAAAUCCUUCUUAGAUUUAUUAAUCCACUCUAUAAACGAUUUUCUUGUCACCUUUCCUACAUCUUCUAAAGAAUACUCUUCCUUAAGCUGAAGGAUAAAAUCUUUUCAUAAAAAAUUUUAAAUAAAUUCUAAAUAAAUUCUAAAAAAUCCUAUAAUUUUUCUAUAAUACUAAUAUCCAUAUGAAGCUGUAUUUUCCUAUCUUAGUGAUUUUUUAUAGUAAUAAAAUCAAUUUAAAUCCACUAAAAAUCCUAUUUUUUAUAUAAUUAAUUAAAAAGACAUGAAGCUCUUUUUCAUGCUUCUUUUAACUACUGACUAAUCAUUGAUAGGAUUUUAUAAGUAACACAUGUAAAUAGGAGCCAAUGAAGAUAUUGGUUUCAAUAAAUAACUCUUAAUACUUAACAAUAAGAAAAAGACUAAACUAAUUAAGAUAAUUACCUCUAAGACUUAUUAAGAUUCCAUUUUUAUAACUUUUCUUCUAAUAAUACUUUUACAACUUAUAAAUACUUCUAAAUUAUAACAAAUACUGAAAUAGUUAAAAAAAAUCUUUCUACUCUUAACAUUUGUAUAAUUGAAUGACUUAAAAUUAUGUUUUUAACUAAUCCACUAGGUAAGAUCAAGUUAAAGAACUUAUACCGGAUAGAGCUUAUUUUUGCUCUCAAUGAAGGUGCACUCUCAAGUUUGAUCUCCAUAGUGAAGGUAGAAGAGAAGCUUAGAGAAGAAUGUAGCUCAUCCUUCAAGGAUACUAAGGUAAAGGUCUCAGCAUUUACUCAACCAUCCAUUGCCAUAUCAUGACUAAGAUAGGCUACGUAGGUGGCUUUUUGUACAGAUGAUGAACUAUAACUAUUUGAGCCACUCUAUCUAUUCAUAUCUCAUCUAGAGAUUGAAUAUCGAGGCUUUAGGCAUGAUCAGAUGCAAGCCAUCCAAGACUUUCAGUGUGAAAAGAAAGACACACCAUGCACUAUGUAUACUCAUUUGGCAUGAUUUGGAGUGGAAUCAAAGGAAAUAUUUGUUGAGAGUCAAUUUAUCGAGAUCUUUUUAUCCAAAUUUUAACAUAUUUACAAUAUCUUUUUAAAAAUCCAUAAGAAAUAGAAUCAUCUACUAUAUUGUAUAUAAUCUAUAUCUAUUAUUUAUAUGUAGAGACAUCAAACUCAAUCUAGGGCCUAUUUUAAAUCUUUUUAUAGAUGAUCUACCAAAGAAUAUACUACAAAAGUUAUAAAACAUACUUCACACUAGGAACCAUCCAAUUAAGACUUGAAUAUAAGACUUUGGCUAAAACCUUUGCUCCAAAUCUUGACUUCACUCACCUUAAUCAUGUAGAAAUCCAAUAUACUAUCAAUACUUAUAUAGAAUCCUUCAAUAAAACACUCACUACCCACUUCUAAGAAUACUCUUUGUACUAAUCAUAACACUAAGUCUUUUUUCUAAUAUAUAUAAUACAACACUUGUUUUUAACUAAUAUCACUUUAUCAACCUACUUAUCAAACUAACACAACUCUCUAUUCUACCGAAACAUAUACUUUUUACCUCUAAUCAAUUUGAUAAAUUUAUGCAAGCUCAUGCAAAUAUCAUAAUAUUAUCAAAUACCAUCCAUAAAUAAUUAUGUGAUUAUAUAGUCACAAAUAAUCUACUUGUUGCUCUCCAAUCUAUUCAAACUAAAUUCCUCUAUAUUCUUCUAAUCCUUGUAAAAGAAGCCCUAAGAUGCAUUGUCCUACUAAUAGACUAUUUUUAUCCACCACCACCCUCUAAUCAUCCUUCUCCUCAACCUCAACACCCCUCUUAUACAAAUCAAAUCACAUACUUUAUCACAUGGAAUAUUUCCUUUUUCAACACCUCCAUAUUAUGUCUAUACUUUCUUAUUUCACAAUUCAACCUUGCCAUUCUAAUUCUACAAGAAAUUAAGCUAAUAUCCAAGAAUCUACCCAAAUACAUUGAAAGACUAUUUCCACAAUACAAACUUCUCUUUAAUAAUAUACAUAAUGAAUCAUGCCCCACAUAUAGACUAGAUUUAUCUUAUAUGCCUUCAUAGAGAGGCAUGCUAAUAUUCAUUCAUAAUAAAUAUGCAUUCCCUAGUAAUAUUACUUCACUACCAACCCUCUUCCCCUUCCUUUGAAAUAUCCUCUUACUUUCAAAUUAUACAAAUCUCCAAUUAACUAUUAUCCAUUAUUCUCCUUAUCUAUUUCUAUAUGCCAAUAUACAAAGAAGACAUAUACUUAAUUCCCAUCAUAGAAAAUACAAUCAAAUAAAAAAUUACUUGCAACCCAAUCCAUACUAUCAUAAUGUAUGGAGACUUCAAUUGUGAUAUUGCAUUAAUUGGUAGGCAACAUAAUCAAAUCUUUUUUCUACUAAUUAAUACUGACAUCCAAUAAAAGUAAUUUAUUAACAAUAUAUAUAUAUAUAUAUAUAUAUAUAUAUAUAUAUAUAUAUCUAUUAAUAUAAAUUAUUCUAGAUAAGAUGGCCCUAAUUAUAUACAUAUUAGCCUAACAGAUGGCUACUACAUAAAAUCACUACAUAACUUUCACCAAACAUUGGCAACUAUCACCAACUUCCAACACAAUUCCGACUAUAAAUGCUUUACUCUUCAAAAUUCUAUCAAUACUAUCCCACUACACCUCAACUCCUAUAUAUAUUAGGUAUUAGAAAGCUUCUUGAGAAGUUUCCAUGUUGCUUGGAUAUAAAGCAAUUCUAGAAUCCUUCUUGAACAACUUUUUUAAUCCUUCUAGAAAAGUUUCCAUGUUGCUUGGAUACAAAGCACCCUAGGAUCAUUCUUCGACAACUUCGUUAACCUUUCUAGAAAAGUUUCCAUAUUCCUUAGAUACAAAGCAAUGCUAGGAACUUUAUAGAAUUCAGUAGAAUAUUCUAAGAGUCUUUUUAGAAUCUUCUAGAAUCUAUUAAAAUAUUCUAAGAAUCUUCUAUAAAUCUUGUUGUUGGAUAUCUAUAACAUAACCUCUUCUUCUAAUUCCAAAUUCCACGAGAAAUUAAAUGUGUUACAUACGUUGAAAGUUCAAAAUAUGAUUAAGUAGCAAAGUAACAUAUUCAACUCUUUGUUCUUGGAUUAUGGAUUCAACAAGACGUCAAAGAAAACAUCAUCGGCCUCUAGCUAAAAUGCGAAGAUUUGACAUAGAUACUCUAUUCUACCUUGAAAAAUAGAACUAAAUACAAGUGAAAGUCUUAGUGUGGCUCUCUCCUUUUUAUGUGCAUCCUUGAGAUAGAAGCUUCAACAAGAAGUUAUCAUUGAAUAUGCUUAGGUUCCUGAGGAUAGCAUUGAUGAAACUCUUGUAUCUUUUGUGGUGCAUUGAUUAGAUUUUCAAUUGGUUUCUAUAUACGUUCAUUGAUAUCAAAGCCAUGCCAAUGGAUAAGAUACUCCAACUUGCCUCACCUUCACUACAAAUCAAGUAUCUUUUUAACCUUGUACUCUAUGUGGUUCUCAAUUUUAAUAUAAAGCAACGGUUGUUGCACUCUUCUAGGAAUAUUUGAUUCUUUAUAAGAUUUCAAAAGAGAGUCAUGAAAAAUUAGAUAUACCUUCAUAGACAAGGAUAACUCCAAUCGAUAUGCCAGUGGACUAAUUAUUUUUUGAAUGUGAAACUGUCCUAACUUUCAAUAAUCUAGCUUAUCACAUGGCUAAUUGGUCUUGAUAUUUUGUCGAAGAAGCCAUAUCUUAUCUCCAACUUAAAAAAUUUGUAACUCUUUUCUAAAACCAUUAAAAGAUGCAUUAUAAGAAUCUUGAGCUACUUGUAAUUGGAGCAUCAAAGUUGUUUGGAGUUGCGAUAAUCGAUGUGUAAGGUCUUUGGUAGCUGGGUUUUUAUUCCUUGAUAUGGCCAAAAAAUUAAGCUUAAGAUGGUAACCAUAGUUGACUUAAAAUGGUGUUUGUUAAGUGGAUGCAUGCACAGUAUUAUUAUAAGCAAACUUUGCUAAUGAUAAAUACAACGUCCAAUCAUCUUCUUGAUAAUUGAUGGUACAUUGCAAAUACUGCUCUUAGGCUUGAUUAAUUAGCUCUAUAUAACUGUCAGUUUGAGAAUGAAAGGCAAACGAGAGUUUGAUAUUAACCUUCAACAUUUUGAACAUGGAUUUCUAGAACUUUGAUACAACUUGAGAUCUAUAAUUGAAAUAAUAUCAUCUACGAACCAUGAUAUUGAUAUAAAUUAUCAUGAAGUAGUCUUGUUGAUUCUUCUUCAGAAAUUGUUUUUUUGCAAGGCGCAAAGUAUGCCAUCUUUGUAAUCCAAUCAAAACUAACAAAAAGUGCAUAAAAUGAAUUUGAUGAUGGUUGAUUGGUUAUAAAGUACAUUGAAAUAGAAGAGCAUGAUUGCAUUUGAAAUGGCAAUGGUUCCAAACAUCUCAAUGGUUACAAAAUCCAUACAUUUGAUGAGCAAUAUGGAUUGCAGAGAGGGUUGAUGCUAUAGAUUUCAGGAAUCGCGAAAUAGGACUUAUGGUAAAGAUCCUUGUGCUCAUAUGAAAUUCCAUGACACAACAAUCAACACUUUUGGCAAUAGAUGCCUUCCAAAGAGCAUUGACACCACAAAGCUUUAUAAAUCAAACUUUAAUAUAUCCUAUCAUUAAAAAUAUAGCAUAUAAUAAUUUAUACAUAUAUACAUACAUAUAUAUAUAUAUAUAUAUAUGUAUAUAAUUAUAUAUAUAAAUAUACAUAAGUAACAUAUUUAUUUAUAUGUAUUAUCAAUCUCACAUAUUUAAAAAUAUAAUAUUUAAUAUAAUAUAUAAUAUAAUACUAUAUUAAAGAUAUAUAUGUAAUCAUAUCCAUUAAUUAUAUGAAAUACAUAAUAUUAAAUUUUAUUUUAAAUAUAUUCUAUAAUAUAUUUAAAUAUAAAUUUUAAAUUAAUAAUUAUAGAUAUUUAAUAAUAAAAGUAUUUUAAAUGCAUUAUAUAAUGAUUAAAUAUAGUUAAAUACAAUUUACUUUUAAAAUUAAAAUAUAAUAUGACAAGUAAAUACAACAUAUAUGUAUAAAUAUAAUUUUUGUAUGUAAAAAAAUAUAAAUAUCACCAUUCUAUAAAUAUGAAUAAUUUCACAAAUAUUAUUAUUCAGAAAAUAAUAUUAUUCAGAAAAUAAUAUUAUUCAGAAAAUAAUAUUAUUCAGAAAAUAAUAUUAUUCAGAAAAUAAUAUUAUUCAGAAAAUAAUAUUAUUCAGAAAAUAAUAUUAUUCAGAAAAUAAUAUUAUUCAGAAAAUAAUAUUAUUCAGAAAAUAAUAUUAUACAGAAAAUAAUAUUAUUCAGAAAAUAAUAUUAUUCAGAAAAUAAUAUUAUUCAGAAAAUAAUAUUAUUCAGAAAAUAAUAUUAUUCAGAAAAUAAUAUUAUUCAGAAAAUAAUAUUAUUCAGAAAAUAAUAUUCUUCAUACAAUAAUAUUCUACAUAAAAUAAUAUUAUUCAUACCAUAAUAUUAUUCAUAAAAUUAUAUUAUUCAUACAAUAAUAUUAUUCAUACAAUAAUAUUAUUCAUAAAAUAAUAUUAUUCAUACAGUAAUAUUAUUCAUAAAAUAAUAUUAUUCAUAAAAUAAUAUUAUUCAUACAAUAAUAUUAUUCAUACAAUAAUAUUCUUUAUAAAAUAAUAUUAUUCAUACAAUAAUAUUAUUCAUAAAAUAAUAUUAUUCAUACAAUAAUAUUAUUCAUAAAAUAAUAUUAUUCAUACAAUAAUAUUCUUCAUAAAAUAAUAUUAUUCAUACAAUAAUAUUCUUCAUAAAAUAAUAUUAUUCAUACAAUAAUAUUAUUCAUAAAAUAAUAUUAUUCAUACAAUAAUAUUCUUCAUAAAAUAAUAUUAUUCAUACAAUAAUAUUCUUCAUAAAAUAAUAUUAUUCAUACAAUAAUAUUCUUCAUAAAAUAAUAUUAUUCAUAAAAUAAUAUCCUUCAUAAAAUAAUAUUAUUCAUAAAAUAAUAUUAUUCAUAAAAUAAUAUUCUUCAUAAAAUAAUAUUAAUCAUAAAAUAAUAUUAUUAAUAAAAUAAUAUUAUUCAUAAAAUAAUAUUACUAAUAAAAUAAUAUUCUUCAUAAAAUAAUAUUAUUCAUAAAAUAAUAUUCUUCAUAAAAUAAUAUUAAUCAUAAAAUAAUAUUAUUAAUAAAAUAAUAUUAUUCAUAAAAUAAUAUUAUUAAUAAAAUAAUAUUAUUCAUAAAUUAAUAUUAUUAAUAAAUUAAUAUUAUUAAUAAAUUAAUAUUAUUAAUAAAAUAAUAUUAUUAAUAAAAUAAUAUUAUUCAUAAAAUAAUAUUAUUCAUAAAAUAAUAUUAUUCGUAAAAUAAUAUUAUUCAUAAAAUAAUAUUAUUAAUUAAAUAAUAUUAUUAAUUAAAUAUAAUUAUUUAUCAAAUAUUGUUAUUUAUUAAAUAUUGUUAUUUAUUAAAUAUUGUUAUUUAUUAAAUAUUUUUAUUUAUUAAAUAUUGUUAUUUAUUCAAUAAAGAAUUUUUAAGAUGUAUGCCUUCUGGCAGGCGGCCCAUUGGAAACACUCACUAAUUGAUAUCUAACAACGUCGGGACUUCAUUCUCCUCUUCCACCACCGAACGAAUCGGAUCCAUUUCCGGUACCACUGGACAAUUGGAUUCCUCAAUUUUAUGUUUUACCUCUGUUAUAUUGACAUUCUGUGCUAACGAAUUUCGUUCUUGCUGCGGAGGCACUGACACUAGUUCAGAACUUCCUUCUACUGGCGAUGUUUGCCACAAUGUGUAUGCGAUCACAACAUACACAUAAUUGGAACAUAGCAAUGCUGUAAACUUCCAUAUUUUGUGAUUGGCUCCCAUUUUUGCAUGUAUAUGGGUUGCUACAUAAGCUGCCUUAUUGAAGACCAUCCCUUCAAACGUUCCUACUGCUGCAAACAUUAACCGUCUUGACAUAUAUGUGUUGUGUCGAUACAACCCUAGAUGCCUGAGCACGAAGCGCAACCAUUCGAUGAGCUCUGAUGUAAUUGCCUCAGCCGUCCGCCAACCUUGAUUCUUCUCAAAUGAUGAUAUGCCACUUUUGAAAUAACUUCCCGGUUGGAAGUCACUGGACUCCUCAGCACCCACCGCAUUCUCUCCAACUGGAAGAAACAGUACUUUUUCAAGGAUCUUCUCAUCAAUACCAAUAACGCGCCCUUGUACUACGCUCGAUCCAUCCUGUGGGUCAUAGUUCGCGAUGUAUUCUUCUACUAAUGCCACAUUAAUUGAAGGUAAACUAUCUGACGUGUGCAAAAACUUAAACAUUUGUGUGUUUCAAAAAUCUCGUAUUCUCCUUGGUAUCCAGCAAAUCUCUAGCUUCAUAGGCUCCAUAUUGGUAACGAUUACUACGGAUGGUAGUCCUAAAUUGCGUUUAGCUUUCACAUUUUGGCCACUUUCCUCUCUGUCCAUAGCUCUCUUUGCACUCUCCAUCGCCAUGACGUACACUCUUUCAAGCUCUAACCGUCAAUACUACGCUCCAGUACUCCAAAACACCCAAAAUUGUAACACUGAGAAGAAACAAUAACAGAAUGUGACAACUAAGAAUGACCGUAAAUGGGUGCCCCACUCCUAUUCUUUUACCUAGUGGUGAUAACGAUAACAUGUUACUCCUAUUGUCCAUUUUUCACCCCCGUCCCGUCUGACACAUUAGUAAUUACUAACUAUCCUUUCAGCUGCCUCUACACCCUAAUAUACUUAAUUAGGUCUAUCCUAAGUACAUUCGACGUGACCUCCUCCAGAAAUUGAAAACCCAUCUCGGAUUUUACGUAGGAUAUAACCGUAAUCGGUUCCCGUUAAUGCGGGUACUAAAUUAGUGAUCCAUGAAAUCCUCCAAUUGAAUAGAUCCAUUGGAAAAUCCUUCAAUCACACGAUAUGGCUCAUGCCAGCAAACUUGAAAUUUGCCCGGAAAAUGAUUAAACUUAUUAUCAAACAACAAUACCAAAUCAUUGGGCAUAAAACUCUUCAAACGCAGUUUACUAUCAUAGUAACUCUUCUGUCAUUUUUGAGUUGCUUCCAUGUUGAAGAGAGCUGUAGCCCGUAUUUCAUCCAAUUUGUCCAACUCUGCCAACCGAUAUUGAAGUGAUUCCUUAUCUCCAAGACGUUCAUCCAACGUAAUGUGCAAACUCUAAACUUCCAAUUCAAUGGAUAAUAUUGCUUCUUGCCCGUAUACCAAUUGGAAUGGUGUGGAAUUGGUAGUCACUUUAUAUGCAGUACGAUACGCCCACAAUGCCGCAAACAAUUUAGUAUUCCAAUCCAUUUCCACGCUUGAAAUUAUUUUGGUAAAAAUCUUACAUAGAAUACCAUUGGUCUUUUCCGUCUGUCCAUUGGCUCGAGGAUGAUAUGGUGUUAUUUUCUUGUGCUUGAUUUCGUAUGUGUUCGUCAAGGCUGCUAUGGUAUCAUUUAUGAAAUGGGUGCCGCGAUCGCUAACCAAUUCCUUCGGACACCCAAAUCGAGUAAUAAUAUUUUCAUAUAGAAAUGUGGCCACCGUACUGGCAUUAUCAUUGCGGGUAGCAAUAGCCUCCGCCCAUUUGGUUACAUAGUCCGUGGCAACUAAAAUAUACCACUUUUUUUGAUGUCUCGAUGCUAGUGCAAUGGGUCCAACAAAAUCAAUUUUCUAUUUCUCAAAUAGUGCCUGUACUAAGAUUGGUACUAACAGCAUCACUGAAGUACCUGUGGGUCGACUAAUUUGUUGACAGGAAUCACAACGACAAACAAAUUGGUGCGCAUCAGAAAACAUUGUGGGCCAUCAAUAUCCGGCCAUUAAAGCCUUGCGAGCAGUACUGUCUCUCGCAAAAUGUCCACCACAACUAUCCAAAUGACAUCCUUCCAAAAUUAUACGAACUUCACUUUGAAAGAUGCAACGGCGUAAAAUUCCAUCCUACCCUUGUUUGUAUAAGGUAUCUCCAAUCAUAGUAUAUGGUGCACUUUUUAAAAUCAGACGCUUCUUUAGUUUUUCAUUAUAAGAAAUGGAAAAAGUCUGAAACGUUAGAUAUUGGAUCAAUUCACCAUAUUCGGAUGUAAUGACAUCCAUAGCAAAUAGUUGUGCGUCCGAAAGAGCAUUGUUUAUCGGCUCAUUACCCAAUAUAUUAGAUAAACGGGAUAAGUGAUCCGCAUUGGCAUGUUUCUUUCCUAGUCGUACAUUGAUAGUAAAAUUAAAUUCUUGAAGUAAUAACACCCAUCAAGCAAUGCGUCCACUCAAUUGAGGCUUAUUAAUCAUGUAUUUGAGGGCAUCAUGAUCCACAUAAAAGACAAAGGAAUACCCAAGCAAAUAGUAUCGAAAUUUUUGAACCGAGUAUAUCAUACCCAACGCUUCUCGUUCAGUAGUAGUGUAAUUACGUUCGGCAGCCACCAAUUGCCGACUAGCAUAAUAGAUAGGAUGAUCCAGAUCCUGGUCAUCCUUCUGACUUAGCACCGAUCCAAUAGCCAUAUUGGAUGCAUCAACAUACACAUAAAAGAGCUCGGUCCAACGAAGGUCACCAAUAUUGGUGUAGAGACCAAUUUUGACUUCAAUGCUUCAAAGGCCACGGUACACUCCAUAGUCCACAUGGGACUAGUCCCAUCUAAUGGAGGUUUUUUCAAUAAGUUUGUUAAAGGUAGACAAAUAAUUACAAAUGACCAAAUAAAUCGUCGAUAAUAACUGACAUGGCCGAUGAACCCUCGAACACCGGAGACCGUCUCUGGUCUAGACAAGUUCAUUAUAUGUGUCACUUUGUCCGGAUCCGUAGCGAUACCAUGGCUAGAGAUGAUAUGUCCCAAUAAUUUUCCUGAUAGAAUAUCGAAUUGAUACUUAUCCGAGUUCAAUGAUAUUUCAAACUUAACGCACUAAGCCAAGCAUUUACCGAGACAAUUAAGAUGAUCUUGUUUUGUACUGAAUACACAAAAGUCAUCUAAAAAGAUCUUCAUAAACAAUCGGAGAUAGUCUUGGAAGGCCUAACUCAUCUUUCUCUGAAACGUGGCUGGGACGUUAUAUAACUCAAAAGGCAUCACAUGAUAAGCGAAUGUGCCCCAAUCCGUAGUAAAGGUCGUUUUGAGCUGGUUUUCCAUUGAAGCUUGAACCUGAUUAUAUCCGAAAAAUCCAUCUAGGAACAAAUAACAUUCAUGACCUACUACAGCGUUGAAUAUACUAUCUGUGAAGGACAAUGGGAAGUAAUCUUUCUAGAUAGCCGCAUUAAGUUUCCGAAAAUCUUGACAAAUUCGGAUUUUUCCAUUCUUUUUCGACACCAUCACGAUUGAAGAAACCCACUCACUAUUUGGUACCGAGUAAAUAAAACCAACCGCAAGAAGCUUGUCCAAUUCCUCCUUCACCAUGAGAGAAUAUUUAGGAUUAAGGCGAUGUUACCUCUGUCGUACCGGUUUAGCGUUCUCCUCUAAAAUGAUACGAUGCUCACAGACUUCAGUGGGAAUACCUUUUAAAUCAUCAUAAGUCCAAGCAAAAGCAGAUUUAUGAUGCAAGAAAAAUUCGAUCCAGCAGGUCAAUUCUUGUUCCUUAAUACCUUUGUAGACCUUAAUUAUCCAAGGUUCUGCUGUGGUCACCAAGUUGAUAGUUUGACAUAAAGGUGCAACGGCAAUGUUCUGUUUCAACCCCCAUGCUGGUUUAAAGUCAGUUAGUAAGUUUGACAUGUACAAAGUAUUGAAUCCUGUAUCCAGGGCACUAACAUGGUGCACAUCAUACUUGGUCAUCCAAUCAGUACUAACAUAAUCUGAGUUUUUUGUAUCUGUUGGAUAUAUCAAGUACUCCCCCAGAUCUCCUUAUUAGUACACCACUCCACGAUGUAGUGCUGCCUCUAUGAACGCCUCCGUAAUUGAUGCUACUGCAUCAUCAUCGAAGCUAAGCUCAUUGUUUGACGUUAAUUCAAAUGCUCAUAAUUGAGACUCCCCGUGAUAGUGUACUGGAUACAUUUGUAACACCAUUUUGUCUCUGCCCUUGCCAAUUGUCAAAGUACCCUGACCCGAAUCGUUCUUGGCCUUUGCUUGAUAAAGCUAGGGUAAUCUCAAUAAAAUUGGAUAUGAUAAAGUCAAACGUUGUAACUGAAAGAUGAUAUAGUUGAUUUUAUAUGCAAUACCGACAAUCAUAGUUUGAACACUCCGUAAGAUACCCAUUGGUUUAACCCGGCUAUGAUCUGUCAUUCGUAAUACCAAUGUUAUAGGUAGUAAUUGCUUUAGAUCCAAGUCCUCCAUUGUAUCCACGUUCAUUAAAUUCACACUAGAGCCACCAUCGACUUGUACUCCUGGAAUUAAAAUGCUAUCGAUUGAUACAUCGAUUGUUGGUGCUCUUAGAUCUAUGUUUAAGCUAACUUCAUGAAUUUCUUUUGUACGAGAUCUUCGUCGUAUUAACGUUGAAUUCAAUGUAAAUUGACAUUCCGGUGCUACAGCCAAAAGUUGCUUCAUUGUAAUUGAAGGCUGAAUAACAUCCAAAUCCCUCAGAAUGUUGCAGGGUUCCAUAUUGAGAAUAAUUCCCAAUGCUCUUUUGUGUUUCAUUGGUUUCAAUUUUACUCCGUUCGGUAGCAACUCCUUCCUAGCGAUUGAGAUUGUUGUUGGUAACUUCGCCAACUUAUCUACCACUAAAGGUUCCUUUAAUGCGUAAGAUCUUUUAUUGGGCUGUACAGGUAUUGGUACUUGGUCAGUUGGGAUCGAUCUUGAUGGCCCAAUAAAUUGGCACGUGGGACCGAAUUCGGUUCCUCAGUUUGUUGAGGUCUCAAUAUUGGGAUACUUCCCAAUACUGAUAUUAGUUCGUUUAGCCCCGUGGAUGGUGCUACUUGCUCUCCUGCGAUUGGUUCAUCUAUGCCCUGAAUUAGAUUCUUGUCUUUUUGUUGGCCUCUCGUAAGCACUGCGUUCACCACCUCGACACGAUGUACAGGUGAGUCUCAUUGAAUAGGGCCUUUGUCUUCCAUCGGUUGGCUUGUUUGUAUUUGCAGGUCCCGGUUAUUAUAAUUAAAGGGCACAUUGCACUGCUGAUAAGUGUAACCAGACUGCUUACAAUUUCCACAUAUUGGAGCAUAGUCAUCACUGGCCCUUGGAUUAGGACAUUCACUCACAUAAUAUCCAAUUUGUCUGCGUUGAUAGCAACGAAGUGGUCUCUUGCCAACUCCUUCAGGGAUGAUGGAUCUCUCUAUUGGUAUAUAACGGCUAGGUCUGUUCCAUGUCAGAUGAGUAAAGGAUCCUAGUUGAUCCAUUGUUACUAUAGAGUCUAGCAUUGGCUUCGUCAUGGAUGAAUAUUGAUGGUAUCCUGGUUGGUUCAUCGCCAAUCCGUGAAUAUUGGAUACACCUUCUUAGUAAAAUUCAGAGCUGAAGAAAUUAGAAUAAUUCCUGUUUUGUUUAUUUGCUCGAUUUCCAUUCCAGCCAAACCUAUUAUUCGUCUGUACUUGAUUGACAUCCCACGAAGUUGGUUGAGUCAUUAUCUGGUUACUGAGUUGUUGUUGCUUCCAUAAAUUCCAACAGUUGGUGGUAAUAUGCUAACUCCCACAAAAGGUACAUUGUACAGUCAUUUGGAGUGGUGAAGGAUAUUCUAUUACUAAAUGACCUUACCCCUUACAGUUGCUGUACCAGACAUUGGGACGCAUAUUGGUUGGUUUAUGCCUCUUUUUUUUUAUCUUUGGCCAGAUUCAGAGCCAAUUCAUCUAUUUUUUUCGUCAAUGUUAACAAUAAUGAUUCAUUGGGAUACCAAUGCAUUUGGUAAUUCCUUUGUAGGUAUUGAUUUUUGAUACAUGGAAUAAGGUGCAUACGGGUGUGAUGAUGAUGGUGGUACAGCUUGAAAUGGAAUGGCAUCCAAUAUUCCCUAUGGAAUUGUACUAUAAUCAUUCCUUCCCAGAUAACUUUCCGAUGUGUCAUUCUAAUUUGUUAUUUGAUAACCUCCUUGAGAUGGAAUCAUCGUGGCUCCAACUGUUAAGUUCUAGUCAUAAUGACAUUCCUUCCAUACUUUUGCUCGCUCAAGAGAUGAUGCAAUGGUGGCUGAUUGGGCCUCUUUUACAAACAUUUUCAAUUCUGGUGGGUGUAGUCCAUUAACCAAUAUGGACAACACAAAUGAUUUUGGCAUUUGGUUAUUUGGCCAUUUUCGAAGUAUAUCCAUUGUACGACUAUAAUAUGACUGUACUGCUUUCCUUGGUAUCAUUCUACUGUUCAUUAAUUUUUCUCUAAGAUGUACUUCAAAACCAAUUGGUCGAAAAUGGGCUAAAAAUGUAUUUUUUAAUACCUCCCAAUUGAUAAAUUGUCCCACAGGUUGGCAGUUAUACCACUCAAAUGUUGUGUCUUUCAAUGUCGCUUAUAGCCAUCUCUGCCAAAUGUCUUAUGUUUUUCUAUUAUUAGGUACACAUGCCAUCAAGAAUUGAGACAAAUGUUGAUCUGAAUCCGCACUUGGCAAACCUCAAAAAGUAGGUAAUGACACGACGCUAGUCGUUCGAUCACCCAUUGCACCCAUUUGAACUGCAAUCGAAACUGUUGGUCUUCCAAACGUCAUUAAAGAUGUCGGUGUUUCGAUGUCGUAUUACGUGCUUUCCUGCUCGAGAACGCGCCGGGCGUCUGGCUGUAGAAGGUAGUAUGGAGAUUCGCCGAUAGUCAAGCAGUCUAUCAGUUUUUGACUGCUGGAAUAUAAACGACUGCAACAAUGUACCGUAAAUCUAUACGAGUGCUCUUCGACUGCUUGUCGAAGUCCUUUUUGCCCCAGCCGGUAGGUCUCUAGACGUUACAGAGAACCCCGUACAACCCAAACUGUUAACCUUCAAUACUGCUUUGUACUUACGAUCUUGUAUCCACUGACUGUCUUGUUAGAUUAACCCAAUAAAUUUCAUUCACUCCGCAUACUCAAUCCUAUAGACACCCUUUUAAUCCUUCAAUCACAGACGUAACUCUAUUUCACAAAACAAUCAAGAGUAUUCAAACCCACUUCAUUUAAAAAUCCCGAUUCACCAUUACAACACUGACUUCAGCAGCGAUUGCCUCAGUCUUCUCCAAAACUCUACGAAGAAGAAAAAUCCAAAUCCUAUGUCUUUCCUUCCCCGACCCGAAGCAUGAAGCUCCUCUCUCUAAUUCCCUUGAUCUUCAAAAACCCUCCAAUGAAAACCGAACUGGUAACCUUGCAAAAGCUUGAAAACUAGCUCCCCCCUCGAUUUCCUUCAAAAAAAAACCCCACACCCUCCAAAACUAUAUCCCCCCUAACCUUAUCCUUUGAAUUUCUUCAAUCUUCUGUCUUAGAUUCGAAAUUGGCUCCUACCUCAAGCUUGGAUCCGAAAUUGGCUCUCGCCGUCAAGCUUUCUCCUCCGUUUUUGCCUUUAAGAAAUCCAUUUACCGAAAACAACGUUCCCAGAGACGGCAUAGAGAACAGGACAGCCUGAAACAGAAUCAAACCCCGUAAUCGGGACCACAUUGAGUCGCCCGACCAAUUCAGGUCCUAUAUUGGUAAAGAUGCCCGUAGCAACCAGGAUGUUCCCAUAAUUGGGUCAAAUUGGUCCUCGCGUCAGAUUGGCUAAGACCCGUAGUAAGACCUGGAUUUUCCGUAACUGGGUCAAAUUGGUCCUCACGUCAGAUUGGCUAAGACCCGUAGUAAGACUUGGAUUUCCCGUAACUAGACUGCAUUGGGUUGCCCCACCAAUACAGGUCUCAUAUUGGAUAAGAGGACCCGGAUUGGAUUAUCGAAAUUAGAUCCAAUUGGCUCCUCGAACCCGACGUGUGAAUUGGUCCUUCUCUUCAUGUUGACUCCCGUUAUUGGAAUCGAAUGGAGCAUUUCAGUAUGCCUCGGCUGAUUGUAACGGAGUCACUGAACCUGACCACUCAGUAUUUGUACUGGAGUUGGUCGAUGCUCCCAAUAUUCGAGGUAACUGAAUAUUAAUAAAAUUCCCCUUUCUUUUUAUUUUCACUGUAUACUCGUGUUACAACACGACACCGCUCAAUUUCUUAUUAAAAUAAAAACCUUUUCUCGCAAAAGUCUUUUUUGGACUUCCAGGCCUUCUCGAUUGACUAUUAUUAUCUCCAAAUAAUUUUACUGGUUGAAUAUGAGGUGAAAAUGACAGGUUUUGAUAUACUCUGAAUUGGUCUUUUUUGGCAAGUGAUUUAUGCCGAUCUUUAAAACCAGUCUUGUUAAGAUCAGAUGUAAUUUCAAUUGAGAAGAUAUUCAAUGGGAUACCUAAUUCCUCUAUGCCUUCUUCGUUUUCCGUUAAUGGCUUCGAGAGGUUUGCUGGACUAUUAGCAGCGCUCCACGCGAGUGCUCUUGGCAAUUUCUUUAACGGUAUGUAUUUCUGAAAUAUUAGAAGUUGAUCAUCUUCUGGGUACGAUCGAAUAUAUCGACAGGCAUGCAACCACGACUUAAUCCAACUUUGUCGAUGCUUCUUUUGCAAUUUACAAUCUCGCUCAUUAUGCAAUAAAUUUCUUGCUUGCGAUCUCUCUAUUCUUUCCUUUGAUUGCUUUAUUCUCUUUGCUGUUAAAUUCUCAUUCUUAAUAACCAUAGUCUUUCUUCAAACACUACUGAAAUCGUCUUCCAUUGCUAAUUUUCUCACACGUUUGGUAAUUAAUUCCGAAUACUCAAAGCUAUUAUCACUCUCCGGCAGCAGCGCCAAAAUGUGAUUGCUCGUUUUACUUAUUCCAAAAGAAACCUUCUAGCAUAAACCCGUAUAGGGGGAUUCGAACAUGGGGAAUGACUAGUUGCUUAAGCGUUCACGUUAGGGUUACACAGUCAAUUACCUCCUGAAUGUAUCGUCUCUAUUUUCAAUAUCUGAACACACAAGGAAACUAUAAUCUUCUCCUUCACCUUAUCGGUCUCUUCUUUACAACAAUUCAGUUAUACUAAUAACUGCUAUUUCUACCAAUAUAUUAACCCUCAUAAUCUCCAAUUAUAAUACUAUGCCUUCACAGCUUUCAGUAUACAAUUACCCUCGUUCCAAUCACUGGAAUUCUUCACACAGAACUGCCAUUCGUAUUACAGUGUUUCACACAAAUACAGACUCAUUCUCUCUGCUGAACUACAAUCAGAUUUCAGCAUUCAAUCUUUCUUCUUCUCAAAUAAUACCAAUCACAUUUCCAUUCCAUAAUUCACUUCACAAUAUUCAGAAACUUUCAAUCCUCUUAUUCAAAGAAAAUAACAAACAAAAGAAAAGAGGUAGCACCAAGCUUAUCCCGGCUCACAACUCUUACAGUCUGGCCCUCGGCUCACAACUCUCAUAGUUUGGCCGUCGACUCACAACUCUCAUAGUCUGGCCCUCGGCUCACAACUCUCACAAUCUGGUCUUCAGCUCACAACUCUCAUAGUAUGGCCCUCGACUCACAACUCUCACAAUCUGGUAUUUUCUUCCCCUCUUCUAUCUUCCUUAUACUGCCCCGAGAUACCAACUCCUAUACUACAGAUGAUAACUACUUUUCCUGACUAUUCAUCUAUUCUACCUGCUGAACCAUCUUUUCUGUAGUUAUCUAUCCUUGUUUACACUAUACACUAGGUAUCUACAUUCAGAAAAUAACUACUUAUUCUACACACUCUAAGGUAUUGCGUUGCGUCCACGGGUGCCUCCGUAAUCGGUGCAACUACAUCAUCAUCAGAGCUAAGCUCAUCAUCCGACAUUAAUUCCGAUGCUAGCAACUGAGACUCUCUAUGAUAGCGUACUAGGUACAUUUGUAACACCAUUCUGUCUCCGCCCUUGCCAAUAGUCAAAGUAUCUCGAUCCUAAUCGUUCUUGGCUUUUGCUUGAUAAAACUAGGAUCGUUCUAAUAAAACUCGAUAUGAUAAAGUCAAAUAUUGUAGCGGAAAUGUAAUAUAUUCAAUUGUAUAUGCAAUACCAACAAUUAUAGUUUGAACACUCUGUAAAAUAUCCAUUGGUUUAACCCGGCUAUGAUCUCCUAUCCGUAAUACCAAUGUCAUGGAUACUAAGUGUUUCAAAUCUAAAACAUCAAUUAUAUCAGCGUUCAUUAAAUUAACACUGGAACCACUAUCCAUAUGAACACCAGAGAUCAUGAUACCAUCAAUCGAAACAUCGAUGGUUGGUAUACCUCGAUCAGGGUUCAAACUGAUUUUACAAAAUUUCUUAUUGCGUUGCUAAUGUUAUAUUAACGAUGAAUUCAAUAUAAAAUGACACUCUGGUGCGACCACUAGAAGUUGCUUCAUAGAAAUAGAAGGCCAAAUAGCAUCCAGAUCCUUCAAAAUGUCAUAGAGUUCCAUAUUUAGGAUAAUUUUGAAUGUCCUCUUUCUUUUCAUUGAGUUGAGUUUAACUUUGAGAGGUAAGAUAUUCUUCCAUCCUAGACUUGGAAUUGGAACAGUAGCUGGAGCUUCAUUGGAAUUUGCACCCCUCAGAGAAUCUUUCAAUGGAUAGGACGUUUUUCAAAACUGUGUAGAGAAUGGAACAACUUGAAAUAGAAUUGUAGCAUCUGUAAUCAAUACCUUAUUAGAUUAUCCAACCAAGUCAAGUCUUAUAUUGGAUAAGAGGCCCGUAACAUGACCUAGAUUGGAUAUCCUCAUAAUUGGAUCAAAUUGGCCCUUUGCAUCAGGCUCACCUAAAUGCUGAAUUGAUCCUUUUCUAUUUUCUUGACUCCUGGUAAGAACGGCUUGGAUACAUUCAACUCGAUUUACUAGAGAAUCUUGAGGACCUUGAUUUAUCUCCUCUAUUAUUCCUUAGCCUUGGAUCUGCUGAUCUAUAUAAUUGAAAUUGAAUGGAGCAUUAUAUUGCUGAUAAGUAUGCCUCGACUGCUUGUAAUUCCCACAAAUUCACGCAUAAUCGUCAUUGGAUCUGGAAUUAGAACAUUCAUUGGCAUAAUGAUCAAUUUGUCUGCAGCGGAAACAAUAAAGUCAUCUUCUUGUAUCCCCAUCCAGGAUAUUGGAUGUCUCUACCAGUAUAUAUCUACUAGGCUUGUUCCAUGUAGGAUUAAAAAAUGAUCGUGGUUAUUCCAUUGGAACAGAGGGAACCUAGUUCAAUGACGCCGGUGGAGCAUAUUGCUGAUAUCUCUGCUACUCCUUCCCAUAGUAUUAGGGGCUUGAUGCAGAUCCCUAAUUAAAAUUCGAACUUUGAAAGUUAUUGAAUGCUUGAUUUUAUCGAUUAGAUCGCUUUCUAUUUCAUCCAAACCUAUUUUCCAAUUGAACUUAAUUGAUGUUCCAGUAAAUUGGUAGGAUCAUGGUCUGAUUAAUGAUUUGUUGUUGCCUUUGCAAAUUCCAACAAUUAGAUGUUAAGUGCUUUUCUUCGUAAAAUGUACAUUAAUCCAUCAUUUGUGAGGGUGAAGGACAUUCUGUUAUCAAAUGACCGUGGCCCUUACAAUUACUACACCAAAUAUUAGUCCUAGUAUUGAUAGGUUUUUACCUCUUCUCCUUAUUCUUGGCCAUAUUGACGGCCAUUUCUUCCAUUUUUUCCUUAGGUUCAACAACAAGGCUUCAUUGGAAUCUUUUGUGGUUGGUAUUAUUGAUAACUCUGCCACAGUUAACGCUUGUUAUUGAUAUUGAAAAUAUGGAGCAUACACUAUUGUCACGUUCGAUGGUAUAGCUUACAAUGGGAUGACAUUAACUGGCCCCUGAAUAUUUGCACUAGAAUUGGUCCUUGUAUCUAACAUCCGUGGAUAAAUAUCCACUGAUUCGUUUCAAGUCGAAUUUUGAUAACUACCUUGAACUGGAAUCAACAUAGCUCCCGUAUAUAAAAAUUAAUCAUAAUGCCAUUUCUUCCAAACCUUGGCUCUAUUAAAGGAUGCAGACACCGUAAUGGGUUGAGCUUCCUUCACAAACAUUUUUAACUCUGGUGGUUGCAAACCAUUGAUUAAUAUGGAUAAGAUAAAUGCCUCUGACAUUUGGUGAUUCGGCUACUUAUUGAGUAUAUCAGCCACGCGGCCAUAGUACAAUUCCACCGCCUCUCCUAAGAUCAUUUUACUGUUCAUUAACCUCUCUCAAAGACAAUCCUCAAAACCUAUUGGCCGAAAAUGGAUUAAAAAUGCAUUCUUCAAUGCUUUCCAAUUUGAAAAUUGACCCAUUAGUUAGCGGUUGUACCAUUCAAACGCAAUGUCCUUAAAGGUUGUUGACAACCAUCGUAACCAAAUAUCUUCGAUUCUUCUAUUAUUGACUACACAUGCUAUCAAAAAUUGAGACAAAUAUUCAUCGGGAUCCGCACUCGAAAAGCCCCUAAAAGUAGAUAAUGGAGCCACGCUCGUUGUGUAAUUGCUCACAUCACCCAUUUGUACUGCUAUUGGAACCGCUGGACCAUGCGUUGCCAUUGAAGAGGACAAUGUGUCGCUUAAUCUCUUGUUAAAAUUACCACUGUCUUUUUCAAUUAUCUUUUUUGGACUUUCUAACUUCUUCAAUUCAGUAUUAUUAUCCUUGAAUAAGUUUAUUGGUUGAAUUGGAGGUGAAAACAUUGGAUUUUGAAAUACGCUGAAUUGACCCUUAUUGGCAAGCAAUUUAUGCCAUUCUACGGAACCAAUUUUUAUAAAAUUGGCAGUUUUCACUAUUGGGAAGAUACUCAACGGAAUAUUCAAUUCUUUUAUGUUUCUUCCACUUGCAGUUAACAAGCUCAAGAGAUACAUUGGACUAUUGACAAAAUUUCUUACGAGUAAUCUUAGCAAUUUUCUCAACGGUAUAUAUAUCUGAAAUAUUAGAGAUCGGUCAGCUUCUAGGUAUGUUCGGAUAUGCCGACACGCAUGCAACCACGGCUUAAUCCAACUUUGUUGAAACUUCCUUUUUAACUUACGUUCUUGCUCAUCUUGCAACGAUUCUCUUGCUUACGCUCUUUCUUGUCUUUCUUUCGACAGGCAUGUUUUCUUUAUUGUAAUGUUCUCAUUCUUAAUAACCAUAAUUUUUCAUUAUAUACUGCUGAAUUUACUUCCUAAUUCCCAUCUGCUCAUCCGGUAGUUAAUUCCUAAUACUCAAUGCUAUUAUCAAUCCCCAAUAGUGGUGCCAAAAUGUAAUUGUCAUUUUACUUAUUCUACAACUCUUUUCAGAAUAAACCUGUAUAGGGAAAUUCGAAUACAAGAAAAGAGUAAGUAGAUGAGCUUUACUUGUUAGGAUCACACGAUUAACUAUAUUUCAAAUCACUAAAAUACCAAGAAACACUACAAUGCUUCUUCCCAGUAACAAUACUCCUUCAUCAACUGAUAACAAUAGUAUGCAACCUUACACUCUUAAAAGACUACUCAAAACUUAUAAAUUCCUUCCAACACCAAGAAUAACAGACUUCACUCCAACCAAUCUAGAUUCAUAUAAUUUCUAUAAUCACAGACUUCCUCUGUCCAAAACACACACAACUCUCAAUAAACAACAAUCAUAAUCUUCCAUCGAUAAUCAAUCUUCAAAUAACUUAUCAUAUAAUUCAAUCACAUAAUAUUCUAAUUACAUAAUCAAUAAUUCAUAAAUCAAUCUCUGUUUUAUUCCACAGACUCACUUCUUAGUAUUCAAAAACUAUCCAUUACUCUUCAACAACAAAGAAAAUAAAGAAACAAAGAGGUAGCACCAAGCUUAACCCCGGCUCAUGACUAUCACAGUCUGGCUCUCGGCUUACGACUCUCGAAGUCUGGCCUUGAUCUCUCUUUCUUCAACCUACUUAUCCUACCAAAAAGAUGAUCUAUCGACCAACGGAUUUCAAAGGUUAUGAUCCUUUGAAUUUUUAACCAUUUAUUCUACUAACAACCUACUAUUACCAACUAAACUACCUAACCAUUAGUCUAAUUCUCAAGGUUAUCAAUAACCAACUAGUAACUUACUACAAAGUUUAUUUACCUAUUCUAUACAUAUAUAGAAAGUUCAAAAUAUGCUGAAGUAGCAAAGUAACAUAUUCAACCAUUUGUUCUUGGAUUAUAGAUUCAACAAGACCUCAAAGAAAACAUCAAUGGCCUUAAGCUGAAAUACGAAGAUUUGACAUAGCUACUCUAUUCUACCUUGAAAAAAAGAACUAAAUAUAAGUGAAAGUCUUAGUGCGGCUCUCUCCCUUUUAUGUGUAUUUGUAGAAUAGGUAAAUAAAAUUUGUAGUAAGUUACUGGUUGGUUAUUAAUAACCUUGAGAAUUAGACUGAUGGUUAGGUAAUUUAAUUGAUAACAGUAGGUUGUUAGUAAAAUAAAUGAUUAAAAAUUCAAAGGAUCAUAACCUUUGAAAUCUGUUGGUGGAUGGAUCAUCUUUUUGGUAGGAUGAAUAGGUUGAGAAAAGUAAGCCGAGAGCCAAACUGUGAGAGUCGUAAGCCGGGGUAAGCUUAGUGCUACCUCUUUGUUUUCUUUGUUAUUUGCUUAUGAAGAAUUGUGAUUGAGAGAAUUAUUGUUGAAUUGAUAAUUGUAGAAUGGAUUAUGGAUUGAAUUAAGACAAAAGUAGUAAGCCUCGGUGUUUUGUAAUUUGAUACUUGAUUUCAGAUAGCCACAGUACAGUCAAUUGUGACACUAACAGAUCCAAUUCAUAUAUCUAGUCUUUUACCAUAUUCGAACCCACCUCUAUUAGUUCAAUUGCUUUGGUAUAGUGAAGCUUGAACACAAUGAGAAUAAUAUUUUGGCACUGCUACCGGGAAAAUGAUAAUAAUAUGAAAUGUUAGAAAUUGAUUGUAUGGAAGAUGGAAUUAUAUGUUAAAUGAGAACGUGAAAAGAAUCAGUUUUAGGAUUACAAAUAUAUGAGUUAUAAUUCAAGAAAGUAUUGAUUUUACCGGGAAGAAUGAAAGAUUAUGAGUGAUAAUCAUGAAGGAGAGGAUUAUCAAAGAAUUAAUCGACAAGAGAAAGAAAGACAGGAGCGAUUACGCAUAAAAAAUAUCCUACGAGAACGACAAAAACAAAUUGCAUGUCCAAGAAAAACCACAGGAAGAAAAAUUCAGAUUCAAAUAGUAAGGAGAUCAAUAAUAAUACCAAUGGCCACGGGAGUACUAGAAGUACUAAUUGCGGUACAAAUGGGAGCAGUAGGAGAUCGAUCUACAAGUGGAGCACCAUUACUUACUUUUAGUGGUUGACGAAGCUCUGAUCCCAAUUACCAUAUAUUUCAAUUCUCGACAGCCUACGUGGCUAAUAAUGGUAGAAUUGAAGAUAUUUGGUUGAGAUGGUUGCCAAGAACUUUAAAAGAUACAGCUUUUGAAUGGUAUAUUCGGCAACCAGUGGGUAGAUUUCUCAAUUGGGAGGCCUUGAGGAACGCCUUCUUGAUCCAUUUUAGACCAAUUGGAUUUGAAGAUUGACUUUGAAAAAGUCUUAUGAAUAGCAGGAUGUUUAUAGGGGAAUCCGUAGAGUCCUAUUACAGCCGGAUCACGGAUAUACUUCGUAAAUGGUCAAAUAAUCAAAUGCCAGAUGUAUUUAUAUUGUCGAUAUUAAUCAAUGGUUUGCAUCCACUAGAAUUGAAAAUGUUUGUAAAAGAGGCUCGACUAGCUAUGAUAAAGGCAUCAUUGGCACGAGCAAAGGUAUGGAAAGAAUGUCAUUAUGAUCAAUUAUUAAUAGUAGGGACCAUGAUGAUUCCAAGUUCAAGAAGCCAACAAAUACAACCAGAAAAUAUGUGGAUGGAUAAUUAUCCACAAAUGGCUGCCUCCAAUGUGAAGAAUGUUAUGUUGCAAAAACCAAUUAAUGCUAUACUACUCCAAGUAAUAGCGCCAAUAAUGAUGAUACCUUAUUUUACAUUGCCAACCUAUCAACAACCGGAGUUGUUCACAAAUGCGAUUGUUAAAGAUCCAAAUGAAGCCUUGUUAUUAAAUCUAACAAAGAAGAUAGAAGAAUUGGCCGUAAAUUUAGCUAAAGAUAAGGAAAAAUGACAUAAGCCUUUUAAUACAAGACCUAAUGUAUGGUGUAAUAAUUGUAAGAAACAAAGUCAUUUUGGUACAAAAUGUCCAUCACCUAGACAAACAGGUGUUCAAUGUACAUUUUGCAGAGGAAAGCACCCUAUUCAAAACUGUUGGCAUUUACAAAGGCAACAACAAUUCAAUAAUUAGACCAUGAUCCCACUGACUCAAUAGGAAGUCAAUCAAGUUCAAAUGGGAAAUAUGUAUGGAUGGAAUGGAAAUCGAUCUAAUCGACAAAAUCAAACAUUCAAUAACUUUUGAAGUUCCACUUUUAAUCAGGGGUUUGCAUCAAAUCUCCAGAACUACGGGAAGGAGCAACAUAGGUAUCAACAAUAUGCUCCAUCGGCGUCAUCGAACCAAGUACCCUCCGUACAAAUGAGACAACUAAGAUCAUUUUCUAAUCUUACAUGGAACAAGCCUCGUAGGUAUAUACCGAUUGAGACACCUAAUAUGCCGGAUGGGAGUGCAAGAAGAUGACUUCGUUAUUUUCAUUGCAAAUAGAUUGGUCAUUAUGCUAGUAAAUGUUCCAAUACCAAAGCCAAUGAUGAUAAUGCACUAGUAUGUGUGAAUUACAAGCAGUCAAGACAUACUGAUUAGUAAUAUAAUGCUUCAUUCAAUUUCAAUAAUCAAGAUCAACUGAUCCAAAGCCAAGAAAAAAUGGAAGAGAUAAAUCAAGGUCUUCAAGAUUCACGAGUUCAUCAGAUAGAAGUAGUCCAAGCUAUCCUUAUAAGAAGUCAGCAAAAGGGGAAAGGACCAAUUCAACAUUUGGAUGAUCUUAAAGCGAAGGCCUAAUUGGACCCAAUUACAGGGACAUCCAAUCCAAGUCCUGACAUGGGCCCCUUACUCAGUAUAAGACAUGAAUCAGUUGUGCACUCCAAUGAGGUACCAAUUACGGAGGCUUCGGUUCCGUGUUGAGCUGUUCCAUUCUCUACACAGUUUUGGGAAACGUCCUUUCCGUUGAAAGAUCCUCUCAGAGGCAUGAAUUCCAAGGAACUAAUAUCAAUCCAAUUGGGAGAAAAAUUUUAUCCGUUGAAAGAAACAAUUUUAUAAGCUCCGUCAAAUUCAAUUCCAGUAGCUUUAUCAAUUUCCAAUAUAGAGAAAACCAAUUUACUUGCAUCGGUGUCUAGGACUGGGAAGAAGAAACGGACAUUGGAAAUUACUACUAAUACAAAAUCAUAUGAUAUUCUAGAAGGUUUGGGCACCAUACAGCCCACGAUCUCUAUGAAGCAAUUAUUGGCGGUAGCACUUGAGUACCGAAUUAUCUUAAAUUUUUCAUUAAUUUGUCGUAGAACUCGAAAUAAAGAAAUUCGAGAAGUAAGUUUGAAUCCCAAUCUGGGUGCACCAAUGAUUGAUGUCUCAAUUGAUGGACUGUUACUACCAAAAGUGUAAGUAGACGGAGGAUCUAAUGUAAAUCUUAUGAAUGCCGCUACAAUAGAGGAGUUGGGUUUGGAUCACUUAUUGCCUACUAUAGUAGUUUUGAGAAUGGCUGACUCCAGUCGAGUUAAACCUAUGGAUAUUUUACAAAGUAUUAAUACACUAAUUAUGGAGAUUAUCUAUAAAAUUGAUUAUAUUAUUUUCUGAUUGUGAAGUUCUAUAUUAUCAUACCCAAUUUUAUUGCAGCAAUCGUGGUUGUAUCAAGCUAAAGUUCAAAAUGACUAGGACCAUGGUACAUUGACAAUUGGGAAAGGUAAUGAUAAAAUUGUGCUUCAAAUGUACCCUAUCCAAUAUCUCUAAAAAAUACAAGUUGUCAGUUCAGAAUUCACGUCAGAUUAUGAAGAUGAGUCUAUAGAAGAAGAAAUUGGUGCACCUGAUCCAAUUUAUAUUGAUACAAGGCAAGUUGUAGAGCACACUAAAAUGAACUACUAAUGCAUGGGACCGGGAGAGUACUUAGUUCCUCUAGAUGUUAUUGACAAUUCUGAUCAUAUGAUUGCAUAUUGGAUGAAUAGACAGGAUGUUAAUCAUGUUAGUAUUAUUGAACUGGAGUUAGAAAGUUCUAAUGUAUCGAAUUUUAUGAAAGAUUCUAAAAUUGAGCAAAACAUUAUUUCAGAGACUUCUGCAAUUCCACGAUGUCAACCAAUUAAUUUAAAUAUAGGGGAGGCUUCUCAAAUCAUUUAGAUAUACGAUGGUAUAGAAGGCAAAAAGAAAGAAAUUUGAGUGGAUUACUUUUUACGACAUAAAAUUGCUUUCGCAUGGUCGUAUGUGGAUUUGAAGGAAAUUCCAACUCAAGUUUGUGAGCAUCAAAUUAUAUUGGAGGAGAACGCUAUACUAGUACGCCAAAGACAACAUCAACUUAAUCCAAAAUAUUCACUUACGAUAAAAAAAGAACUGGAUAAACUCUUGGAGGUUGGAUUUAUCUAUCUGGUUCCUUUUAGUGAAUGGAUUUCACUAAUUGUUAUGGUAUUGAAAAAGAAUAUAAAAGAUUUCCAAAAAUUAAAUGCGGUUACUAUGAAGGAUUAUUUUUCUUUAUCAUUCAUGGAUAGUAUAUUAGAUGCUAUCGCUAGUCAUGAAUGUUAUUCAUUUCUUGAUGGAUUCUCCGGUUAUAAUCAAGUUAAGAUUACAAAAGAAGACUAGUUAAAAAAUACUUUUACUACGGAUUGGAGGACCUUUGCUUAUAAGAUCUAGAUAAAAUAAAGCUUAUAGUAGAAUUAAAGCAACCAGACACCAUUACGAGUAUUCGAGCAUUUGUUGGCCAUGGCAGUUAUUAUCGGUAAUUUAUCUAUCUAUUCAUAGUUAUAUGCCUUCCGUUGACAAAUCUCUUGAAGAAACUAGCAACCGAUGGGACCAAUCCAUUUUGGACAAAAGAAUGUACAAUUGCAUUUGAAACAUUGAAACAAAAAUUGAUUUCAGUACCAAUAUUGGUGGCACCUUGUUGGAUAAAACCAAUCCAACUUUAUGUGGAUGUAUCUAAUGUUGCAAUUGGUUCUAUACUAAGCUAGAAAGAUGACCGAGGUUUUGAUCAUCCUAUUUAUUAUGCAAGUCGUCAAUUGGGAGCAGUUGAAAGAAAUUAAACAACAACCAAACAAGAAGCAUUGAAGAUGAUUUAUUCCGUACAAAAAUUUUGACAUUAUCUUCUUGGUUAUAAAUAUGUUUUCUAUGUCAACCAUGAUGCUUUAAAAUAUAUGAUUAAUAAGCCUCAAUUGAGUGGUCGUAUUGUACGAUGAAUUUUACUCUUGCAGGAAUUUGACUUUACUAUUCAAGUAAGACUAGGAAAAUUACAUUCCAAUAUAGACCAUUUAUCUCGAUUAUCCAAUAUAUUAGGAUAAUGAAUCCAUUAACAAUGCACUACCUGAUGCAGAACUGUUUGCGGUAGAUAUAAUUAUUUCAGAGUAUAGUGACAUAAUUCAAUACUUGAUAUUUCAAACCUUUCCAUCUAAUUUCAAUGAAAAGCUUAAACGAUGCUUAAUAUUAAAAUGAGCCUUUUAUAUGAUGAUUGGUGAAGCUUUAUAUAAACAAGGCAAGGAUGGAGUUUUGUGACGCUGUAUUUAUUAGACUAAAGUGCAUAUUAUAUUGGAAGGUUAACACUUGGACAAUUGUGGUGGACAUUUUGUGGGAGAUAGCACGGCUCGUAAAGCUUUAUAAGCUGAUUAUUGGUGGCCAAUAAUGUUUGUGGAUGCCCACCAAUUUAUCCGUCAUUGUGACCAAUGUCAGAGAACAGGUCGACCUACUAAAACUUCAGCAAUGCCAUUGGUACCAAUUCUGGCUCAAGGACCUUUUGAAAAAUAGGGAAUUGAUUUUGAAGGACCAAUUGCACCAGUCUCAAGAAAUGAACAAAAAUGAUAUAUACUGGUAGCAACAGAUUAUGUAACAAAAUGGAUUGAAGCAGUAGCUACGAAAAUCAAUAGUGCAAGUACAAUAGCAACUUUUUUGUAUGAAAAUAUUAUUAUACGAUUUGGUUGUCCACGAGAACUGGUUAGUGAUCAGGGAACUCAUUUUAUAAAUAGUACAAUCGAAGUACUUAUGGCUAAAUACAAGAUAAAAUAUCGUAAGACUACACUGUAUCAUCCUAGAGCCAAUAGACAAAUACAAAAGACUAAUAGAAUUUCAUAUAAAAUCUUAACAAAAAUAGUUUCAAGAGCAGGCAUAGAUUGGGAUACUAAGUUGUUUGCAGCUUUAUGGACAUAUCGUACUGCAUAUAAAGUUACUACCAAUGCUACCCCUUUCUAAUUGAUUAAUGGCCAUGAAGUAAAAUUACCUAUUGAAUUGGAAGUUCAAAGUUUACGAAUUGCUAUAGAUACUAGAUUGAGAGAUCAGGAUUCAUUACGGCACCGUUUAGAAGAAUUGGAAAAAUUGGAUGAAAUUAGAAUCAAUGCAUUAAUGAUAAAGAAAACUACACAAAAAUGAAGGAAGACUUAUUAUGAUAGUAAACUUAGACCAAAGGCUUUUAUGCCAAAUGAUUUGGUACUUCUUUAUGAUAGUCGAUUUAAAAAAUUUUCAAGAAAAUUUCAAGUUCGAUGGCAUGGGCCAUAUGUCACGGCCAUAAUCAUGUAAGCUAAUAAUUACAUAUAGAAAUAGGUAGAAGUAAGUAAAAGUAGGUAAAAGUAAGUUAAUUCUAUAAUAUUUAAUAUGGAAGCUUCUUAAAAACUUCUUAGACGUUGCUUUGACUUCAUACGUGUCUUUAAUUGACUUUUUGGAUUAGAAACGUGGUCAACAAGUUGGCCAUGUGCCACACAUGUUGUUAGCUUGAAGAUCAAGCUAACUAUGUGGCCCACACGUAGAAAAACUUGCCUUGUAAGUCAAGGCAUGUGCCCUACAAAGUCAACACAUAUUGGAGGUCCUAUAGAACGUCGCCACGUAGCUCUUAGUUAGAUAGUAUAUAUAGAGACAAGAGUGAAGGCUUCUUCACUCUUGUCAACUCCUUUCUUGCUUCUAGUCUAGUUUCAAGGGUCUCUAGUUUUCUUAUCUUUUGGCAAUAGCCAUUCUAGUUCCUCUUUCAAUAUAUAUACUUAUUUAUAUAUAUUUUAUUACCUCUCUUUGAGUGAAGGCUCACUUGUCUGAAUUGUUUUUUUCAUCGAGUUCUUGUCCUUGACAGAUUGACAAGAGUACACCUACAAUAUCAAAGCUUUGUCUAAUCUUGAUUAAGAGUGGAUUAUCCCUUUUUCUUGAUAAGAUAUAAGCAUAUUAGAAGUUGCGGAUUACCCUCUUCUAAACUGAUAUUGUCCUUAGUAUUUUCUUUGUCCGCAAGUCCUCUUUUCUAGUUGUCUUGAGCGAUAUUAGACAUCUUCUCUCUUCUAAGUGUUAUCAUGGCAGAACUUCUUGAAAUGAAGAGUGCAAUGGCACAAAUCCAAGAGCAAUUGAGGGAGUUAAUGCUUGCAAUGCAUCAACUCAAUUUACCACCACAAGGAGCAACAAGAUUGGCAGGAAGUAAAGAUAUAGAAAUGGUUAGAGCUGCUUAAAUAUCUGCAUCAAACCAUGUCCUUUCUCCUAUGGUGGAAUAGCCUUCAAAUAUUAGAGAACCAAGAAUUAUCCUAUCCGAGAAGUUUGAUGGCACCAGAUCUAAGUUUCGAGGAUUUAUCAAUCAAGUGCAACUUGUGAUUGAACUUCAACCCCAAAGCUAUCUAACUCCAGGAUCACAAGUUAGAUUCAUUUGUACGCUUCUUUCAGGUUCGGCACUAUUGUAGUUUUCAUCUUUUCUUGAACGAUGAGAUCCAGUAUUGGAUAAUCUAGAGGCUUUUUUGGCAGAGUUUUGAUCCAUGUAUGGAGAACAUGAUGCAAUUUGUGUUACAACCAAUAAGAUCUGUAUUUUACGACAAGGCAAUCGAUCAGUAACGUUAUAUGCUUCACAAUUUCAACAACUUGUAACUGAUAUCAAGUGAGAUGAUGCUGUACUUAUUAGCCAAUUUCUCUACGGAUUACAAUAUGAGGUAAAAAAAUUAAUGCUCAACUUACCUAAUCCUCAAACAUUGAGUCAAGAAAUUGACUUUGAUGUGAAGUACGACAAUCGCCUUUUUGAGUUUCGAUGUGAGAAUCGUACAAGUGGACCUCAACGUUACUAUAAUUCAAUGGCAACACCAACACCUCUUCAACACAUACAUUCGGAAGUAGAGGAUAUGAAAAUUGAUGCAGUACGUUUCAAACCUCUUAUUGAGCAAGAAAAGACUCGUCAUCGUCAAGAAGGAUUAUGUUUAUAUUGUAGAAAAUCAAAGCAGACUGCUCAACAUUGUCCAAAGAAACGACGCAAUCACAAAAUGAGGAAUAUGGCUGUGAAAGAAGAUAAUAUGUCGAAAAGCGAGUUUGUCCAGCUACAAUAGGGACCGUGUGGCUAGAACCUUGCACAACUUCUAGUAAAGGUCCUAUUCUCUCCUCAGAGCCCUCUCCUUGUUUUACAUUAAAUGUUAUUUUAGGACCUAAACAUUACAAAGUCUCUGCCUUGUUAGAUUCACGAGCCUCAGCGAGUUUUUUAAAUGAAGAAUUUACUAAAAGACAUAGCAUAUGUAUAGUAAAGAAAACUAAACCUGUUCAUGUAGAAGUCAUAGAUGGUCGUCCAUUGUCUUCUAGAGAUAUUACUCACGAAACCCUUCCUAUAGAAGUAAUAAUCAAUAGUCAUAAUAGUUUUGUAGUAUUUAAUAUCAUUAGAUCUCCCUCUAAUCCAGUCAUUUUAGGUUUAUUGUGGUUACAAAAAUACAACCCUCAAAUAGAUUGGAUUUCCCGAACUCUUACUUUCCCUAAAAGUAUAACUAACAGUGUAGUUAAUGAAGUAGAGAGUCAUAAGUCCAGUUUAAUUAAACCCAUAUUUAUAGGUGCAAAAGCUUUCUUGCAUGCUGCUAUGAAAGAAUUACCAUACAUUAUUUAUGCUACACCCGUUUCUACUGAUGAAAAGACUUCAAGUGGCAUUCCAAGCCAAUAUCAAGAAUUUCAAGAUGUAUUUGAAAAAAAGAAUGCGGAUACACUCCCGGAACAUCGUCCCUAUGAUUGCUCAAUUGACCUUCAAGAAGGAGCAGAACUGCCAUUCGGACCAAUCUAUAGUUUAUCACAAAAUGAAUUGGCUGAACUCAAGGAGUAUAUUGAAGAAAAUCUAGCCAAGAAUUUCAUACGCUAUUCUAAAUCUCCGGCAGGAGCUCCAAUUCUAUUUGUGAAGAAAAAAGAUGGAUCAUUGUGGAUGUGUGUUGAUUAUCAAGGACUCAACAAGAUUACCAUCAAAAAUAGGUAUCCACUACCUUUAAUAUCCGGACUUCUUGAUCAGUUGAAUCAAGCUAAGAUCUAUACAAAAAUAGAUCUUCGGGGAGUAUACAAUCUAGUACGCAUCAAAGAAAGAGAUGAAUGGAAGACUGCGUUUUGAACUAGAUAUGGACAUUUUGAAUACAACGCCAUGCCUUUUGGACUUACAAAUGCACCAAUAGCUUUUCAACAUCUAAUGAAUGAUGUUUUUUGAGAGUUUUUGGACGAUUUUGUGAUAUGUUAUCUACACGACAUCUUGAUCUAUUCUAAGAAUCCAAAAGAACAUGAACUUCAUGUUCGUCGUGUGUUACAAAAAUUAAGAGAUGCAGGAUUCUAUGCCAAGAUAGAAAAGUGUAUAUUCCACACUACUCAAGUCGAUUUCUUAGGUUACAUCAUUUCAAAUGAUGAACUUAUGAUGGAUCCUAAGAAAGUUCAAACUAUUAUAGACUGGAAGAUUCCAAAAAUGGUAAGAGAUGUUCAAUGUUUUUUGGGAUUUACCAACUACUAUCGGAUCUUCAUCAAAGACAUCUCUUGAGUUGUAGCUCCACUUACACAUUUGACUUGUAAAGACAAACUCCAAUGGAAUCAAAAAGCGGAAGUUGCUUUUGAAUCUUUGAAGACAGCAUUUGUUUUUGCACCAAUCUUGUAUCGUGUUGAUUUUUCCAAAGCAUUCUUUAUGGAAACAGAUGCAUCGGACUUUGCUCUGGGUGCGGUUUUAUCACAAAUAGGAACAGAUGACAAACUUCAUCCAGUAGCCUUUCAUUUAAUAAAAUUCUCAGCAGCAGAAAUCAAUUAUGAGAUCCACGACAAAGAACUUCUUGUAAUUGUCGAUUCUUUUCAAGAAUGGCAUUAUUAUCUAGAAGGUGCUUCUAGUCCAGUCAUCAUGUAUACGGAUCACAAGAACCUCGAAUAUUUUAUGUCAGCACACGUAUUAAAUCGUCGUCAAGCUCGUUGGAGCAUGUCUUUAUCAAGAUUCGAGUUCAUCAUCACUUAUCGGCCAGGAAAACAACAAGGUUUAUCUGAUGCUUUGUCUAGACGUUCUUAUCUUGCACCAAAAGAAGGAGAUGCAACUUUUGAGCAACAAAGAAUGGUUCUCUUGAAGCCAGAAUAAUUUCAUCUUUGAGCAAUAAAAUCAACAUUGACUGUUGAUUUAACUUUCCUUAAGCAAGUCCAGUUAAGUAUGUCUUUAGACCCUCUUGUUCAUGAUAUCAAGAACAAUUCUUCUAAAUCUUAUGAUCUAUCUAAAUUUGAAUUCAAGAACAACCUACUCUAUUUCGAAGGACGCCUAUAUGUUUCAGAAGGAGAAGCACGUUUACGUGUUCUUCAAGCUCGUUACAACUUCCCAGCAGCAUGACAUUUUGGAUAUAAUAAGACUUUGGAGCUGAUAUCUAGAGAUUUUUAGUGGCCUCAAAUAUGGAAGGCAGUUAAAGAUUUUGUACAAUCAUGUGAUGUUUGCUCAAGAUCGAAAACUCCUCGUCAUCGACCUUUUGGACUUCUUCAGUCAUUACCCAUUCCAGAACAACCAUGGUCUUCUGUUUCUAUGGAUUUCAUCAUGGAUCUUCCAAUCUCAGGUUCUUAUGACUCUAUAUUCGUGAUAGUAGAUCAUUUUACCAAGAUGGCACAUUUUGUAUCAUGUACAAAACCUAUCACAGGUGAAGAAAUAGCUAAGCUCUUUCUUGACAAUAUCUAUCGCUAUCAUGCAUUACCUAAGGAUAUUAUAUCAGAUAGAGGAACACAAUUUGUAUCAAGAUUUUGGCAGACUCUUUUCAAAAUUCUUAAAGUGGAUAUAAAACUAUCUUCGGCAUUCCAUCCUCAAACUGAUGGAUAAAUAGAGCGUAUUAAUGAAGUUUUGGAGCAAUAUUUAAGAUGUACCAUUAAUUACCAAUAAGAUGAUUGGACUAUCUUUUGCCAUUGGCAGAGUUUGCUUACAAUAACAUGGUAUACUCUUCUACAAAACAAACACCUUUCUUUGCUAAUUAUGGUUAUCAUCCACGACUUGAUACUUUUGACUUUUCAAAAGUUGAUAAUCAUGCUGCAAAAGAUUUGGCAAUUCAUUUAUCAGAGCUACAUGCAACGAUGAAGGCGUAGUUAAAAGAGGCUCAAGAACAACAAAAGGCCAAUGCGGAUGUCUAUCGAAAGGAACAACCAUCAUUCGUCUUGGGUGAUAAGAUAUGGCUACUUCGUCGCAAUAUCAAGACCACUCGUCCUUGUGAUAAGUUGGACUAUCGAAGGCUGGGACCAUUUUCUAUUUCUGCACAAAUCAAUCCAGUUGCAUAUCGUGUAGAUCUACCAGAGUCAAUGAAAAUCCAUCCAGUAUUUCACGUAUCUCUUCUUGAACCAUACAAGACAAUGGACAUACCAAAAAGACAACAAGCUCCACCUCAUCCUAUAGAAGUAGACAAUAAUGAAAAGUUUGAAGUAGAAGAAAUCUUAGAUUCAAGGCGCCUGAAAUAAAUUAGAAUAUCUUGUCCAUUAGCGUGGAUAUGAUAUUAGUGAAUGCACAUGGGAGCCAAUAAAGAAUCUUGCUAAUGGAGCAAAGGCAGUGGAGGCUUUUCAUCGAUGACAUCCAUCAAAAUCAAGAUGAAAACCUUCUUUAUAAAAGAAACAACAUCUAGGCAAGAUAACAUUCUACUUUCAAUUCUUAUUCGUAGCUUCAUUGUAGUAGUCGCGCUCAGGAGAUGAAGAACCAACAAUGAGCAGAUUCAACUCAAGAGCCUUCAUUUGCUGACCUGUCGGACGAGACAUUACGAUUGUCACAACCUUCAAGACGACGCAAUUGAGAUGAAGAUCUUCAAGAACGACAUGUUCUUCCUCGAAUAGAUGGUGAGAUACAAUGCGUUUGGUAUCACGAUUUGAGAAGGGACUUCCGAUGUUUGGUGAUUUUGGUAGAGGUAGGAACAACUCCUAAUGGUGUUCUAAAUAUUCUAUUCGAAGGAAGUUACGAAGGCCUCAACAAUGAUCAAAUAACUGGGUGGUCUUCUCGCCCUGGUAUGGGACACUACCGAUGGUUGAGAGGCCCUAUCAAUCAUCUUCGAAGAGAACAGAGAUCAGAGUAUGUGGCGAAUACAAUUCGUCACAUCAUAGAUUUCCUCAACAUAUGAUGACCGCUCCUCAUGGAACUCGUCCCUAGAAGGGGGGGUAAUGUCACGGCUAUAAUCAUGUAAGCUAAUAAUUACAUAUAGAAAUAGGUAGAAGUAAGUAAAAGUAGGUAAAAGUAAGUUAAUUCUAUAAUAUUUAAUAUGGAAGCUUCUUAAAAACUUCCUAGACGUUGCUUUGACUUCAUACGUGUCUUUAAUUGACUUUUUGGAUUAGAAACGUGGUCAACAAGUUGGCCAUGUACCACACAUGUUGUUAGCUUGAAGAUCAAGCUAACUAUGUGGCCCACACGUAGAAAAACUUGCCUUGUAAGUCAAGGCAUGUGCCCUACAAAGUCAACACAUAUUGAAGGUCCUAUAGAACGUCGCCACGUAGCUCUUAGUUAGAUAGUAUAUAUAGAGACAAGAGUGAAGGCUUCUUCACUCUUGUCAACUCCUUUCUUGCUUCUAGUCUAGUUUCAAGGGUCUCUAGUUUUCUUAUCUUUUGGCAAUAGCCAUUCUAGUUCCUCUUUCAAUAUAUAUACUUAUUUAUAUAUAUUUUGUUACCUCUCUUUGAGUGAAGGCUCACUUGUCUGAAUUGUUUUUUUCAUCGAGUUCUUGUCCUUGACACCAUAUCGAGUUAUUAACGGAUUUCUAAAUGGUUCAGUACAAUUAGAAGAUUUUAUAGGUAUUAAAUUUAUGACACGGAUCAAUGGUAAUCACCUUAAAUUUUACUAUACAUAAACCCGGGAUGGAUUUUCUAUUAGAAAAGAGGGAGUCGACCCAAUUGAUUGGACCAUAGUAAGAAGUAGUAGGGAGGUUCUUGACAAGCAUAAUAUUUUCUUUUGUGGUAAAGGAGAAGAUAGUAAACAUGGUAUCUGAGAAAGUAAGGAUGGAGACCGAUUGGAAAGAACGACAAAAACAACUAAAGAUAGAGGUUGAGAUGUUGUAGACUAAACUAGCUGCAUAAGCAAAAGAGAUCAAUAAUUUAGUGCAGACCAAUACGCCAGUUUCAGUGAUAACACCUUUGGAGCUACCUUUGAAACCGACAGAAGAAUAGCAGAAGAUGUUGGAAGAGUGUGACAACCAAAUUGCCCGACUUGAGUCUCAGGUACGAAAAUUGGGUUUGAUGAAUGAAGAUCUCAUGGCAUAUUUGGAUAGAGAACCCUCAAAUACCAAGGCAAAUGAUGAAGAUGUAGUAGAAGAGAAGGUCAAGAAUUCAAAAGGUGGUAAGCCAACGCCAUUGAAUAAAGAAGCAAAUGAAGCUAUGUCUUUAUAAGUUGAGGCUAAAUAGUGUUUGCAAGGACACUGCACAAUUAGGAGUAAGGCUAUGUAGAAUAGGCAAAUAAACUUUGUGGUAAGUUACUGGUUGAUUAUUCAUAACCUUAAAAAUUAGACUGAUGGUUAGGUAGUUUAGUUGGUAACAAUAGGUUAUUAGUGGAAUAAAUGGUUAAGAAUUUAAAGGGUCAUAAUCUUUGGAAUUCGAUAGCCGACGGAUCAUCUUUUUGGUAGGAUAAAGAGGUUGAGGAAAGAGAGAUCAAAGCGAGACUUUGAGAGUCGUAAGCCGAGAGCAAGACUGUGAGAGUCAUAAGCUAGGGUAAGCUUCAUGCUACCUCUUUAUUUUCUUUAUUAUUUGCUUAUAAAGAAUUGUGAUUGAGAGAAGUAUUAUUGAAUUGAUAAUUGUAGAAUAAAUUAUGAGUUGAAUUCAGAUAGAAGUAGUAAGCCUCGAUGUUUUGUAGUUUGAUACUUGAUUUCAAAUAGCCAAAAUACAAUCAAUUAUCAUACUAAUAGACUCGAUUCAUAUAACCAGUCUUUCUCCAUAUUCGAACCCUCCUCUAUUAGUUCAAUUGCUUUGGUAUACUGAAGCUCGAACACAACGAGAACAACAGCAUUCUUGAGGUAGAAGCUUCAACAAGAAGUUAUCAUUGAAUAUGCUUAGGUUCCUGAGGAUAGCAUUGAUGAAACUCUUGUAUCUUUUGUGGUGCAUUGAUUAGAUUUUCAAUUGGUUUCUAUACACGUUCAUUGAUAUCAAAGCCAUGCCAAUGGAUAAGAUACUCCAACUUGUCUCACCUUCACUACAAAUCAAGUAUCUUUUUAACCUUGUACUCUAUGUGAUUCUCAAUUUUAAUACAAAGCAACGGUUGUUGCACUCUUCUAGGAAUAUUUGAUUCUUUAUAAGAUUCUAAAAGAGAGUCAUGAAAAAUUAGAUAUACCUGCAUAGACAAUGAUAACUCCAAUCGAUAUGCCAGUGGACUAAUUAUUUUUUGAAUGUAAAACCGUCCUAACUUUCAAUAAUCUAGCUUAUCACAUGGCUAAUUGGUCUUGAUAUUUUGUCGAAGAAGCCAUAUCUUAUCUCCAACUUAAAAAAUUUAUAACUCUUUUCUAAAACCAUUAAAAGAUGCAUUAUAAGAAUCUUGAGCUACUUGUAAUUGGAGCAUCAAAGUUGUUUGGAGUUGCGAUAAUCGAUGUGUAAGGUCUUUGGUAGCUGGGUUUUUAUUCCUUGAUAUGGCCAAAAAAUUAAGCUUAAGAUGGUAACCAUAGUUGACUUAAAAUGGUGUUUGUUAAGUGGAUGCAUGCACAGUAUUAUUAUAAGCAAACUUUACUAAUGAUAAAUACAACGUCCAAUCAUCUUCUUGAUAAUUAAUGGUGCAUUGCAAAUACUGCUCUUAGGCUUGAUUAACUAACUAUAUAUGACUGUCAGUUUGAGAAUGAAAGGCAAAGGAGAGUUUGAUAUUAAUCUUUAAUAAUUUAAACAUGGAUUUCUAGAACUUUGAUACAAUUUGAGAUCUACGAUUGAAAAUAAUAUUGUCUACAAACCAUGAUAUUGAUAUAAAUUAUCACGAAAUAGUCUUGUUGAUUCUUCUUCAAAAAUUAUUUUUUUGCAAGACGCAAAGUAUGCCAUCUUUGUAAUCUAAUCAAAACCAACAAAAAGUGCAUAAAAUGAAUUUGAUGAUGGUUGAUUGGUUAUAAAGUACAUUGAAAUAGAAGAGCAUGAUUGCAUUUGAAAUAGCAAUGGUUCCAAACAUCGCAAUGGUUGCAAAAUCCAUACAUUUGAUGAGUGUGAUUAGGAUUUUAUUAAUUCUACAAUUUCUUUUAGAACAAACAUGUAUUAGAGAAUUCAAACACAAGGAAAGAUUAAGUGCAUGAGCUUGGAAGUUAGGAUCACUGAAUUAAUCGGAAUCCAAACCACUAAAACACCAAGAAAUACUACAAUGCUUUCUUCUAGUUACAAUACUCUUUCAUUAACUGAUAACAAUAGUGUGCAAACCCCCACUCUCAAAAGACUACUCAAAAUACAAUAAUCUCCAUUUAACACCAACAAUAACAGACUUCACUUCAACCAAUCUGAAUUCACAAAAUUACUGUAAUCACAGUCUUUCUCUAUCCAAAACACACACAACUCUCAAUAAAUAACAAUCAUAAUCUUCCAUCCAUAAUCAAUCUUCUAAUAACUUCUCAUAUAAUUCAAUCAUUUAGUACUCCAAUUACAUAAUCAAUAAUACAUAAAUCAAUCUUUGAUUUAUUCCAAAGACUCACUUUUCACUAUUUAGAAACUAUCCAUUACUCUUCAACAACAAAGAAAACAAAGAAACAAAGAGGUAGCACGAAGCUUAUCCCAGUUCAUGACUAUCACAAUCUGGCCCUCAAACCAACUUUUAUAACUCCUAUAUACUUACUUCAUAUUCCCACAUACUAACCAAAAUUCUAUAAUUAACCACUUUUAAUAACUAAGUUAACCAUCCGUCCUCUUGAACUGACUAUUCUAUGGACGAUUAAUCUAUUUUAUCAAUAUCUUUCAGAAACAAACUAAUAUCUAUUCUACAUAGCCCCACUCCUCUUUGUGUAGCGUCCUCGCAAACACACAAUUAUUACCUAUUUAAAAACUACUUAACAAAACUCUACAAAGUUACUAUUUCCUCUAACCCACCCAAUUGAUCAUUUGCUGCAUUAACCAUUGUUGGUUCCAUCGAUUCUAGUUCUAAAUUCAAAUUUUCCUCCUCUUCCAAUCCGUCCAUUGAAUCCUUUCUCAAUUGCAUUGAGAGAUCUUUAUUAUAUUCACCCAAUUGACGGACUUGAGCCUCUAGUUUCAAGAUCUAGGCAUCACGGAGUUCCAACUGAUGCUGCGGCUGACUCAUCUAUUCUAGAACAUCUUCAAUUGACACUUGUGACUGACUCUUCACUAUUAACUCUUAAUUGGAACUACUACUCUCGAAUACAUAAAAAACACAAGAAAAUGGUACUCCAAUAAACCCAAAACAAUACCAUAGAAUGACUUUAAUUAGUGCCCCACUCUUAACUUUUUACUAUCUGGGGAUAAUGACAUAAUGUUACCCAUACUAUCCGUGGAAGGUAAUGGGAAGUAAUCUUUUUUGGUGGCCGCAUUAAGUUUUUAGAAAUCCUGAAAAAUAUGGAUUUUUCCAUUCUUUUUCGAUACCAUCACAAUUAGAGAAAUCCAUUGACUAUUUGAUACUGGAUAAAUAAAACCAACCGUAAGAAGCUUGUCCAAUUCUUCCUUCACCAUGAGGGAAUAUUUAGGAUUAAGGCGAUGUUACCUCUGCCGUACUAGUUUAGCAUUCUCCUCUAAAAUGAUACAAUGCUCAUAGACUUCAGUGAGAAUAUGUUUUAAAUCAACAUAAGUCCAAGCAAAAGCUGAUUUAUGAUGCAAGAAAAUUUUGUCCAAUAGGUUAAUUCAUAUUUCUUAAUACCUUCGUAGACCUUAAUUGUCCAAGGUUUUGCUGUGGUUGCCAAGUUGAUAGUUUGACAUAAAGGUGCAAUGGUGAUGUUCUAUUUCAAUCUCCGUGUUGAUUAAAAAUCAAUUGAUAAGUUUGACAUGUGCGAAGAACUAAAUCCUGUGUCCAAGGCACUAACAUGGUGCACAUCAUACUUGGUCAUCCAAUCAAUAUUAACAUAAUCAAAGUUUUUCUAAUCCAUCAGGUAUAUCAAGUACUCUCCCAGACCUCCACAUUGGUACACCACUCUAGGAUGUUGCACUACCUCCAUAGGUGCCUCCGUAAUCAAUGUGACUACGUCAUCAUUAGAGCUAAGCUCAUUGUCCAAUGUCAAUUUAGAUGCUAGCAAUUGAGACUCCCCAUGAUAGUGUACUAGGUACAUUUGUAACACCAUUCUAUCUCCGCCCUUGCCAAUUGUCAAAGUAUCUCAACUCCAAUCAUUCUUGGCUUUCGCUUGAUAAAGCCAGGGUCGUUCCAAUAAAAUUGGAUACAAUAAAGUCAAAUGUUAUAGCCAAGAGAUAAUAUAGUCAAUUACAUAUGCAAUAUCAAUAAUUAUAGUUUGAAUACUCUGUAAAAUACCCAUUGAUUUAACACGGCCAUGAUCUGCCAUCCAUAAUUGUCAAGGACACAGAAUACACACUUGAUAUCUACCAAGAAGUUCAAGAAGAAUUGGCAAGAACUAGAUUAAUCAGAUGAAUACAAGAACAACACCAGAGAGGUGAGCUAGAGCUCCAAGAGAUGUGUUGUUGAGACUGAAGAACUCUUCAGCCUCGAUUCCAAUAUAUACUCCUAUUUAGAAAGCUUCUCGAGCAACUUCUACCAACUAAGAAGCUUCUAGAAGGUUCCAGAGACUUGCUUCUAGAAGGUUCUAGAAACUUAUCUCUAGAAGGUUCUAAGGACUAUGUUCCUAACAUCUUCUACCAACUAAGAAGCUUCUAGAAGGUUCUAAAGACUUGUUUUUAGAAGGUUCUAGAAGUUUGUCUCUAGAAGGUUCUAGAAACUUGUCUCUAGAAGGUUCUAAGGACUAUGUCCCUAACAUCACCCCCUCCUUUAGCUUCGAGGUCUCUGAGAAGCAAUGUUGUUGUCAAUCAGUACCAAUGCAAGAAAAUGAAGAUCUGUCGCAUAGCGUCUGUUAUGAACUACAACUGUUGUGCACGAGGUAAGUAGUUCAUCGGCCCUUGAAACCAAUGGUAGUGGCCCACUCCUUCAACUUCUGACCAAGCAUGUACUUUCGUGUCUUCAUUGUAAAAUUGUCCUGCAAAUAUGCCUUCUGGCUGACCAUCGUAAGCAGGCUCGGAUUCAAAUACAAUCACCAGUGAUCGGUUACUUGGUAUCCUCUGUCGUCAUCAUGGUGUAGGUGGUUCUUCAUCUCAGGGUCGCUUCGUGAGCUAAUCGGUUGAGAUAAUCUGACUGGCAUAGUAUCUAUCAGAAGAUCAAACUAUGGCUAUUGAAAAAAUUCUAUUUUAUCUUAGAGAAAAUAACUACAUCAACUAUGAAUUUUGGUGGUGCUUUUUCCCUUUCUUAUAUUCUUGGGUGAGCAAGCUUCAGAAAGAAGCUAUUGUCAAACCGGCUUAGGUUUAUGAGGAUGUUGUUGAUGAAACUCCUAUACCUUUUGCGGCGCAUUGGUGAGAUUUUCAGCUGGCUCCCAUGUUCGCUCAUUAAUGUCGUAGCUGCACCAAUGAACAAGAUACUCCAACUUGCUCCAUCUUUGCCAAGAAUCCAGCACCUUUUCAACCUCGUAUUCCUCGUGGUUCUCGAUCUCAAUACUAGGUGGCGGACAUUGCACUCUUCCAGGAAAAGAUGACUCUUGAUAAGGCUCCAACAAAGAAACAUGAAAGACUGGAUGUACCUUCAUAGAAGCUGGUAAUUCCAAACGGUAUGCCACUGGAUUGAUUUGCUUUUGGAUGAUAAAUGGUCCCAAUCUUCGGUAGUCCAACUUAUCACAUAGUCGCUUGGUUUUGAUAUUCCGUCGAAGAAGCCAUGCUUUAUCUCCAAUUUUGAAAGUAGGUGUUUGAUUCCGAAAUCUAUUUGUAGACGCCUUAUUGGAUUCUUGAGCGGAUUGUAAUUGAAGCUUCAACGUAUUUUGAAGCUCUGAUAGUUGUUUCGCAAAUCCUUCAACUGUUGGAUUGUUAUUUGUUGAUGAAUUCAAUAAAUCAAGCUUUAGAUGAUAUCCAUAGUUGAAAAAGAAUGGUGUGUAUUGAGUCGACGCAUGGAGGGUAUUGUUAUAUGCAAACUCGGCUAGCGGCAGAUAUGUGGUCCAAUCGUCUUACUGAUAGUUGAUGCUGCAUCAUAAGUAUUGUUCCAAGACUUGGUUCACCCGUUCUGUUUGACCGUCAGUUUGAGGAUGAAAAGCCGAAGAAAGCUUGAUAUCCACCUUCAAUAUCUCAAAGAAAGAUCUCCAAAACUUUGAUAUGAAUUGGGUUCCUCGAUCUGAUACGAUAUCAUCUGGUAGUCCAUGAUAUCGAUACACAUUAUCGAGAAAGAGCCUUGCUGUGACUUCACUAAACGAUGUCUUCUUACAAGAGACAAAGUACGCCAUUUUUGUAAGCCGAUCUACCACGACAAAGAUGCUGUCAAAUGAGUUCGAUGAUGGCAGGUCCAUGAUGAAGUCCAUGGAAAUUGAAGACCAUGGUCGACGUGGAAUCGGUAAUGGCUGUAGGAGUCCAUAAGGGCGAUGUCGAGGAUUCUUGGAUCUUGAACAGAUGUCGCAAGAGAGGACAAAAUCUUUCACAUCCUUCCACAUUUGGGGCCACCAAAAAUCUCGAGAAAUAAGCUCCAAGGUCUUGUUGAAUCCAAAAUAUCCCGCAGCUAGAAAAUCGUGGCGAGAUUGAAGAACUCGGAGUCGUGCUGGUCCUUUUGGGAUAUAUAACUGCUCUUCAAAGUAUAAAAGAUCUCCCUCCACCUUGAACUUGUCGUCAUUGGCACGCUGUCGUGUUGUAAUACGAGUAUACUGUGAAAAUAUAAAGAAAGAGGACUUUUAUUAAUGUUCAGUUACCUCGAAUAUUGGGAGCAACGACCAAUUCCAGUACAAAUACUGGGAGGCCAGGGUCAGUCACCCCAUUACAGUCAGCCGGGGCAUACUGAAAUGCUCCGUUUGAUUCAAAUAAUGGGAGUCAGCAUAAAGAGAAAGGACCAAUUCACACGACGGGUGAACCUAGUUCGAACAGCCAAUUGGAUCCAAUUUCAAGAAUCCAAUCUGGGUCCUCUUACCCAAUAUGAGACGUGAAUUGGUCGGGCAACCCAAUACAGUCUAAUUAGAGGAAAAUUCGGGUCUUACUAUUGGACUCUUUCCCAAUAUGAGACCUGAAUUGGUCGUGCGACUCAAUGUGGUCCCGAUUAUGGGCUUCGAUUCCGUUUCAGGCUGUUCCGUCCUUUGUGCCGUUCCAGGAACGUCCUUUCGGUAAAAGGAUUUCUUAAAGGUAAAAACGGAGGAGAAAGCUCUGACGACGAGAGCCACUUUCGGAUCUAAGCUCUGACGGCAGGAGCCAAUUUCGGAUCUAAGCUCUGAUGGUGGGAGCCAAUUCCGGAUCCAAGACGGAAGAUUGAAGAAAUUCAGAGGAUAAGGUUAGGGGAGAGAAUAAGUUUUGGGAGGUUUUUUUUUUUUUUUUUUUUUUGAAGGAUCGGGAGAGCUAGCUUCAUGCUUCGGGCGGGGAAAGAAGACAGAGAAUUGGGUUUUUUUUCCUUCAUAGGAUUUUGGGAAGACUAAGGCAAUCGUUGCUGAAGUCAAAGUUGUAAUGGUGAAUUGGGAUUUUUAAUGAAGUGGGUUUGAUUACUCUUGACUGUUUUGUGAAAUCGAGUUACAUUUGAGAUUGAAGAAUUAAAAGGGUGUCUAUAGGAUUGAGUAUGCGAAGUGAAUGAAAUUUAUUAGCUUAAUCUAACAAGACAGUCAGUGGAUACAAGAUCGUAAGUACAAAGCGGUAUCGAAGAUUAAUAGUUUGGGUUGUUCGUGGUUCUCUAUAACGUCUAGAGACCUACCGGCCGAGACAAAAAGGACUACGGCGAGCAGUCGAAGGGCAUCCGUAUAGAUUUAUGGUGUAUUCUUGCAGUCGUUUAUAUUCUAACAGUCAAAAAUUGAUAGAUUGCUUGACUAUUGGUGAAUCUCCAUACUACCUUCUACAGCCAAACGCUCGGCGCGUUCUCAAGCAAAAAAGUACGUAAUACGACAACGCUGCUUAAUAUCAAUGGCUACUGAAUCUUCAAUGGUCACGGCACGUACCUGAUUCAGGAAGUCAGCAUCAAUUGGCAUAAUAGUAGCGCAAAGCUGAAAUUGCUUUGGCUUUAACAAUGUCGUACAUUGUUGAUCAAACGUUGCUUCUCCAGCCUUUGAUACAAGAUACGAUCUCCUCGAUAAGGCAUCAGAUAGUCCUUCCUGCUUUCUAAGUCGAUAAGUGAUAAUAAAAUCAAACCUAGAUAGCAACAUACUCCAUCAAGCUUGACGUCGAUUUAAAACUCGAGUCGACAUGAAAUACUCCAAAUUUUUGUGAUCUGUGUAUACGAUCACUGGACGUGCAGCUCCUUUAAGAAAGUGACGCCAUUCUUGGAAAGAAUCCACUAUAGCAAGAAGUUCCUUAUCGUGGAUCUCAUAAUUGAUUUCAACAGCAGAGAACUUUCGAGAAUAGAAUGCAAGUGGAUGGAGCUUCUUGUCUUCUCACAUUUGUGAAAGUACAGCUCUCAAAGCAAAAUCUGAAGCAUCAGUUUUUAAAUAGAAGGCCUUUGUAAAGUCUGGAUGUACCAAGAUUGGAGCCGUAGUAAAUGCGGUCUUCAGAUUUUAAAACGCCUUCUCUGCUAGAAGUCCCCAUUUUAACUUAUCCCUGCAUGUCAACCGAGUGAGAGGAGCAGCAACUUGAGAGUAAUUCUUGAUAAAGAUCUGAUAGAAGUUGGCAAAACCAAGAAAGCAUUGUAUGUCUCUAACCGUCUUCGGAACCUCCUAAGACACGAUUGCUUCCACCUUCUUAGGGUCCAUCUUCAAGCCUUCCGUAGUCGCAACGAACUCCAAAAACUCCAUCUCUAUUUAGUGAAAUAAAUACUUCUCUAACUUGACAUAUAGUCCUCGCUCGCGUAGUUUCUUCAAUACCAAACGAACGUAUUUUUCAUGCUCUUCCUCAUUUUUGGAGAAUAUCAAAAUAUCAUCUAAAUAGAUGAAAACAAAAUUGUCAAGGUACUCUCGGAAAAUGUCAUUCAUCAUAUAUUGAAAGACCGCUGGAGCAUUGGUAAGACCAAAGGGCAUGACAUUAUAUUCAAAAUGUACGGAACGCUGUCUUCCACUCAUCUCCUUCCUUGAUUCAUACGAGGUUGUAAGCUCCCCUUAGAUCAAUUUUUGUAAAGAUCCUUGCAUGUCCAAGUUGUUCUAAGAGACCAGAAAUCAAGGGUAACGGGUAACGAUUCUUCUUUGUUACCUUGUUGACGCCUCGAUAGUCCACGCACAUACGCAACGAGCCAUCUUUCUUCUUCACAAAUAAGAUUGGUGCUCCAGCUGACGAUUUUGAAUGACAGGUGAAGUUCUUGGCUAGAUUCUCGUCGAUGUACUUCCACAACUCCACCAACUCCAUCUGCGAUAGAUUGUAGAUUGGGCCAAAAGGCGGUUGUGCUCCUUCUUGUAAGUCUAUGGCGCAAUCAUAUGGUUUGUGUUCCGAUAGCAUGUUGGCAUUUUUCUUUUGAAACACGUCUUUAAAAUCCUUAUAUUGCUCCGGUAUACUUGCUGUCGAGAUCUUCUCCCCGGUAGUUGAAGCUGCAUAAAUGACAAACGGUGUGCCUCCCUUGGACGAUCUUAUAAAUGCUUUUGCUCCAAUAAAUAAGGAUUUCUCUAUUCGGGGUUUUCUAAUAGGCUUGCUCUUGGGUGGUUUUUUGGGAAAGGUCAUCUUCCGCAACUUUCAAUCUAUGGAUGGAUUAUGCUUUUCCAACCAGGAAAGACUAAGAAUAACAGGAUUUGAUGGGGUUCUAAUAAUAUUGAAAAUAAUAUGACUACUAUGGCCCUUAAACGUCACUUCUAUAGGUUCUAAUUCAUGGAUGAUACUACCAGACAAUAAAGGUCGUCCAUCUAUGACUUCAAUGUGAACAGGUUUGGAUUUUUGUACUAAAGGGAUCUUAUGACACUUUACAAAUUCUUCCUCUAAGAAAUAAGCAGAUGCUCCUGAAUCUAAUAAUGCUAAGGUUCUCAGUUUCUGAGGACCAAUAAGCAAAGGGAUUGUAAAACAAAGUGCAAGUUGAGCGAAAAGAAAGGAAUUUGGUUGUUGUUGCGAUAUUUCACUACCUAGCCGCACGGUUCCUAUUGUGGCUGGGCAUCCUCGUUUUCCUGAAUAAACGCAUCCCUAGUCUUGAUAAUACGUCGAUUUUUCUUCUUGGGGUAGUUUCUAACUUUGUAGCCUUCUUCACCGCAAUACAAGCAUAGACCUUCCUCCAUACGUCGCUUUUUUUCUUCUAGAGUAAGAGAUUUGACACGUACCACAUCAAUUUGCAUGUCUUUUAUCUCUGAAUGUGAAUUCAUGCUGCUUGCCGACAUAGUUGGGAUGUAGCGAAUCGUAUGUUGUCUUGAACGUUGGUCUUGGCGACGUUUGAAUAGGCAGUUAUCAUACUUCACAGCUUGACUAAUAGCUUUGUUGAGCGUUUGCAGAUCAAGAAGAGUUAACAACAAAUCCUUCACAUCGUCCCUUAAAUCCCAAUAGAAUUGACUUAUCAAUGCUUCUUCGUCCCAAUUGAUGUCGCAUGCAAAUUGCCUGAAGUCCGAUGCAUAGACUGAUGUAGAACGCAUCCCUUGUCGUAGUGACUGGAUCUUUGUUGUAGCCCAUCAAACCUUGUCGUGUUCACCAAAUACUUCCGCAAAUGCCUUCAAAAAGGUUUCAAAGUUGUUUAGUAUGGACGAUCGUUUUUCAAACAAAGGAGCAAACCAUGAUAGAGCUUGUCCUGUAAGUAAGGUUCCAACAAGCCCAACACGUGACUCCUCCGUUGGAUAGCAUUCGAGCUGUAAAACUGUUAUCAACCUGAUUUGGUUGACAAAUCCUCAAAACUUGGAACGUGUACCAUCGAACUUGUCCGGAAGGCUAACUCGGGGUUCUUUAUGUUGUAGAACCAGCGAUGCUUGUCGAACCUGAGGCAAAGUUGCUUCUCCAAGUGUAGAAGUUUGAGGCUGGUGCAACCUAGAUUGUGCCAUCUCAGAUGCUCCAUCAUUAUGAAGCCUUGCCAUGACUCCUUCAAUCUCUGCAGUUCUUUGCGAUAAUGUAGCGAAGGCAUUCAUAAUAGCAUCUAACUUGGACUUUGAACUUUUUGUCAUACUAAUGUUUUGGCCCCCGACCAUUCUAAGAGAAGGACAGAAAUAACUCUACAAGAAGAUAAUAUUGGUUUAGAGGAGGGUACUCCGCAAUCUCUAAAAUGCCUUAAGAGCUUCAAGAAAAGGGAUAAUCCACUCUCUCCAAGAAGAAUAAGACUCCAAUAUUGUAACAAAAGAAGUAUCAGUUUAGAAAAGGGUAAUCCGCAACCUCUAAAGUACUAGUACACUUCCAAGCAGAGGGAUAAUCCACACUCUAACAAAGAAGAAACUAGCUCUGAUAUGUGAAGUGAGUGAAGUCUCGACAAACUGUCACGGACAUAGAAUACAGACUUGAUAUCUACUAAGAAGUUCAAGAAGAACUGGCAAGAACUAGAUUAAUCAGAUGAAUACAAGAACAACACCAGAGAGGUGAGCCAGAGCUCUAAGAGAUGUGUUGUCGAGACUGAAGAACUCUUCAGCCUCGAUUCCAAUAUAUACUCCUAUUUAGGAAGCUUCUUAAGCAACUUCUACCAACUAGGAAGCUUCUAGAAGGUUCCAGAGACUUACUUCUAGAAGGUUCUAGAAAGUUAUCUCUAGAAGGUUCUAAGGACUAUGUCUCUAACAUCUUCUAUCAACUAAGAAGCUUCUAGAAGGUUCCAGAGACUUGCUUCUAGAAGGUUCUAGAAGUUUGUCUCUAAAAGGUUUUAGAAACUUGUCUCUAGAAGGUUCUAAGGACUAUGUCUCUAACAAUAAUAUCAAUAUCAUGGAUACACAGUGUUCUAAAUCUUAAGCAUCCAUUGUAUCAGCAUUUAUUAAAUUGACACUGGAACCAGCAUCCAUCUGAACACCAGAGAUCAUGAUACUGUCAAUCAAAACAUCAAUGGUUGAUACACCUGGGUCACGGUUCAAACUGACUUUACAAACUUCCUUAUUGCAUUGUCUAUGCCGUAUUAACAAUGAAUUCAAUGUAAAAUGGUACUCUGGUGCGACCGCUAGAAGUUGCUUCAUAGAAAUAGAAGGCCGAAUAGUAUCCAGAUCCGUCAAAAUAUCAUAGGAUUCCAUAUUUAGGAUAAUUUUGAAUGUCCUCUUUAUUUUCAUUGAGUUGAGUUGAACUUCGAGAGGUAAGAUAUUCUUCCAUCCUAGACUUGGAAUUGGAAUAGUAGCCAAAGUUUCAUUGGAAUUCGUGCCCCCAAGAGGAUCUUUCAAUGGAUAGGAUAUUUUCUAAAACUGUAUAGAGAAUAAAACAGCUUAAAAUGGAAUUGUAGCAUCUAUAAUCGGUACCUCAUUGGAUUACUCAACCAAAUCAGGUCUCAUACUGGGUAAGAGGCUCGUCAUAAGACCUAGAUUGGAUGUUCCCAUAAUUGGAUCAAAUUGGUCCUUUGCAUCAAGCUCACCUAAAUGUUGAAUUGGUCCUUUUCCAUUUUCUUGACUCUUGAUAAAAACAGCUUGGACACAUUCCAUUCGAUUUACUAGAGAAUCUUGAGGACCUUGAUUUAUCUCCUCCAUUGUUCCUUGGCUUUGGAUCUGCUGAUCCAUGUUAUUAAAAUUGAACGGAGCAUUACAUUGCUGAUAAGUAUGCCUCGACUGCUUGCAAUUCCUACACACUAGCACAUAAUCGUCAUUGGUUCUAGGAUUAGGACAUUCAUUGGCAUAAUAACCAAUCUGUCUACAACGAAAAUAACGAAGUCGUCUUCUUGCACCCCCAUCCGACAUAUUGGGUGUCUCCAGCGGUAUAUACCUACUAAGCUUGUUCUAUGUAGGAUUAAAAAAUGAUCUUAGUUGUCCCAUUGGUACGGAGGGUACUUGGUUUGAUGUCGCCAGUGGAGAAUAUUGCUCACACCUCUGCUGCUCCUUACCGUAGUUCUGAGAUUUGAUGCAGACUCCUAAUUAAAAUUAAAACUUUGAAAGUUAUUGAAUGUUCAAUUUUGUCAAUUAGAUCGAUUUCCAUUCGAUCCAUACAUAUUUUUCGAUUGAACUUGAUUGAUGUUCCAGUGAAUUGGUGGGAUCAUGGUCUAAUUACUGAAUUGUUGUUGCCUUUACAAAUUCCAACAAUUAAUUGUUAAGUGCUUUCUUCCGCAAAAUACACAUUGACCCAUCAUUUGUGAAGGUGAAGGGUAUUCUGUUACCAAAUGACCAUGGCCCUUACAAUUACUGCACCAAACAUUAGUCCUAGUAUUGAUAGGCUUUUGCCUCUUCUCGUUAUCCUUCGCCAUAUUGACAGCUAUUUCUUCGAUUUUCUUCAUGAUGUUCAACAAGAAGGCUUCAUUGAAAUCUUUUGGGGUUGGUAUUAUUGGUAACUUUGCCGCAGUUAAUGCUUGUUAUUGAUAUGGAAAAUAUGGAGCAUACAUUGUUGUCAUGUUCAGUGGUAUAGCUUGCAAUAGGGUGAUAUUAUUUGGCCCCUAAAUAUUGGUAUUCAAAUUGGCCCUUGUGUCUAACAUCUGUGGAUAACUAUCCACUCAUCCGUUCCAAGUCGGAUUUUGAUACCUGCCUUGAAUUCGAAUCAUCGUAGCUCCCGCAAUUAAAAACUGAUCAUAAUGGCAUUCUUCUCAAACCUUGGCUCUAUUAAGGGAUGCAGACACCGUAACGGGUUGACUCUCUUUUAUAAACAUUUUUAGUUUAGGUGGUUGCAAUCCGUUGAUUAAUAUGAAUAAUACAAAAGCCUCUGGCAUUUGGUGAUUUGGCCACUUGCGGAGUGUAUCUGCCACACGAUUAUAGUAUGAUUCCACUUCCUCUCCUAGAUCCAUUUUGCUAGUCAUUAAUUUUUCUCAAAGUCAAUCCUAAAAACCAAUUAGACAAAAAUAGAUUAAAAAUGCAUUCUUCAUUGCUUCCCAAUUGAGAAAUUGACCCACUGGUUGGCGGUUGUACCAUCCAAAUGCUGUCGGGGUAGAGAGAAUUUGCCUCAAGAAAAUGCUGGGCUUCUGGCUGUCACUAAUUAUUCAAUCAAGCUUGAAAAUAAGGGAAGCCCUAAGUUUAUAUAUAAUUUUUCUCUUUUUGAGUAAUUAUACCAAAUACACAAUCCUCAAGUAAUCCACAACUUCCAAAAUAUGAUAAAAUCUUCUAAAUCCUUGUUUAUUCUUAUGUGGAGAUUUUCCCGAACUUCAACACCUCAUAUCUCUUAAUCCGACCGUCCAAACAAACUCAAAUUGUACAUGAGGUACUGAUGUAUUCUUAUUAACUUCUACAACAAUUUUCAACCGCAAAUUCAUUUCAGAUCUUGAGAUAUCUUGAAAUCCCUAACAGUCGCUUCAAACCCUUGUCUUUAUACAUCCGCGUGCAAUUUUCUUCAUAUCUCACAAAAUAUAAGCUCAAAUGCCACGAAAUUUGUAUGUAUAGCUUCUUAACACAAAAUUUUACAUUCUCCAAAAAGUUUGAGUCAAAAAUUCGUCCGAAAACUCAAGUUAUGGCUCCAAUCAUUACUAUAAACAAACCCGCUUACUUACUGCUUUUGAUUUGGAAGCGUUGCCUUCAACUCCUUACAACUCCUUUAUAUAAACUCUAAAAGCAAUAAUUAUUUCGUAAAAGAUGUAGGCCCUAAAAUCGCCGUUCUAGUUGCAUCUUUCGAUCUUCAAAAGCUACUGUAAAACUCCUCGUACUCUCAAAAGAGUAACAAUAUGUCUUAAAUAAACACCUUAACUUCAAACGGUUAUAACGUUUUCACCCUAACUCCAAAUCCUCUAAUUUUUCUAUACAAAUUGUUCUCCAAACCCUAAACUUUACAACCCUAGAUUCUAAUCUCUAAAUGCCUCCUUUGAAGUCACCAAAACCCUUCUUAAGGUCACGGGCAGCCUCCUCAAAGUCCAUUGGGCAUGGUAUUCGACCAAUAGGGAUGAAGUUCUCCAUUCCUUGCCUCCAUCCGACCAUGCCUUACUUUCAUCCCUCUCAAUUAGCUUCCUACUAGUUUAGAUUUUCAUCCUUAGGUUUCCACCUUUUCCCAAGGUUUCAUACUAAACAUUUAGGUCCUAUAUAUAUAUAUAUAUAUAUAUAUAUUAAUGUCAAAAUCAAAAGAAAUAAAGAAACAAAGUAAAGUUUCUUAUAUCAAAUCCUUUUAAUUUAAUCUACUAGCCACUCUAACACACAUCUAGAUUUAUCAACAUAUAAUAUGUUUUAGCUAAUUUUUACAUACUGUAAGCAUUUACAGUAUGACAAUGCCAUGUCCUUCAAGGUCGCUAGCAACCAUUGUAAUCAAAUAUCUUCAAUUCUUCCAUUAUUAGCUAUACAUGCUGUCAAAAAUUGAGACAAAUAUUGAUCGGGAUCCGCACUCGAAAAGCCCCUAAAAGUAAUAAUGGAGCCACGCUCAUUAUGCAAUUGUCCACGUCACCCAUUUGUACUGCUAUUCAAACUAUUGGACCACCCAUCGCCAUUGAAGAGAACAAUGUUCCACUUAAUCUUUUGUCAAAAUAACUGGCGCCUUCUCCAGUUGAUUGUUGUAAAUUUUUAAGUUUCCUCAAUAUGCUAUUAUUAUUCCUUAUUAAGUUAGUCAAUUGAAUUGGCAGUAAAAAUGAUGGAUUUUAAAAUACACUGAAUUGGUCCUUAUUAGCAAGUAAUUUAUGCCAUUCUACAGGACCAGUUUUUACAAAAUCGGUAGUUUUUGCUAAUAAGAAGGUACUAUUAAAGUAAAAGUAGAAUAAGUUAUCUUAUAGAGGAUAUUAAUUUAAAUAAGUUGCUAGUGGUCAAAGGUUUGACUCUUGGUAUAUAGUAAAAACUUUCAACGGAUAUAUGACGAAGUCUUGGACCAAGAGUCAAAGUCAAGAAGAUAAAGUAUUAACAAGGGAAUAUUCAAAGACUAGGUUUGAAUCAUUAUUGUAUGUCAUAAGAUACUCUCGAGCCUCGUGAGAUGCUAAAAGGAUCUUAAAAUCACGUGUGUAAAAGUCAAAGAGUAGAAGUUGUUUUUUAUGAUAGCAACCACUACCUAUAAGUAAAGGGUAUUGGAAGUGAGAGAUAUCUUAUCCCAUACUCUCUUUGUGUGCAACCUUGCUGAUGCUAAGUCUUGUGUCUUCAAAGUACUUGUUCUUCAAUAGGUUAUGGAUCCACUCACCUUUACUUGUGAGUUUUAAAGUACUUUGAAGUCUUUCUUGUUGUGAGAAAAAGAUCUUAUGGUUGUUACUGAAGUUUGAGUUUGUUCUCUUCUAACCCUUCUUAUGCAUCUAGUUUUUGAUAUAGUUUUUGCUUUUACUUGUUGUUAAGUACAUUGAUAGUCUUGAUUAUUGUUAGACUCCAUAUAAUGAUGUUUUAGAACUUUAGUGUUAUAUUUCUUUGCUGAAUUUCAUCAUUGGUGCUCUAACUUUGUGCUUUCAUAUACUUAACUUCAUAAGAGAUUCUCCUAUUUGUUAUAAGAAGUGUUUUGUGUGGUUAGAAGUAUUUUAUGAAAGAAGAGUGAUUAAAGAGUGGCAAAGCUUAUACAAGAGAUUUAGAUAGAAAAUAAUACUUGUGAGAAGUCUUAUAUGUGAAGUUGAGAGUGAUACAAGAGUGAAAUCACUUGUAUAAUUACAAAGAGGGCAUUCUGAGUUUCUAAGGCAGCAAUACCUUCUUGUUGAUUUUUAUAGUUCUAUCUUUUCUUUUCUUGAUUUUCUUUCAUACAUCUCUUCUUUAGACAUGGCUUCAAGUAAAGAUGAGAGCUUGAGAGUGAUUGAAAAGUUUAGAAAUGAGAACUUUUACCAUUGGAAGAAAAAAAAUUGAGCUUUUAUUAGCUUCAUUGGAUCUUUGGGACAUUGUUGAUGAAUGUGAAGACCCUCCAAGUGACAAUGCUGAUAUCAAGGUAAAGAAGGAGUACAAACGUCGUGAAAGGAAGGGUUUUGAGAUGAUUGCAAUAAACCUUGAUGAUGCCAACUUUUCUCAUGUUAUAGCUUGUAAUGAACCAGUUGAAGCAUGGGAAACUCUUUGCAAUAUCUAUGAGAGUAGAAACCUUGCCAACAUCCUUUGGACAAGAAAGAAGUUCUUGAUAGUAAAGAUGGAAGAAAGAGAUAACUUCAUGGCUCAUGUUAACAAAGUAAAAGCACUUGCUAACCAACUAGCAGUUGUUGAUAAACCAGUUGAUGAUAAGGACAUUGUGUUGACAUUGGUCAUGAGCCUUCCUGAAUCCUACAACUACCUCAUUGUGGCAUUGGAGUCCAUCAACAUGAAGGAGCUUAUUAUGAACUAUGUCAUGUCAAGACUUGCCCAUGAAGUGACCAAGAGGAAAGAAAAAGAACUUGCAAGUGAUGAUUCGGCUCUAUUUUAAAGAUAAGGCAAAGGUAGCUAUUCUCAAAAAUAUAAUAAUUCAAAAAGCAAUAUGAAGAAUUACUAUAUUUGUGGAAAACUAGGUCAUUUUUCUAGAAAUUGCUACAAGGCCAAGAAAGGAGAUAGAAAGAAUGCAAACAAUACUAGUGAUAGUUUUUGUAGAGAUGAGUAUGCUUUCAUGGCAAGGAAAGGAGCCUCCAUGGUUGCUAUUUUGAAGUAGAUUAUAGAUUCAGGUACUACUAAGCACAAGAAACCAUACAAGUGUUCAUUUGACAUUUAUGAAGAAAUUUCAGCAACAAAAGUGUGGUUGGGAGACAAUGGCAUGGUGCAAGCCAUUGGAAUUGGCUCCAUUGUGGUAGAGAUUAUUGUGAAGGACCAAAUCAAGAGGAUCACAUUGAAGGAAGUCUUACAUGUGCCAAAAAUGAAGAAGAACCUCCUUUCGGUGAGCAAACUUGUAUCACAUGGUUAUAAGGUUUAAUUUGAUAUGAAUGGAUAUUUUAUCAAGAAAUUGGAUAGCCAACAUGUUGCCAAAGGCCUUAGAGAUGGAAAUCUCUACUUCAUCAAUUGCAAGAAGGUGAAUGGAGUUGAAGUGGCGGCAUUUGCUGAUUUUCUAUAAGAUCAAGAUAAGUUUGGAAUUUGGCAUCAAUGACUUGGUCAUUUGAAUGCCAAAUGCAUGAAGGAGCUCCAAUCCAUGGUAAGUGGCUUGGAUCUUGGUCAAUUCAACCACAAUGCCAUGAGACUUGCUUGUGAAGGAUGUAUACAAGGCAAACAACAAAGGGCUUCAUUUCCAAGUGGAAUUGCAACAUGUGCAACUAAAUUAUUGGAGAUUGUGCACUCUGAUGUUUGUAGAUCAAUGAAGACACCAUCAAUUGGAGGAGCAAGGUAGUUUAUCACAUUCAUAGAUGAUUUUUCAAGAAAUGUGUAGAUUUACAUCAUUAAAGCUAAAAGUGAAUGUUUUUCAAGGUUUAAGGAAUUUAAGGCUCUUGUAGAGAAAUAAUGUGAGUGUAAGAUCAAAGUGUUGAGAAUGGACAAUAGAAGUGAAUACAUUUCAAAACAUUUUGAUGAAUUCAUAAAGAUUCAAGGUAUUGUAAGAUAAAUCUCUACUCCUUACACUCUACAACAAAAUAGAGUUGCUGAAAGAGCAAAUCAGACCAUUGUGGAGAUGGCAAGGGGUAUGCUUCAUACACAAAACCUUGGGCAUGAGUAUAAGGUGGAAGCUGUGGUAAAUGUGGUGUACACAAGGAAUAGGUGCCCUACAAGUGCACUUACAUCAAUGACUCCACAAGAAGCUUGGAGUGAGAAAAAACCUUAUGUUUCACUUAUAAAGAUUUUUGGAUGCAUUGCUUAUGCAAAGAUACCAGAUUGCAUGAGGUCCAAACUUGAUGCAAAAGGUACAAAAUAAAUAUUUAUUGGAUAUUGUGAAGGUACCAAAGCAUAUAGGCUAAUAUGUUUAGAAACAAGGAAGUUCAUCAAAAGUCGUGAUGUAGAGUUUUUGAAACAUAAGAGUGUUUUUGGGCACUUGGAAGAGUGUCUAAGUGAGAAUAAAGGUGUGUUUGUGGACACAUCUUCAAGUUCAGCAAAGAAAGAAGAAGAAGAAGAUGAUGAUGAUAAUGAAGAUGGAGGAAAUAGAAGUCAAAAUCAAGUGCCAAAGAAGGUAAUCAUAGUGUACCUUCAAUUGCUAGAAUCAACAAUGAAAACAAUGAAGAUAUUGAAGGUGAUGAGGAUGAUGAAGAAUAUCAACCUUUGAGUGAGAAAAGACAAGCAUUGAGGAAGAAGAAGAUUGGAAGAGAGGAUGGAAUGCAAGAAGAAGGGUCUUCUUCAAAUGAAAAGAGAUAUUCUUUGAGAAAAAGAAAACAACAUGGUGAAUGGUGGAAGGACCACAUCUUUCCUCAAGUAAGUGAAGAACAUGCCAAUGUUAUACUUCUUGCUGAUCCAUUGAGUUUAUGUGAUGCAAUGAAGUCCAUGGAUGCAUUGAAGUGGAAGAAUGGUAUGAAAGAAGAGUAAAAAUCACUCAUGGACAAUGGAACAUGAAAAUUGAUUCAACUUCCAUCAAAUCGAGCUUCAAUUGGUUGUAAAUGGUUGUUUAGAACAAAGAGGGAUGCAAUGGAUAAUGUUGUGAGGUAUAAGGCAAGAUUGGUUGCAAAAAGCUACUCAUAAGUUGUUGGUGUGGAUUUCAAUGAGACAUUUUCUCCCGUGGCCAAAUUCACCACCAUUAGAAUCAUUGUGGCAAUUGGAGCAGCAAUGGACUUGGAGAUGCAUCAAAUGGAUGUGAAGACGGCUUUCUUGAAUGAAAGUUUGGAAUAAGACAUCUACAUGGAGCAACUUCAAAGAUUUGUUGAAGAAGACAAACAACACCUUGUUUGUAAGUUGAAGAAAUCCUUGUAUGGGCUAAAGCAAUCACCAAGGGCAUGGUACCAAUGCAUUGAUACAUUCUUUGUGAGUGAAGGAUUUGUAAGGAGUGAGGCUCAUCAUUCCUUAUAUGUGAUGCAAUCAAAUAGAUUCAUAUUGAUUGUCAUCCUCUAUGUUGAUGAUUUGAUCAUCUCAACCAAUACACUGAAGAUGAUGGAUUGGUUGAAGGCAAAGUUAGAAAAAGAGUAUGUAUUCUUUGUUGGAAUAGGAACAAUUUCAUGGAAUUAUAAGAGACAACCAACAAUUGCGAGGUCAACAAUGGAGGCAGAGUACAUAGCAGCAAGCCAUGGUACAAUGGAGGCAAUAUGGUUGAGACAACUUUUGGAGGACAUUGGAGAUGUCCAAAUAGAAGCAACUCCAAUGGAGUGUGACAAUCAAGGAUGUCUUGCAUUUGCAAAGAAUCCAAAGCAUCAUUCAAGGACCAAACAUAUUGACAUUCAACAUCACUUUAUAAGAAAGAAGAUUGAAAUGGGACUGAUUGAUAUGAAGUAUUCUGCAACGGAAGAAAUACUUGCUGAUUUGUCGACAAAGGCAUUAGUAAAAGAUAGACACCACAUGUUGACAAAGGUAUUAGGAUUAAAAUCCAUUUGACCAAUAGAAAAGUGGGAGUAUUGAAGUAAAAAUAGAACAAGUUACCUUAUAGAGGAUAUUAACUUAUGUAAGUUGCUAGUGGUCAAAGGUUUGACUCUUAAUAUAUGGUAAGGGCAUCCAAUGGAUAUAAGACAAAGUCAUGGACCAAGAGUCAAAGUCAAAAGGAUAAAGUAUUAAUAAGGGAAUAUCCAAAGACUAGGUAAGAAUCAUUAGUGUUUGUCAUAGGAUAUCCUCGAGCCUCGUGAAAUGCCAAAAGGAUCCUAGGACCACGUCUAUAAAAGUCAAAGAGUAGAAGUUGUCUUUUAGAGCAGCAACCACAACCUAUAAGUGACAGGUAUCUUAUUCCAUACUCUUUUUGUAUGCAACCUUGCUCAUGCUAAGUGUUGUGUCUUCAAAGUGCUUGUUCUUCAAUAGAUACCCAACGGAAUAUCCAAUUCUUCUGUGUUUCUUCCACUUGCAGUUAACGAGCUCAAGAGAUAUGCUAGGCUAUGAACAAAAUUUCCUGCAAGUGCUCUUGGUAAUUUUCUUAACGGCAUAAACUCCUCAAAUAUUUAAUGUCAAUCAGCUUCUAGAUAUACUUGGAUAUGCUGACAAGCAUGCAACCAUGGCUUAAUCCAACUUUGUUGACACUUCCUUUUUAACUUGCAUUUUUGUUCAUUUUCCAACGAUUCUCGUGCUUGCACUCUCUCUUAUCUUUCUUUUGACUGGUGUGUUUUCUUAACUGCAAUGUUCUCAUUCUUAAUAAUCAUAAUCUUUCAUUAUAUACUGCUGAAUUUGCUUCCUACUUCUCAUCUACUCAUUCGAUAGUUAAUUCCUAACACACAAUGCUAUUGUCAAUCCCCGGCAGCGGUGCCAAAAUGUGAUUAUCAUUUUACUUAUUCUAAAUUUUUUUUGAGAAUAAACCUAUAUAGGGGAAUUGAAACACAAAGAAAGACGAAGUGCAUGAGCUUUUAAGAUAGGGUCACUCAAUUGACCAUAAUCCAAACCACUAAAACAUCAAGAAAUACUACAAUGCUUUCUCCCAUUAACAAUACUCCUUCAUCAAUUGAUAACAACAGUGAGCAACCCUCCACUCUUAAAAGACUAAUCAAAACACACUAUUUUAUUCCUAGUGUUGGAUGGAGAUGGCCCUCAAACUAACUUCUAUAACUCCUAUAUACUUACUCCAUAUUCCCACAUACUAUCCGAAAUUCUAUAAUUAACCGCUUUUAAUAACUAAGUUAACAAACCCUCCUAUUCAACUGACUAUUCUAUGGACUAUUAGUCUAUUUUAUCAAAAGCUUUUGAAAACGAACUAAUAUCGAUCCUACAAUGAGGCAAUAACAAUAGCAGAGAGGGAUGAUGCUAUAGAUUUCAGAAAUCGCGGAAUAGGACUUAACUGAAGAUCCUUGCGCUGAUAUCGAAUUCUAUGACACAACAAUCAACAUUUUUCGAGAUAGAUGCCUUCCAAAGGGCAUUGACAACACAAAGCUUUAUAAAUCAAACUUUAAUAUACACUAUCAUUAAUAAUAUAGUAUAUAAUAAAUUUCAUUUAUAUAUAUAUAUAUAUAUAUAUAUAUAUAUAUAUAUAUAUAUAAAUAAAGAUAAUUAUAUAUUUUCAUUAUAAAUAUUAAAUAAUUCAAAAUAUAAUAUUUAAAAGAAUAUACAAUAUAAUAUUUUAUUUAAUAAAAUAUAUGUAAUCAAAUCCAUUAACAAUAGAAAAUACAUAAUAUUAUAUUAUAGAUAAAUAUGAAUAAUUUUACAAAUAUGAAUAAAUUUAUAAAUAAAAAUAGUUUAAUAAUUAUUAUUAUUUAUAAAAUAUUAUUAUUUAUAAAAUAUUAUUAUUUAUAAAAUAUUAUUAUUUAUAAAAUAUUAUUAUUUAUAAAAUAUUAUUAUUUAUAAAAUAUUAUUAUUUAUAAAAUAUUAUUAUUUAUAAAAUAUUAUUAUUUAUAAAAUAUUAGUAUUUAUAAAAUAUUAGUAUUUAUAAAAUAUUAGUAUUUAUAAAAUAAUAUUAUUUAUAAAAUAUUAUUAUUUAUAAAAUAUUAUUAUUUAUAAAAUAUUAUUAUUUAUAAAAUAUUAUUAUUUAUAAAAUAUUAGGAUUUAUAAAAUAUUAUUAUUUAUAAAAUAUUAGUAUUUAUAAAAUAUUAGUAUUUAUAAAAUAUUAGUAUUUAUAAAAUAAUAUUAUUUAUAAAAUAUUAUUAUUUAUAAAAUAUUAUUAUUUAUAAAAUAUUAUUAUUUACAAAAUAUAAUAAUAUAUAAAAUAACACUAUUUAAAAUAUAAAUAUUCAUAAAAUAUUACUAUUUAUUUAAUAACUAUUUAUUUAAUAACUAUUUAUUAAAUAUUACUAUUUAUUUAAUAACUAUUUAUUAAAUAAUACUAUAUAUUAAAUACUACUAUAUAUUAAAUACCACUAUUUAUUAAAUACCACUAUUAAUUAAAUAUCACUAUUUAUUAAAUACCACUAUUUAUUAAAUACCACUAUUUAUUAAAUANNNNNNNNNNNNNNNNNNNNNNNNNNNNNNNNNNNNNNNNNNNNNNNNNNNNNNNNNNNNNNNNNNNNNNNNNNNNNNNNNNNNNNNNNNNNNNNNNNNNUUAUUAAAUACCACUAUUUAUUAAAUACCACUAUUUAUUAAAUACCACUAUUUAUUAAAUACCACUAUUUAUUAAAUACCACUAUUUAUUAAAUACCACUAUGUAUUAAAUACCACUAUUUAUUAAAUACCACUAUUUAUUAAAUACCACUAUUUAUUAAAUACCACUAUUUAUCAAAUACUACUAUUUAUCAAAUACUACUAUCUAUUAAAUACUACUAUUUAUUAAAUACUACUAUUUAUUAAAUACUACUAUUUAUUAAAUACUACUAUUUAUUAAAUACUACUAUCUAUUAAAUACUACUAUUUAUUAAGUAAUAUUCAUUAAGAAAUGUAAUUUUUUUACAAAUAAAUAUUUAUUAUAAUUAUAAAUUUUUUAUAAAUAAUUCUUAUAUAAGUAUUACAGAGUUUAGAUUAUUAUUUUAUUUUUAAUCUAUUUUUCUUAUUAUUUGUAUAUGUAAAUAUUACAUAUAUACAUGUUAUAUAUAUUUUUAGUUUUUGUAUUGUAAUUAUUUAGCAUGUAAAAAUAUUUUAUAUUCCGCAAUUAUGAUAAACCGUGCAUUCAUAAAUAACUAGAUUAUAAAGUAAUUGUUCGUAGGUGAUUUGAAUUUCUUAAGAGAUCUCUUCAUGAAAUUGUAAUAAUUUCGAUUUUUUUCAAAACUUCUUGAAACGUUUUUUCGCAUGCAGGGCUCUCACGCCCUCAUUUAGUGAAUAUAGGAAGUUAGAUUCCUGUCCAAUUUUGAAUGAGAAAAUUGACUAUUGAGAAAUGGACUGAUUCCGUGGUCAUCGGCCCGGCGUUUAGGGGUUUAUAAUAAGAUGCAUAUCAUUUGUUCCAGGCUCGCGUUCUAUUGGUCUCCACCAUCUGCCAGAGAUAUCGGCAGCCUACAUCAAGUUGUGUGUGAGGUGGCGCAGGUUCCUUUCUCAUUUUUUAAUUCGUCUUCCUCGAUCGUAUUCAUAGGAUUUAAGGGACCCAAUCUUAAUAAAACCUCAAUGAUUUCAACGAGAGCCAUGCUUUGUAGAGUCCACGUCGGAGAAUGUGGACAUUACUGCCACCACUCUGUGCUCGGUCAAGUGACAAGAAGGAUUGCACGAUUUCGAUGCAAAUCGAAGCAGGAGGUGAAUCAGUGACCAAGGUAGCACCUUAACUCUCCAACCCCCAUUUUCUCCACGGCAGGGCGGCUGCCGUUCAAGGGUGAAACGCUACGCAUCGACCAUGUACACAUUUGAAAAGCACAAUACAGCCAAGUUCGUGAUGUAACUGUGAAAAUCAUUCUUGGAACAAAGACUUUUGGCAGGCACUGGAACAUGAUAUACAACUUGUGAUUUACCGUAAUCUGACGCUGGGCCGCAAAUGGAGGAUAUAAAAAGUAAUAUUCUGAAAGCGACUGUAAACCACAUUGUAUCAAUCUGCAAUGCUCAUGCAACGCCAGCGUAGCGCAGAAUCCAACGACCAUCCCACACGAGCUGCGCAUGUGAUUAUUUAUAAUUUUUCAAGAUGCCGCCUAGGGAAGGCGGUGGCUCCCAAUCCAGUAUAAGGGUGUCGUUGAGAGGCACGGAGAUCCCAAGCUUGUGCUGCACUUGAUGCAUGGUACCUCAAUCCCCUCAUCCUUCCGUGCUGCUCUACGUGCUCCUGCCUUGCCGAUCUGCAUCCUUUGCAGCGCAGAUCUAAUUCACGAUGGCCAGCCAUGGCAAAGCGGUGGUGCUGGUGCUGGUGCUGGUGCUAGUGGCGGCGACGGUGGUGGUGCCGCGGGCGGAGGCGCGUGCUCUAGUGGACGAUGGCGGGGAGCGCCCGGCGGAGCGCAUGAGCCCCUUGAUCACUGACCUCCAGGCAGUUGUGUGCAAGCAUUUGGGCUUGGCCUGCGCAGGCAAUGGCGAUCCACACAAUUUACAGUGUCAAAAGUUAUUUUGGCAUUGUGGAAGGGAUUAUGCGCCAUGCUGCGGUAGUAUGCAGUGCAAGUGCAUUCCUGGAUGUCAGCCCUCUUGCUUACAGAAUGUUGUGAGAGUGAGUCUAGACGGCAGAUAUUCGGGAUACGAUGCUUCCUUAUGAGCAGUGCUGCAGUCGGGUUUGCAUUCCAUUCCUGGAUGUCAGCCCUCUUGCUUACAGAAUGUUGUGAGAGUGAGUCUAGACGGCAGAUAUUCGGGAUACGAUGCUUCCUUAUCGAGCUGUAAUCAAGCCAUGUAGUACUGUCUACAAUAAAGUUGCAAAACUACUAGGUCAACUGUGGCGCCAUUCUGUGGCAUUUGAACUAAUGUAAAGUUACAAGACUACUUGGUCAACUGUGGCGCCAUUCCGUGGCAUUUGAACUAAUAGAAAGAGCCAUUUUGUAUGCAAUAUUGCACCUUUCUGUCUGGAAUUUUGCGUCAAUUUUGUGUCAUAUUGUCGUGUAGUUGACAAACACCUCAAUUUAGUAGUGGGAGACUAUGGGAGCCAAAAUUGUAAUAAAAGUUGAUCAUCGUGCAGUGUACUUUGAUUUUUUUUUCCUCC